UAAACACGAACCGGAUAGGAUACCGAUCAUAGGUGGAACUGACACUGCGACACACACACACCACAACAACAAGCUCCAGCUGAGCAGACGCAGGCACGGUGGCCGGCGAGAGUGGCACCGCGUCGCUCGCUGGCUGCUGACUGGGCACUGGGCCUCGACACGACAACACUUUUAUUUAGCCCACGUCACCGCGCGACCCCGCGCAAAGCACCCCACACCUAGUACGUACUCGUAGUAAAAAGGUAGCACCCCACUCCACUCCACUGGCUGACUGAGCAUCGCGCCGUGCCACGUAGGAGCACACGGCCGCCGCCGCCGUGGACGCGCGCCUCACACGCUCACGGUGGCCUCCUCUGCCGCGGCCGCGGGCGCCUCCUCCGCUGCAGCCGGCGCUUCCUCGGCGACGGCCGCCACCUCCGGCUCGGCGGCAGCGGGUGCCGCCUCCUCCUCCUUCACCUCCUCGGCCGCCGCCGCCGGCUCGGCCUCUGCCACGGCCUCCUUGGUCUCCGUCUCGACCACGGCUGGCGCCUCGGCCACCGGCUCGGCCGCAGCUGCCGGCUCGGGCUCCUUGGCCUCCUCCGUCACGGCGGCGGCCGGCGCCUCCUCCUUGGCCGCCUCGACCUCGACGGGGGCAGGCGCCUCGACCUCGGCCUCCGCCGGCGCGGGGACCUCCUCCGUCUUCGCGGCCUCCUCGGCGGCCACGGGCGUCUCCACCGCCGGCGCCUCCUCCGUCAGCGCGGCCGUCGGGUUCUGGACCUGCACGUUUGCACACUCAAUGCCAUCAGCCCCACGCACAUGCCAGCACGUACACAAACCGAUCAAGCUCGAGCUCGACCACGAUCAUGGGCGUUCGUCAGAUCGCGUAGAUCCAUCGGAACGACCAUCGAUCCGAGAACAUGAAAGAGAACAGACGAUCGAUCGAUCCGAUCGAGGCAAGCUAGCUAUACGUACAUCAGCGGUGGCCAUUGCCGUGGUGGAAGCAAGAAAAUGCCCGGAGCUAGCUGAAGCUAGUGCUACUGUGACCCUGUUGUGUGCCUGUGGCUGAUCCGAUGAGAGAGUGUGAGGCGUGUGUGUCUGUGUGGAGCAAUGGAGGCUAUAUAUAGCGGCCUCCGGAGGCCAAAACGGGGAGAACACAAACGCAAAUCGAAGGCCAAAAAAAUUUAAAAACGAAGCCGAUCGACGGGUCGAGGAAAUAAACAAGCCGAGUCCGUCUCAUGAUGAUCGGGAAUCUGGGGAGCUGUAUGUGCAAAUAAGCACGUCCUGACGACGUGCGGUUGUACGUGCGCGUCAUGCCAUCGAAGUAAAAGGUGGCCCGUGAGUCAUGACACUGUGUAAAGGGUCCAAAGAACAUACCAGGGUGCCCGUGCACGGCCCGCGUCUAGUUCAUCUCGCUCCACAUGUUGCUCGAUCAGGAUCGGUCGUGCCACACACACACAAAUAUAUGUUCGAGAGAAAAGUUGCGAGAUUCUUGAACUUAUUUUCCAUUUUCCAUAAGUUUCCGUGUACGAUCGGCCCUGCUGUCACGUUGAUGUGUGUGCCGUGUGCUGGCCAAACCUGAUCCGGCCCUGGUGGCAGUGGCAACAUGCAAGUGGGACCUUUUGAGGUGUACACAACAACACAUCUCGUCCUCCUUGCACGUUCUGCGCCGUCCUUUCCAUCGGACCGUCGAUCCCUUACCGAUUAAUUAAAUAUAAAUGAAGCCCUCGCCGAUUUAGCCGUAGCAGUAAUCGAUUCCAUCAUCUGUGAUUUGGAUCGAAACGUAUUUGAUUAGCCUUUGUUUUGUACGUACGAGAUUACGAUAGCUGAGCAGGGGCGGCUGUCGUCCGGGUUGGCGUGGAGACAAUGGAGUUGGAACCGAUGAAUGUGCGCGCCUGAAUAGUCGCGAUUUGGUUUUGGGAUUUAGGUUAGCUCUCCGUCUCAGGGUAGUACGUGGCCACCCGGCCUAUGCUACCGUAUAGACUUUCUUUUCCAGCAGUACGUAUGUUCUUUUUCUUUUUCCUUUUUCUUUUCGAGAUGUGACGUGAUGUGGAUCGGUGAAACCUAAUUAAGGUCCUGGUUACGCAUAUGUUUGCUGAUGGAGAGGGGGAGGGCGGCAUUCACUCAUUUUGCAAAACGAUUAUAUAUAUAUAUAUAUAUUGUCAUACACAGUAUGUAUGAUGUGCUAGGUAAUCCAGGGGUAAAAGUUUCUUUUAUUAUAGAAAAAAAAAUAAGGUGGUGGUGUCGAAUGGACCAAGGUUUUUUGUGAGAGCAAUUCCAGAUCCCCAAGCAAUCACCGCUGGAAUCGUGUCCCUGUUCUAGCGCUACAGUGGUAGCCUGCAUGUGUCAUGCUUCAGAGUCGAUCAGCAACAACAAUUAUGACAGCAACUGGAUGGAUGUCCCCCAUCACCUUUGGCUCUGGGGCUCGUCUACUUGCUCCGGCCUCCACCACCUUUGCCCGAAAGCUAGCGUAGAUAUAUGCAAGACGAUUACUACCGCGCCGCAGGGGUAGUUGUCCAUGGAUCAACCUCACGCUCCAAAACAAGAAACUUAUCAGAAAAGCAACGGGGAUAUCAUCAGCGGGACAGCGAGAUUACACUAACACGAAGUAGCACGCCACUAAUUAAUCGUCGCCACCUGAUCUCUUCCCUCGCCGGUCACCGCCGCCGAAAGGUCGAGAGACGGACAUGCGCAGCAAGGUAGCUGAGCUCUUACAAAAUGAGUGAAACCCCUUGGUUGCCCAUGUAAUCUUCUUUCCUCCUCUAAACUAAUUGCUUGCAGAUGAUUUUUGGCCCCGGUGGAGUGGAGGCGAUGGGGUUGGGCAGCUUUCUUUUCGAGAAAAUUCUCGCCGCCGUCGUUGUCGUCGCUUUAAACCGGCCAUUCAGAUCAUCAGAUGGCAUGGAAAGCGACGAGCAAGCAGAGUCCGCACCGGGCGUCCAACAUGCGCCGGCCACGGCCAGUGCCCGGUAGGACGGUCCGCUGGGCUGAUUGGUGCCACAUCACGCAGAAGAGAUAUACUAGAGUAGAGCAGUCGACAUGGCCGGCUGUCAGCCCCGGCCCCGCCUGCGUGUCCCUCCACCGCCGUGAUCUCCCGUGGCACCGGCCGGCCAGCUGCGCUGCUCGCUUUCGGCGGCCGUGCCAUGCCAUGCCAUGCCAUGCCAUGUGUGGUCGCCAUCGCGCACGCCGGUUCGAUCCAGACUUUCGUGUUGGCCAGCCAGCGGUGGGGUGUGGCUGCGGCUACAUAACGCCGAGCUUUCACAAAGGUGACGGGUGAGGCGCCGCAUAGGGAGCCACGGAGUUGGUGGGCGCAGGGAGCGGGGGGUGGGAUGAUUGGAGCCCAUGACCCGGAAGCGAUGGUGAGGUGGCGCCACGGCUAGGGGCGGUGGAGGAGGGGCCCGCGUCACAGUGCCCGUGAUGGAAACGGCGGUGUGCGGACGCGGCGUUCCACUUCCACCUGUGAAUGACGUGUGAUGUGCCUCCAUGUCGGACCGCGGCCACAUGCGAUUUUUAAUGGAGUAUACUUGUACGAGUACGAGCUGAUCCACCUCAGCGUUUUGUUGGUUCGUCCAAACGACGAGCCGGGAUUUGCGCAGAGCAGGUUGCUUGAUUGGAAGAUGCAGUAUAUUUCCUUUUGAAUAUGACCUCCCUCCCUCCGUUUCUAAAUAUAAGACAUUUUAAACAUUGCACUAUAAACUACAUACGGAUGUAUAUAGACAUAUUUUAGAGUGUACAUUCGCUCAUUUUAUUUUGUAUGUAGUCUUUUAAUGAAAUAUCUAAAAGAUCUUAUAUUUUGCAACGGAGGGAGUAGUAGGCAAAAUUCAGGCUUGCGGCUUUCGAUAUAGUAUAUUUUUGGCUGCAUUUGUCAUCCGGCGUGGAAAAACAAAAUUUCUUUUGGCUGCUCCAUCGGUGUCAUGCAAAUACAUGAAUUUUUUUAGGGUCGAUGUCGCCGCGCAAAUACAUGAAUUAUUAAGAGAGAGCUUUGGUAAGUUAGAAAAAAAAAAGGUGCACUGAUUGGCAAUGGGAGACUUGUAUAGGACCUUACCUUUGAGGCAUUUCUAACCGAUCCUCAAUAGAGCCAUAAGCGCAACUUUAACGGGUCGAUCCAAACGGAUGACGGUUUUGUCUCUUUUUGUUCGUUUGGGUCGUCCACCGGCAUGUCCGUGUCUGUUUCUUUAAAUGGGUCAGCACAUGUAUCCAACGAAAAGCAAGUGAACAACAUCUUUGUGACAAUGGGGUGGGUCAGCGAAUUAAGUAAGCACGCACAGGUGGGUGGGUGGCUAUGUGACAAGUCGGCCAGGCCGGCCACAUGCAUACACAGAGAGGGCGCGCGCGUCCGCUUCGUGUCCGUGCCGACGCAUUUCAGUCCCAAAUUUGAGCCAGAAAUGGGUCGGCGCAGACGUAAAGCGGACGCGUUUCGGAAAUGGGUCCGCCGUUGGCCAUCACUUUUAUCCGCACGGACCCAAACGGACGACGGCGGACGAAAUGGGUCGCACCAUUGAAGUUGCUCUAAGAAAGUAAAUCGCAUUACUCCUUUAUGGCGGACGACCCCCUAAAAAUGUUAACGCAGUAAUUAUUUUAAAUAUACUUUAUCUUUCGACGGUCGAGUAAAACCCGUCUCACUUUGGACGUCCGAGAAGGAGGUCCAAGAGGUGGUGACCGAGGUGGAGGUUGUCGAGGUGAUCGAAGCAAGCAUCAAGACCUCGAGGACCCACACCCAUAACUACAACCAAAAGGACGACCUUGCACUUUGCAAUGCUUGGUGUGCCAUUGUAACGUCGAAGAUGAGAUUCUAUCCUUAUUUUGACGCGAGGGCCUCGACAGGGAUAGAAGCGCAUCUCGUCGUUUCGCAAGAAUGGACAUCAUUACAAGUACAUGUACAGAAAAGAUGAGUAUAUGGAAUUGGCUUACACUCGUCACAAGCUACAACGUGAACAACACAAUACAACAAUGUAUUCAAUCACCAUGUAGAAGAUCACGGUCCAACUACAGACUAAAUCAAAUGAUAAAAGGUCGACGUUCAUCCUUGCUAUCCCAGACUUUCGGCGUAAAACCCAUUCUAGAUUGAUGAUGAAGAAGAAGAAGAAACUCCAAAUGGCACAAUCUCGCGCUCACAUCAAAGUAUGGCUUUACGUGUACCUGCAACUGUUGUUGUAGUAAUCUAUGAGCCACAUGGACUAAGCAGUCUCAUUUUCAAAGGUAUCAAGACUAGCAAAGCUUAAUGGAUGAGGUAUGCUUAAGUGAUGAGGCUGCAACAAGCGACUAAACAUUUAUUCGAGUGACUAACUUACGAGUACAAGAAUAAUAGGGGGUGAUCUACGCAUAACAUACGUGAUCUAAUAAUGAUCUCAAAGUGAUCCUGAACACCUACUUACGUCCGACAUAAACCCACCGUAUCCUCUUCCGGAUGCAGAACUCACGAAAAGAGACAGUCACGGUUACGUACAUAGUUGGCAGGUUUUAAAUAAAUUUACUUCGAGUUAUUUAGAACCGGAUGUUAAACAAAGUUUCCAAGUUUUCACAUAACCACGGGCACAGCUCUAAAAAAUAAUUAACCCUGUAGGAGUGCUUCAACUAGUCCAUCAAAAACUACCACACGCUGCAUCGGAAACCUCGACCGCGGAAAACCUGUGAUCUCCUCAGAUUCCUAGUGGAAAACCUCAACCUUGAUAUUACCCAAAGUAUCCUCGGAAUCCCUCGUGCAAGACGUUCGGGAAAGGUAAAACAAAUCCAGCAAGGCUGCCCGGCGUGUCGAUGAUUCUAAUAGGAGUUGUGUAUCUCAUUCUCAGGACACGAUGGAUAAGCACAGCGUAGAGUGGCAUGAUAGAUAUCUCCCGAAUUGCCCUGGGUUGGCCUCGCACAUGGCUCUAGUUUGGACCAACACUCAUGGAGAGCACUGGCCCGGGGGUUGAUUAAUUAUCCACGGGGUCCGAAAAGUCUCUAUGCAAUUUUAUUAGGUUAUUAGACAAAUGUAGUACAAAUGUUGGGCCUUGUCGGAAGAUUUUUAUACCAAAACGAAAGUCAAGGGGGUCCCCAUAACAACCCCAAGCAUGUUAGGAGCGUUCAGUAUGGAUCUUAACACCGGUACACAACUAGCUAGGGUAGCAAAGGUGGAACAAAACACCGAGCUAGAAGGCCAAGCCUUCUACCUUUUACCAAGUAUAUAGGUGCAUUAAAUUAAAUAAAGAUAAUAUGGUGAUAUAACAAGGAAUCCAUGUUGACACAUGGAAAGCAACUACACCUGCAACUAGCAACGCUAUAAGAAGUCUGACCAAGCAGUAACAUAGUCAAACAGUGGCUUGCUGGGAUGUGGAGGGGUUAGAGGUUUUCAUGGAAAUGUUGGAAGGCUGACAUUUAAGUGGUAGGCACCGAGACAUAGCGAAAGAAACGAGACAACUAGCAUGACAAUGAUAGUAAUCGUAUCUAGGGAAAUGAUCAUCUUGCGUGUGAUCCCACUUGGAAGAAGAACGAAUCCAUGAAGCAGACGAACCGACGUAGAGGAACGAAUCCUCACACUCAAUAGCGGUUCCGAACUCUAUCGAGAAGAAACAAUCCGGAAACAACAAUCAACACACAAUAACACCACAACAUAUGCAUGACAUGACGUGCAAACAAUUAUGAUGCAUGUCCAUUUAAUUAUGUACGACACGACAAAGCACAACAAUUUAUUACUACAUAUUAUAUGAAGCUCAAUAUGCAGCUCGUUGGAUAUUGACAAANNNNNNNNNNNNNNNNNNNNNNNNNNNNNNNNNNNNNNNNNNNNNNNNNNNNNNNNNNNNNNNNNNNNNNNNNNNNNNNNNNNNNNNNNNNNNNNNNNNNAUCCAUCACUGAUCCACUGCCUACCAGUCUUUUACUACUGGUCCUCGCUACGUUACUUUGUGUAGGCUUGUCCCUUGCUACAAAAGGGAUUGGGCCACUUUGCUGCUACUAUUGCUACUGCUGCCACUUUGCUGCUACUGUUGCUACUGCUGUUACUUUGCUGCUGCUGCUACUGUUGUUCCUUGCUACUCCGCUGCUACUUAGUGCAAAACCUUUUCUGGAGCAGUUGCUGGGGAAGAAUAGUCCCCCGUCAACGUGCUUUUUACUGGCGCCAUUGAUACAACAGUUAGGAAUAGUCUGCCGUCAACACAUCGUUUCUGGCACUGUUGCUAUCAUACUACCUUGCUACUGAUACUUUGCUUGCAGACACUAAUCUUUCAGGUGUGGUUGAAUCUGACACACUCAGCUGCUAAUACUCGAGAAUAUUCUUUUGCUUCCCUUGUGUGAACCAACAAAUUUGGGUUGAAUACUCUACCCUCGAAAACUGAUGGGAUCCCAUACGCUUGUGGGUUGUCAAUGCACCGCAUUUUGGCAACACCAUGUUUCCUAGAGUUGGCAACAAGGACCAGGUCCACUCUUACCUGGUAGAUAUGCUCAUCAUGUGUCAGAAGGGGCGGACUCGCCCCUCUGGACCACUGGAUGUCUCUCAUGUUAUGUGGAACGAGGUGUACUCCGCUGUCUUCCACCGUAAGAUCCCAAUCUAUGGUCCGUAUCUGUUUUACUUCAUCAAGAUGACUUGGGCAAACACCUCAACUACACCUGCUGCCCAGCUGUUGAGUUUCUUGCUCCUAAUUGGAUUCGACAUGAGCCCAUCAAACUGCGCCAGAAGGACAAAUGGGCAAACACCUCAAGUACACCUGCUGCCCCUAGGGAUUCUGAUUAGGAUGUGGCUGCUGCUGAGGAUGAGGCUGUUCCAGAGUCACACAUGCCUUCCUCUACCGAGCCAUCAUGGGCCAAAAAGCUCACCAACAGGAUGAAUACCUUGUUUUGCAUGCAGGCCAAGGGACAGUACAUGACCCAUGUCACUCAGAAGGAGAGUCAUCAGCGUGGCAAGAUGAUCACGAGGAAGCUUGACAUGCACAUCUCUAGUGGAUCUGAGCGAGAGAUCACCCCGGAGGCUGAGUGGAUGUAGAAGAACAAGCUGCAGUGGGCUGCGUUUGACCAGGGCUCUGAGGAGGAGACAAACNNNNNNNNNNNNNNNNNNNNNNNNNNNNNNNNNNNNNNNNNNNNNNNNNNNNNNNNNNNNNNNNNNNNNNNNNNNNNNNNNNNNNNNNNNNNNNNNNNNNAAGCCAAUGAUCUCAUUGAGACUCAUGAGGAUACUAUCUCCAAGAUGCAAGAACAUAGUCAUGAUUACGCCGAUGAGAUAACAGAACUAUCCAUUCCUCUAGAAGAAGUGCUCACUCCUCCCUUAAGGAGUCUCAUGAUCAACUCCAAGUAAAACUAACCAAGGAGAUUUCUAAUUGUCAUCCGUUUGUUUUAAUUGAUAAUGCUUGUGAUACUAAACCUUGUUGUGAGCAUGUGCAUCUUGUGGAGGAGAAUGCCAAGUUGAAAGAACAGCUUGAGAAGGGCCUCGUUACGUGCAUCUAAGGAGAGAAAAAUCUAAAUGAUCUUUUGAGUAAUCAAAAGGAAGUUGCAGGAAAGAAAGGACUUGGGUUUGCAACCAAGUCUAAGAAGAGAAGGAAAAACAAGACCAAGCCAUCUUCCUCUCUUAAGGACAUCCUUGUCAAAGAACAAGGAAGGGGGUGACAAUGUCAAGAAGUGCAAAACCACUCCCACCAACACUGCCGGCGAUUUUAACCCCUCUUAUGUUUUAUGCCGUGCUAGUGAUGGGCAUGUUUAUGCCAAAUUUGUUGGUUCUUAUUAUGAGUACAUCGAGUAGGAUAUUUGGGUUCCUAAGACCCUUGUUUCUAACAUCAAAGGACCCAUUCAAAAAUGGGUACCUAAAUCCAAGCAUUGAUCUCUUGCAGGGGUUUGCUUCCGGUGGAGUGUCAUGGUUGCUCGAUAGUGGAGCAACAAAUCAUAUGACCGAGAGCAAGGACUUGGUGGUGGAUGUGCAUCCAAUUCCAUCUAUGCCCACCCAUGUACAAUUUGUUGAUGCCUCAACAUCUAAGGUAAUGGGAUUUGGUAAGGUGGUCAACUCUCAAGAUUUAUCUANNNNNNNNNNNNNNNNNNNNNNNNNNNNNNNNCUCUCAAGAUUUAUCUAUAGAGAAGGUCAUGCUUGUUGAGUCCCUUGCAUACAAUUUGCUUUUCGUUCGUCAUCUUGCAAUUAUGGGCUUUGUCACAUUAUUUAAUCUUGAUACCGUGGCCCUUUUGUGGAGCAAGACUCCUAAAGUAGACUUUGUUGGAUAUGUCGAGAAUGGUCUCUAUGUAGUGAACUUUUUGGAGCGNNNNNNNNNNNNNNNNNNNNNNNNNNNNNNNNNNNNNNNNNNNNNNNNNNNNNNNNNNNNNNNNNNNNNNNNNNNNNNNNNNNNNNNNNNNNNNNNNNNNUGGGGAGACACACCAGCCCUUAGUGGGCUGGUGGGACAGCCCACAAGGGCCCUACGCGCCAAGGAGAAGAAAAUCAAGAGAGAAAAAAAAGGAGGAGGUGGGAAGGAAGGGGGACUCCCUCCCACCAAACCUAGUCCAACUCGGUUUGGGGGGGGAGAGUCCUCCCCCUUGGACUCGGCCGACCCCCUUGGGGCUCCUUGAGCCCCAAGGCAAGGUCCCCUCCCUCCCACCUAUAUAUACGGAGGUUUUACGGCUGAUUUGAGACGACCUUUACACUAUAUACGGAGGUUUUAGGGCUGAUUUGAGACGACUUUUCUCACGGCUGCCCGACCACAUACCUCCAUAGUUUUUCCUCUAGAUCGCGUUUCUGCGGAGCUCGGGCGGAGCCCUGCUGAGACAAGAUCAUCACCAACCUCCGGAGCGCCGUCACUCUGCUGGAGAACUCUUCUACCUCUCCGUCUCUCUUGCUGGAUCAAGACGGCCGAGAUCAUCGUCGAGCUGUACGUGUGCUGAACGCGGAGGUGCCGUCCGUUCGGUACUAGAUCGUGGGACUGAUCGCGGGAUUGUUCACGGGGCGGAUCGAGGGACAUGAGGACGUUCCACUACAUCAACCGCGUUCUCUAACGCUUUUGCUGUACGAUCUACAAGGGUACGUAGAUCACUCAUCCCCUCUCGUAGAUGGACAUCACCAUGAUAGGUUUCGUGCGCGUAGGAAAUUUUUUGUUUCCCAUGCGACGUUCCCCAACAGUGGCACCAUGAGCUAGGUUCAUGCGUAGAUGUCUUCUCGAGUAGAACACAAAAGGUUUUGUGGGAGGUGAUGUGCGUUUUGCUGGCCUCCUUAGUCUUUUCUUGAUUCCGCGGUAUUGUUGGAUUGAAGCGGCUUGGACCGACAUUAUUCGUACGCUUACGAGAGACUAGUUUCAUCGUUACGAGUAACUCCGUUGCUCAAAGAUGACUGGCAAGUGUAAGUUUCUCCAACUUUAGUUGAAUCGGAUUUGACCGAGGAGGUCCUUGGAUGAGGUUAAAUAGCAACUCAUAUAUCUCCGCUGUGGUGUUUGCGUAAGUAAGAUGCGAUCCUACUAGAUACCCAUGGUCACCACGUAAAACAUGCAACAACAAAAUUAGAGGACGUCUAACUUGUUUUUGCAGGGUAUGCUUGUGAUGUGAUAUGGCCAAUGAUGUGAUGUGAUAUAUUGGAUGUAUGAGAUGAUCAUAUUGUAAUAGAAAUAUCGACUUGCACGUCGAUGGUACGGCAACCGGCAGGAGCCAUAGGGUUGUCUUUAUACUAACGUUUGUGCUUGCAGAUGCGUUUACUAUUUUGGUAGGAUGUAGCUUUAGUAGUAAUAGCAUGAGUAGCACGACAACCCCGAUGGCAACACGUUGAUGGAGAUCAUGGUGUGGCGCCGGUGACAAGAAGAUCGUGCCGGUGCUUUGGNNNNNNNNNNNNNNNNNNNNNNNNNNNNNNNNNNNNNNNNNNNNNNNNNNNNNNNNNNNNNNNNNNNNNNNNNNNNNNNNNNNNNNNNNNNNNNNNNNNNGCAUCGACGUAACCUUUUACGGCGAGCUCUUCGUCACCUCCAUACACGAGAAACAUCUCCUUAGUCCUUUUCAGGUACUUUAGGAUAUUCUUGACCGCUGUCCAGUGAUCCACUCCUGGAUUACUCUGGAACCUACCUGCCAUACUUAUGGCCAGGCUAACAUUCGGUCUAGUGCACAGCAUCGCAUACAUGAUAGAACCUAUGGCUGAAGCAUAGGGGACGGAGCGCAUAUGCUCUCUAUCUUCAUCAGUUGCUGGGCACUGAGUCUUACUCAAUCUUGUACCUUGUAAAACUGGCAAGAACCCUUUCUUGGACUGUUCCAUUUUGAACCUUUUCAAAACUUUAUCAAGGUAUGUGCUUUGUGAAAGUCCUAUCAGGCGUUUUGAUCUAUCCCUAUAGAUCUUAAUGCCUAGAAUGUAAGCAGCUUCUCCUAGGUCCUUCAUAGAGAAACUUUUAUUCAAGUAACCUUUUAUGCUCUCCAAAAGCUCUAUGUUGUUUCCAAUCAGUAAUAUGUCAUCCACAUAUAAUAUUAGAAACGCCACAGAGCUCCCACUCACUUUCUUGUAAAUACAAGAUUCUCCAACCACUUGUAUAAACCCAAAUGCUUUGAUCACCUCAUCAAAGCGUUUGUUCCAACUCCGAGAUGCUUGCACCAGUCCAUAAAUGGAUCGCUGGAGCUUGCACACUUUGUCAGCAUUUUUAGGAUCGACAAAACCUUCGGGUUGCAUCAUAUACAACUCUUCCUUAAGGAAACCGUUAAGGAACGCCGUUUUGACAUCCAUCUGCCAGAUUUCAUAAUCGAAAAAUGCAGCUAUUGCUAACAUGAUUCUGACGGACUUAAGCAUUGCCACGGGAGAGAAAGUCUCAUCGUAGUCAAUUCCUGGAACUUGUGAAAAACCCUUUGCCACAAGUCGAGCUUUAUAAACGGUCACAUUACCGUCAGCGUCCGUCUUCUUCUUAAAGAUCCAUUUGUUCUGAAUAGCCUUGCGGCCCUCAGGUAGUAUCUCCAAAGUCCACACUUUGUUCUCAUACAUGGAUCCUAUCUCGGAUUUCAUGGCUUAUAGCCAUUUGUUGGAAUCUGGGCCCACCAUUGCUUCUUCAUAAUUUGCAGGUUCAUUGUUGUCUAACAACAUGAUUGAUAAGACGGGAUUACCGUACCACUCUGGAGCAGCGCGUGAUCUCGUCGACCUGCGUGGUUCAACAGAAACUUGAACUGGAGUUUCAUGAUCAUCAUCAUUAACUUCCUCCUCAACCGGCGUCGCAAUGACAGAGGUUUCCCCUUGCCCUGCGCCACCAUCCAGAGGGAUGAGAGGUUCGACAACCUCGUCAAGUUCUAUCUUCCUCCCACUCAAUUCUCUCGAGAGAAACUCCUUCUCGAGAAAAGUUCCGUUCUUAGCAACAAACACUUUGCCCUCGGAUUUGAGAUAGAAGGUGUACCCAACUGUCUCUUUUGGGUAACCUAUGAAGACACAUUUUUCCGCUUUGGGUUCCAGCUUUUCAGGCUGAAGCUUUUUGACAUAAGCAUCACAUCCCCAAACUUUAAGAAACGACAACUUUGGUCUUUUGCCAUACCACAGUUCGUAUGGUGCCGUCUCAACGGAUUUUGAUGGUGCCCUAUUUAAAGUGAAUGCAGCUGUUUCUAAUGCAUAACCCCAAAAUGAUAACGGCAAAUCAGUAAGAGACAUCAUAGAUCGCACCAUCUCUAACAAAGUACGAUUACGACGUUCGGACACACCAUUACGCUGUGGUGUUCCAGGCGGUGUUAACUGCGAAACAAUUCCACAUUGUCUUAAGUGAGCACCAAACUCGAAACUCAGAUAUUCACCCCCACGAUCAGACCGUAGGAACUUGAUCUUCUUGUUACGAUGAUUUUCCACUUCACUCUGAAAUUGCUUGAACUUUUCAAAUGUUUCAGACUUGUGCUUCAUCAAGUAGACAUAACCAUAUCUACUUAAAUCGUCAGUGAAGGUGAGGAAAUAACGAUAUCCGCCGCGUGCCUCUACGCUCAUUGGACCACACACAUCGGUAUGUAUGAUUUCCAACAAGUCACUUGCACGCUCCAUUGUUCCGGAGAACGGAGUUUUAGUCAUCUUGCCCAUAAGGCAUGGUUCGCACGUGUCAAGUGAAUCGAAGUCAAGUGACUCCAAAAGUCCAUCAGCAUGGAGUUUCUUCAUGCGCUUUACACCAAUAUGACCUAAACGGCAGUGCCACAAAAAUAUGGCGCUAUCAUUGUUUACUCUAACUCUUUUGGUCUCAAUGUUAUGUAUAUGCGUAUCGCUAUCAAGAUUCAAUAUGAACAAUCCUCUCACAUUCGGUGCAUGACCAUAAAAGAUGUUACUCAUAGAAAUAGAACAACCAUUAUUCUCAGACUUAAAAGAGUAACCGUCUCGCAAUAAACAAGAUCCAGAUAUAAUGUUCAUGCUCAACGCAGGCACUAAGUAACAAUGAUUUAAGUUCAUCACUAAUCCCGAUGGUAGCUGAAGUGACACUGUGCCGACGGCGAUUGCAUCAACCUUGGAACCAUUUCCUACGCGCAUCGUCACUUCGUCUUUUGCCAGCCUUCGCCUAUUCCGCAUUUCCUGUUUCGAGUUGCAAAUAUGAGCAACAGAACCGGUAUCAAAUACCCAGGCACUACUACGAGAGCUAGUUAAGUACACAUCAAUAACAUGUAUAUCAAAUAUACCUGAUUUUUCUUUGCCUGCCUUCUUAUCUGCCAGAUACUUGGGGCAAUUGCGCUUCCAGUGACCCAUACCCUUGCAAUAGAAGCACUCUGUUUCAGGCUUAGGUCCAGCCUUGGGUUUCUUCGGCGGAUUGGCAACAGGCUUGCCGCUCUUCAUCGAAUUGCCCUUCUUGCCUUUGCCGUUUCUCUUGAGACUAGUGGUCUUGCUCACCAUCAACUCUUGAUGCUCUUUACGGAGUUCAGACUCUGCGACUUUCAGCAUCGCAAACAACUCGCCGGGAGACUUGUUCAUCCCUUGCAUGUUGUAGUUCAACACAAAGCCUUUAUAGCUUGGCGGCAGUGAUUGAAGGAUUCUAUCAGUGAUAGCUUCUUGCGGGAGUUAAAUCCCCAGUUCAGCUAGACGGUUUCAGUACCCAGACAUUUUGAGCACAUGUUCACUGACAGACGAGUUUUCCUCCAUCUUGCAAGCAUAGAAUUUAUCGGAGGUCUCAUACCUCUCGAUCCGGGCGUUCUUCUGAAAGAUAAACUUCAACUCCUGGAACAUCUCAAAUGCUCCAUGACGCUCAAAGCAACGUUAAAGUCCCGGUUCUAAGCCAUACAAGACUGCACAUUGAACUAUUGAGUAGUCCUCCUUACGCGCUAACCAAGCGUUCUUAACAUCCUGAUCAGCCGUAGCGGGUGGUUCAUCUCCUAGCGCAGCAUUAAGGACAUAAUCCUUCUUCCCAGCUUGUAAGAUUAGCUUAAGAUUACGAGCCCAGUCUACAAAGUUGCUUCCAUCAUCUUUCAACUUAGCUUUCUCUAGGAACGUAUUAAAAUUCAGGAUGAUACUUGCGUGAGCCAUGAUCUACAACACAAAUAUAUUCAAAGUGGACUUAGACUAUGUUCAAGAUAAUUAGAGUUCAACUUAAUCAAAUUAUAUGCUAAACUCCCACUCAAAAAAUACAUCUCUCUAGUCAUUUGAGUGGUUCAUGAUCCAUUUACACUAUCCCAAGUCCGAUCAUCACGUGAGUUGAGUAUAGUUUCAGUGGUAAGCAUCACUAUGCUAAUCAUAUCAACUAUAUGAUUCAUGAUCGACCUUUCGGUCUCAUGUGUUCCGAGGCCAUGUCUGCACAUGCUAGGCUCGUCAAGCUUAACCCGAGUGUUCCGCGUGCGCAACUGUUUUGCACCCAUUGUAUGUGAACGUUGAGUCUAUCACACCCGAUCAUCACGUGGUGUCUCGAAACGACGAACUGUAGCAACGGUGCACAGUCGGGGAGAACACAAUUUCGUCUUGAAAUUUUAGUGAGAGAUCACCUCAUAAUGCUACCGUCGUUCUAAGCAAAAUAAGGUGCAUAAAAGGAUUAACAUCACAUGCAAUUCAUAAGUGACAUGAUAUGGCCAUCAUCAUGUGCUUCUUGAUCUCCAUCACCAAAGCACCAACACGAUCUUCUUGUCAUCGGCGCCACACCAUGAUCAUCCAUCAACGUGUUGCCAUCGGGGUUGUCGUGCUACUUAUGCUAUUACUACUAAAGCUACAUCCUAGCAAAAUAAUAAACGCAUCUGCAAGCACAAACGUUAGUAUAAAGACAACCCUAUGGCUCCUGCCGGUUGCCGUACCAUCGACGUGCAAGUCGAUAUUUCUAUUACAACAUGAUCAUCUCAUACAUCCAAUAUAUCAUAUCACAUCAUUGGCCAUAUCACAUCACAAUCAUACCCUGCAAAAACAAGUUAGACGUCCUCUAAUUUUGUUGUUGCAUGUUUUACGUGGUGACCAAGGGUAUCUAAUAGGAUCGCAUCUUACUUACGCAAACACCACAACGGAGAUAUAUGAGUUGCUAUUUAACCUCAUCCAAGGACCUCCUCGGUCAAAUCCGAUUCAACUAAAGUUGGAGAAACCGUCACUUGCCAGUCAUCUUUGAGCAAAGGGGGUUACUCGUAACGAUGAAACCAGUCUCUCGUAAGCGUACGAGUAAUGUUGGUCCAAGCCGCUUCAAUCCAACAAUACCGCGGAAUCAAGAAAAGACUAAGGAGGGCAGCAAAACGCACAUCACCGCCCACAUAAACUUUUGUGUUCUACUCGAGAAGACAUCUACGCAUGAACCUAGCUCAUGAUGCCACUGUUGGGGAACGUUUCAUGGAAAAAAAAAAUCCUACGCGCACGAAGACCUAUCAUGGUGAUGUCCAUCUACGAGAGGGGAUGAGUGAUCUACGUACCCUUGUAGAUCGUACAGCAGAAGUGUUAAAGAACGCGGUUGAUGUAGUGGAACGUCCUCACGUCCAUCGAUCCGCCCAGCGAACAAUCCCGCGAUCAGUCCCACGAUCUAGUACCGAACGGACGGCACCUCCGCGUUCAGCACACGUACAGCUCGACGAUGAUCUCGGCCUUCUUGAUCCAGCAAGAGAGACGGAGAGGUAGAAGAGUUCUCCGGCAGCGUGACGGCGCUCCGGAGGUUGGUGAUGAUCUUGUCUCAGCAGGGCUCCGCCCGAGCUCCGCAGAAACGCGAUCUAGAGGAAAAACUAUGGAGGUAUGUGGUCGGGCAGCCGUGAGAAAGUCGUCUCAAAUCUGCCCUAAAAGCUCCAUAUAUAUAGGAGGAGGGAGGGGGACCUUGCCUUGGGGUCCAAGGGACCCUCAAGGGGUCGGCCGAGCCAAGGGGGGGAGGACUCCCCCCCCAAACCGAGUUGGACUUGGUUUGGUGGGAGGAGUCCCCCUCCCUUCCCACUUCCUCCCUCUUUUUUUUUUAUUUUCCUUUGAUUUCUUUUUCUUGGCGCAUAGGCCCACUUGGGGCUGUCCCACCAGCCCUCUAAGGGCUGGUGUGUCUCCCCAAAGCCUAUGGGCUUCCCCGGGGUGGGUUGCCCCCCCCCCCCCGGGGAACUCCCGGAACCCCUUCGUCCUUCCCGGUACAUUCCCGGUAACUCCGAAAACCUUCCGGUAAUCAAAUGAGGUCAUCCUAUAUAUCAAUCUUCGUUUCCGGACCAUUCCGGAAACCCUCGUGACGUCCGUGAUCUCAUCCGGUACUCCGAACAACAUUCAGUAACCAACCAUAUAACUCAAAUACGCAUAAAACAACGUCGAACCUUAAGUGUGCAGACCCUGCGGGUUCGAGAACUAUGUAGACAUGACCCGAGAGACUCCUCGGUCAAUAUCCAAUAGCGGGACCUGGAUGCCCAUAUUGGAUCCUACAUAUUCUACGAAGAUCUUAUCGUUUGAACCUCAGUGCCAAGGAUUCGUAUAAUCCCGUAUGUCAUUCCCUUUGUCCUUCGGUAUGUUACUUUCCCGAGAUUCGAUCGUCAGUAUCCGCAUACCUAUUUCAAUCUCGUUUACCGGCAAGUCUCUUUACUCGUUCCGUAAUACAAGAUCCCACAACUUACACUAAGUUACAUUGCUUGCAAGGCUUAUGUGUGAUGCUGUAUUACCGAGUGGGCCCCGAGAUACCUCUCCGUCACACGGAGUGACAAAUCCCUGUCUUGAUCCAUACUAACUCAACUAACACCUUCGGAGAUACCUGUAGAGCAUCUUUAUAGUCACCCAGUUACGUUGCAACGUUUGAUACACACAAAGCAUUCCUCCGGUGUCAGUGAGUUAUAUGAUCUCAUGGUCAUAGGAAUAAAUACUUGACACGCAGAAAACAGUAGCAACAAAAUGACACGAUCAACAUGCUACGUCUAUUAGUUUGGGUCUAGUCCAUCACGUGAUUCUCCCAAUGACGUGAUCCAGUUAUCAAGCAACAACACCUUGUUCAUAAUCAGAAGACACUGACUAUCAUCGAUCAACUGGCUAGCCAACUAGAGGCAUGCUAGGGACGGAGUUUCGUCUAUGUAUCCACACAUGUAAAUGAGUCUUCAUUCAAUACAAUUAUAGCAUGGAUAAUAAACUAUUAUCUUGAUACAGGAAUUAUAAUAAUAACUAUACAUUUAUUAUUGCCUCUAGGGCAUAAUUCCAACAUAAACGCACCACAAUGCUAAUUAUGCUACUUGAAAGUUAGAGGCUCAAUAGUAAUGGGCCGUACGCCAAGACAAGUAGACCGUUUAUUCAUCAGCAUCUACUUACUAAUCAUCCACCUUGAGAUAUCUAUCCAGAACAUCUCGCUGGUAUUAAGUUGCGAGCCCCACCCAAAGUGUAAACUCAAAGCAACGGACAACUGCAUUAACGAACUAUGCAUAAGGUACACAAUCCUUGCAACUGUGGUCACAAGCACCGUUGUUUUCUCCCUGGUGGCAACACCACAUCCCCUAGUCUCAUGUUUCUGUGACUCAAGCUAGACAUCAGGGGGCACGAACCCACAAUCAUGCAUAACGCUCCCUCUUGGAGUAACAAUCUACUACUCGGCCAUAGCAAUAAAGAGCAAUAGAGAACAUGCAUGAAUCACUAAGGGACAUAAUAUAAAAGGAUAAUCAAAUAUAUAACUCAUAAAAAUCUGAACAUAAUCUAUCGGAUCCCAACAAACCGAGCAAUAGCAAUAGCAAGAAAAUUACAUAGAUGCCUUGAUCAUGAUUGGAGAGAAGACAUCACAUAGCUACUGGUCAUGGACUCAUGGUCCAAGGAGGACUACUCACGGCACGCCCGGGAAGCGUCCAUGGCAGUGGAGAAGCUCCCGGAGGUCAAUCCUCCCUCUGGCAGGGUGUCGGGAAGAGUACUCCUGACCCUCCCGAUCUCAGAGGCGUUGCGGCAACGGAACGAUGGAGAAAUUAGCGAUUCUGGAUGUUGUGGAAGGGUUUCCUCGCGGAGGAGUAAAUAUAGGCCAAAGGAGGACGUCAGAAGAGGUGGGGUCCACCCAGGCGGCUUGUGGGCGCGGCCAGGGGCCAGGCCGCGCCGGGAGGUCGUCUGGGCAGGCCCUGGCCCAUCUUCGAUGAACUGGAAGCUUCCAUUACGCUGUUUUUAUAUAUUUUUCUCGGGAUUUUUGGUGCUCCGGAAAAUUGGAUAAAAGCCCUUGCAAAAAAGACAUUAGCACACAGAAACUGGCACUGGCUGCACUGAGUUAGUAGGUUAGUCCAAAUAUGUGUAAAAAGAUAUAAAAGUUUAGCAAAACAUAUAACAAUGUCACCCAAAAGAUCAUCAAACAAGCAGAAAUUAUAGAUAUGUUUGGGACGUAUCAAUGAGCUAGUUUAAUAGAGGCGCACUAGGGAGACGGUGUUGUCUAUGUAUCCACACAUGUAUUUAUUAUGAUAAUAACUAAUUUAUUAUUUCCUCUAGGGCAUAUUUCCAACAAACAUACCCUACAAAAGAAAGUUAGACGUCCUCUACUUUGUUGUUGCAAGUUUUACGUGGCUGCUAUGGGAAACUAUCAAGAACCGUUCUUACCUACGCAAAGCCAAAAUGGUGACAAUCAAGUUGCAUUUUAACCUUAUACAAGGACCCCUUUUGUCGAAGCCGAUUCAACUAAAGUUGGAGAUACAGAUACCCACCAUCCACCUUUAUGCAAAAAAAAUUGCAUGUCAAUAGGUGGAACCAGUCUCUUGUGUGAGGACAAGUAAGGUUCGUCAGAGCCGAUUCAUCCCAAAAUUCUACUGAAUCAAAAUAAGACGUGGGAUGCAAGAAAUUUGAACAUAAACGCCCACAAGUUCUUUGUGUUCUACUCGUGCAUAUCAUCUAUGGAUAGACCUAGCUCAUGAUGCCACUAUUGGGGACCGUUGCAUGGGAAACAAAAAAUUUACUAUGAACUCCCAAGAUAUAUAUAUAGAGAUGCAUCACAACAAGAGCGGAGAGUGUGUCUACGUACCCUCGUAGACCAUUAAGCAUAACCAUAUAUUAUGUGGUUGAUGUGGUCGUACUCUUCAUGAUCCAACCUGAUCCAGCGCCAAACACACGACACCUCUGUGUUCAGCACACGUGCGGCUCGACGAUGUCUCUGUCUCCUUGAUCUAGCAGGUGAAGGCGGACAAGUAGAUGGGAUCUUGACCAUCACGACUAUGUCGUGGAGAUGGUGGUGGAGUAGUGCCGACAGGGUUUCGUUGUGCGCUACUGAAACUAUGAAUGGAGGAUCAACAAAGUAACGGGGGAGAGGGGGCACCAAGGGGCUGGUGUGUCCUCUUGGGGCGCCCCUCCCCUCUAUAUAUAGGUGGAGUGGCGUGGUGGCAAGCCCUCCAAGCCCUAGGGGCGAACCAAGGGGGAGGAGUUGGACACCUAGUCCAACUCCCUCCUUUCCAGACACGGGUGGACUUUUCCACCUUUCCCAGCCGCAUGGGCUUUGAGGGACUUGUGCGCUUGGCCCGAUUAGGCCACGGAUCCUCCCCUCAGUUCAUGUCGACCCUUGGGACAUGGUGGAGUCCUUGGUGGACUUCGGGACUCCUCCAGAAGUUUUAGGAACCUUCUCGAAGCUUCCUUCUACAAUACGAAAAAAACUAAAACUUUUCCCGGAACCCUGAAAACAACUUUUCAUAUAUAAAUCUUUACCUUCGGACCAUUUCGGAGCUCCUAGUCAUGUUUGUGAUCUCAUACGAGACUCCAAACAAUAUUCGGUCACCAAUAUACAUAACCCAAUAAUAUUAUAUCAGCAUCGAACGUUAGGCGUGUGGAUCCUAUGGGUUUGAGAAUCAUGUAGACAUGAUCGAGACACCUCUCCGGUCAAUAACCAAUAGCGGGACCUCGAUUUCCAUAUUGGUUCCUAGAUAUUGCACGAAGAUCUUCAGCGAUCGAUCCAUGAUGCCAAGGAUUCAAUCAAUCUCGUAUGCAGUUCCCUUUGUCUAUUGGUAUGUUACUUGCGCGAGAUUAGAUCAUCGAUAUCUCCAUACCUAGUUCAGUCUCUUUACCAGCAGGUCUCUUUACUUGUUUCAUAAUACGAGAUACCGCGACUAACUCCUUAGUCACAUUUCUUGCAAGCUUCUUGUGAUGUUGUAUUACCCAGAGGGCCGAGAGAUACCUCUCCGUCAUACGGCGUGACAAAUCCAAAUCUCGAUCCAUGCCAACCCAACAGACACCUUUGGUGAUGCAUGUAGAGUACCCUUAUGAUCACCCAAUUAUGAAGUGAUGUUUGAUACACACAAGGCAUUCCUCCGGUGUCACGGAGUUGCAUGGUCUCAUGGUCUUAGAAAUAGAUACUUGACAUGAACAAAGCGAUAGCGGCAAACUAAGUGAUAUGAUCAAAUGUUAUGCUUACGGUUAGGUCUUGUCCAUCAUAUCAUUCUCCUAAUGAUGUGAACCCAUUAUCAAAUGACAGCUCAUGUGUAUGGUUAGGAAACCUUAAUGAUCCUUGAUCAACGAGCUAGUCUAGUAGAGGCUCACUAGGGACACAGUGUUGUUUAUAUAUCCACACAUGUAUUUAAGUUUUCGGUCAAUACAAUUCUAGCAUGGAUAAUAAAUGUUUAUCAUGAACAAGGAAAUAUGAUAAUAACCAAUUUAGUAUUGCAUCUAGGGCAUAUUUCCAAUAGUACUACCGUGAUACCGAGCGGUACUACCGCAGAUCAUAGAAAAACUGUCGUGGCACUAAAAUUGCCAUAACUUUCACAUACGAGCUCCGAAUUGAGCAGACUCAAGCUUGUUGGAUAGAGUACAACAAGUACUAUCCAAAAGUGACAAUAGAAAAAUGAUGAACCAUCGAAAACUUGAUAGAAGAUUCGUAUGAACUUCGUUUUCGAUGAACCCAAGCUUGUCAUGAAGAUAACCAUAAGCACUAAGACCCACAAAGAUAAAAGCCAAACAAGAAUAAAGAAAGAUGAUGAUGCCAAUAAUGCAAUAGUUUGAUCUCUCUAUGAAUGAUAAGAUCAAGCUACUUACUUGAGAGCGCCCCUUGAAAGUACAACAAUCGAUCCUAUAACCCGGCCUCCCAACUACCACCAUGACAUCGCUAAAGUAGAAAAUGUAUCAAGGGCAAACAUUUGACUUGAGCAUAGUCCACUUGAUCUAGAUGAUGAUGAUCUUGUCCUCCUCAAGAUGGACGACAUUUCUUGAUUGCGUCGGCUCGAUGAAGACUAGUAGAUUGCUCCCUCAUAGUCCACUAUGGGUGAGAAAUCUACUAGUCUUCCAUCUUGGGUGAGCAAUACACUUCUUUCUUGAAGUCCAUUUCUUGGUUUCAAGGAGUUUAUGUGAUGACCAAGGUGGUAUUCUAGGAUUUAUCCAAAGAUUGGUCAUGUGAGAGUUGAGCUUAUUGCAAGCAUGUCUUAAAGAAGUGUAUUGUGUGAACAUUCAUGUUUACCUUCAAGACAUCAUCUUUAUAGAGAGAAGGUAAGUCUCAAGGUUGAUCAAGACUAAGUCAAAGAGUGGAUCAAGUUGAUCAACACACCAAGCGUACAUGAUGUACCAAGAGGGAUCAAGUGAUCCCAUGGUACGGUAAGCAUUGCCCAUUAUGCUUUGUGUACUAACCCAUGGUCUAUGUGAGAGUUCUGUGUGGGGUUAGGUAUGUGUCCAUGGGAUUGCGUCAAGAGGAAGAUCUCAUACAACCGAUGGAGGAUGCCAUAAAGUGGUGAUCUUCAUCAAGUUUGUGGUGUGCAAUUUCAAGUGGAGCUUCACGAAGAGAUCAUGCUUGAAACUUGUUGUCCAUUCUGGUGACAAUGGACUUGUGAAGAUGUGUCGGAGAGUGGCUCACUGAUACGUCUCCAACGCAUCUAUAAUUUUUUAUGGUUUCAUGCUAUUAUCUUGUCAAACUUUGGAUGUUUUGCAUGCUUUUUAUUUAUUUUCUGGGACUAACUUAUUAACUCAGUGCCAAGUGCGAGUUCCUGUUUUUUCCAUGUUUUUGACCCCUUUCAGAGAGAUUUUGAAACGGAGUCCAAACGGAAGAAAAUCCUCGAAAAUAUAUUUUUUGGAACGGAAGAAGAUCGGAGAACUUGGGAGACAAGCCAGAGGAGCUCCAGGGGCCCCACAAGCCCCCACCCCGCGGCCAGGGGGCGCGCCAUCCAGGCGUGUGGGCCUCGUGGAGGUCCCCUGACCUAGAUCUUUUGCCUAUAUAAUCACAUAAAUUCCAGAAAAAAUCAAGAGAUCAUCGCAAUCGCUUUCCGCCGCCGCAAGCUUCUGUCUCUGCAAGAUCCCAUCUGGGGCACAUCCCGGUGCCCUGCCGGAGGGGGGAUUCGGAUACGGAAGGCUUCUUCAUCAACACCAUGACCUCUUCGAUGAUGCGUGAGUAGUUCACCAUAGACCUACGGGUCCAUAGCUAGUAACUAGAUGGCUUCUUCUCUCUCUUGGAUCUUCAAUACAAAGUUCUCCAUGAUCUUCAUGGAGAUCUAUCCAAUGUAAUCUUCUUUUGCGAUGUGUUUGUCGAGAUCCGAUGAAUUGUGGAUUUAUGAUCAAAUUAUGUAUGAAUCUUAUUUGAGUUUCUUCUGAUCUCUCUUAUGCAUGAUUUCAUAUCCUUGUAAUUCUCUUUGAGUUGUGGGUUUUGUCUGGCCAACUAGAUCUAUGAUUCUUGCAAUGGGAGAAGUGCUUGGUUUUGGGUUCAUACCGUGCGGUGACCUCACCCAGUGACAGAAGGGGUAGCGAGGCACGCAUCGUGUUGUUGGCAUCAAGGGUUAAAUAUGGGGUUUUCAUCAUUGGUUUGAGAUUAUCCCUCUACAUAAUGGCAUCUUGCUUAAAGUGUUACUAUGUUCGUCAUGAACUCAAUACACUAGAUGCAUGCUAGAUAGCGGUCGAUGUGUGGAGUAAUAGUAGUAGAUGCAGAAAGUAUCGGUCUACUUGUCUCGGACGUGAUGCCUAUAUGCAUGAUCAUUGCCUUAGAUAUCGUCAUGACUUUGCGCGGUUCUAUCAAUUGCUCGACAGUAAUUUGUUCACCCACCGUGAUAUUUGCUAUUAUGAGAGAAGCCUCUAGUGAACACUAUGGCCCCUAGGGUCUACUCCACACCAUAUUUUCAGCCUUACACUUUUUAUUUCGUUGCACUUUCCGCCUUCAUAUCUCACUUUGCAAACAAUCUUGAAGGGAUUGACAACCCCUUUGAAGCGUUGGGUGCAAGCUUGUUUGUGUUUGCGCAAGUACUUUGGACUUGACGAGGCCCUCCUUCUGGAUCGAUACCUUGGUUCUCAAACUGAGGGAAAUACUUACUGCUCCUGUGCGGCAUCACCCUUUCCUCUUCAAGGAAAAACUGACACAGACCAGAAAAGUAACAAGAAGAAUUCCUAAGCGCCACAGAAGGACUUUUGUUGCUGCAUCACUCACCCAUAGUGGAGUAUGAGGGAGCAAUCUACUAGUCUUCAUCAAGUCGGCGCAAUCAAGAAAGGUGGUCCAUAUUAAGGAGGACAAGAUCGUCAUCAUCUAGCUCAAGCGGACUAUGUGCAAGGCAAAGGUUUGCCCUUGAUAGGUUUUCUAUUUUACUUGUCUCAUGAUGGUAGUUGGGAGACCGGUUUAUAGAAUCAAUUGUCGUGCUAUCAAGGGGGGAUCUCAAGUGAGUAGCUUGGUUGUAUCAUUCAUUGAGAUCUCAAACCAUUUGCAUCCUUGCAUCAUAUUUAUUGGAUCUUGUUUGGUGCUUCUCUUUGUGAGUUUUAGAGCUUAUGGUCAUCUACAUGAUAAGCUCAAGUUCAUCAAAAACAGACUUCAUAUGCAGCUUCUAUGAUGUUUUUGAAGUUGGAGUUUAUGUCGGUGCUUCUCUAGAUGGAGGUUUAAAUCCUCUAUAUCAUAGGCUUACUCCCCUUGCCUCUACUUAAUAUAACUAGCUUGAGAUUGCUCAAUUCGGAGCUCAUUUGCAGAAGUUAUGGCAGUUCUCUUGUUCAUGCAUUCAUCUGUUUCUUAUGUUCUGUUCGUGAAGGAAACAAGUGGUUGUACCAUGCUCGUCAGCGGUAGUACCGCCUACAGCCUAAGAGGUAGUACAACUCUGAGUAAGCGGUAUUACCGUCCCCGGGCAGUAGUACCACUACCCAAUACCGUGCGCUGUAUCGCUGCAGUGAAGUCUCAACUUUUCGUCUCGGACUAGGCGGUUGUUGUGACGGUAGUACAACGUGGUAGUAUCACCUAUAAGCGGUAGUACCGCCCGCCACUACCAAUUAUCUACCUCCUAACCUUCUAGACUCAGAACUCUCAGCGGAGCACUGCCGCCCGAGCGGUAGCACCACUUGUGUGCGGGCUGAGGGUAUAACAGUUGUAUUUUCCCCUCCUAUAAAAGGGGGUCUUCUUCCCCAAUGGAUUGUAUCCUUUGAGCUUGUGUGCCCCCCCCACCAUUGACCUUCUUCGACCUUGUUAUCUUGCAAUCCCUCUAAUGAUUCUUGUUAUUUAUUGAGGGAAAAGAGAGAGUAGAUCUAGAUCUACGUUUCCACGAAUCACUUUCUCCUCUAUGUGAGGGGAACCCCUUGGAUCUCGAUCUUGGAGUUCUUUGCGAGCUCCUUGUUCUUCCUCUCAUAUUCCUCCAUAGCUUUUGUUGUUGUGGUGGGAUUUGAGUGUGAGGGACCUGGCCACUUUGUGUGUUCUUUCCAUUGCAUUAGCUGCAUCGGUUUGAGUUCUCCAUGGUGAUACGUGGAAGUGAAGUUUGAGAAGAGCCUUCAAGGGCACCACUAGUGAAAUCACGGGAUCUUGAAUUGUGCGAGGGCGUGAGGAGAUUACGGGGCCUCUAGUUGUUUAUUAGGGAGCAUUGUGCCUACACACCGCUUCAAAUGGAGAUUAGCAUCCGCAAGGGUGUGAACUUAGUGUAACUUCUCGUCUCUGCUUGCCUCGGUUAUGUUUUACCCGAUUCCUUUACUUAUGCACUUUACUUUGUGAUAGCCAUAUUGUUUCUUGUUAUAUAUCUUGAUACCACUUAGUUGUUUAUCUUGCUUAGCAUAAGUUGUUGCUGCACAUAGGCGAGCCUAGUUGUUUUAGAUUUUGUGCUUGACUAAUUAAAUGCUAGUUUUGUUCUGCAUGUGUUCAAGCCUAAACCGUAAUUAUUUUAAAGUGCCUACUCACCCCACACCUCUAGGCGACAUCCACCUGCUUUCACUAUGGACAAAUCCUUCGAAUAUAACUCAAGUUAACCAUUAGUCCAUAGGGAUUGCCAUCAAUUACCAAAACUAAACAUGGGGGCACAUUGUUCUAACACACAUGCUCUCUCACACAUAAGCCUCAUAAUAUCCAUCCUCAAAACAACCACCAUACCUACCUAUCAUGGCAUUUGCAUAGACAUUCCGAGAUAUAUUAUCAUGCAACUUCCAUUGUUACUACACAUGACUUGAGAAUUCACUGUCAUAUUGCUUUGCUUGAUCAUAUAGAGAUGACAUAAUAUUUGUAGCAAAGCCACAAAUUCAUCAUUGUAAUACAUGUUACACUAAAGUAUAUUUCUAGUCAUCAUAGUUUUUAUAUUUUUGAGUUGUAAGUAAAAUAAAGUGUGAUUCAUUAUUAGGGUGCGUCCUACUUGUGAGCAUAAAAAAGAAAAAAAUAUGCUAGAGAGCCCAAAGGGGUGUAAAGAAAAAAUGAGAGAGGGUGCGCAUCACUGUCCUCUUACCACAUUUGUGCUUCAAAGUAGCACUUCCACUUUGCAUCUUAUAUAGAGAGUCCUCAUGAUCUUCAUUUUCAUAUACCAGUGGGAAUUUUACAUUAUAGAAUUUGACUUGCAUAUUCUGAUGACAAGCUUCCUCAAAUGCUCGAGGCCUUCAUAAGCAAGUAAAUUGGAUGCAAACCCACUUAGUUUCAUAUAGAAAGUGUUCAUACAGUUGAAUCUCUAGUGCAUCGUUUGCAUGGCAAGCCCUGCCCCCCUCAUCAACAUCAAUUUUAAGGCAUCUCCAUUGUCUCAAUGAUUAAGCCUCAUUAAUGUGAGACUUUUUUAUACAUUUUGUCUUUCCUUAUAAACCCCUAUCAUCAUUCUCUUUGCCAUACUAAGUGUUAAAGACCUUGGCUCACGCUCAAGUAUUGUGAGAAAGUUUAAAAGGUUGAAGCGAGAAAAGGUAUGAUUUAAUUGCUUGGUUUGACACCAGGGUUGUUCUUAAUUUGAUACCUCUAUACUAGGAAGACUAAGAGUGACAUGUAUUUCGUGAUUAAGUGUGUAUAGAUCAUUUUCUUUAGCUUCAUUAUUUUGAAAGGCAAUGAUUAUCCAUUUGCAUGUUUAUGUAUUACUGUUUGGAUGUUAAAUUGAUAUAGUAUUGCCUUGAAUCGUUCGUAUCCCGAUAUCCAUACCAUGGUUACAUCAAUUGAUCAAGGACAUGUUAGGUAGCAUUCAUCAUAAAAAAUUGUUUUUGUUAUCAUUUACCUACUUGAGGACGAGUAGCAAUUGAGCUUGGGGAUGAUGGUACAUCUCCAACUUAUCAAAGCUUUCUUUGGCUUUGCUUAACCAUACUAAAAUCAAACCUUAUCAAAAUCUAGAAUAUGAUGGGUGUAAUAUAUAUGUCGAACACGUCUGAGAUUAAACCACUUUAAUAUAUAUGUCAUUGUUGGAACGCACAAUCAAUUAGCUAGUACAUACAAUUAAAGGGAGUUGGUACGUUUACCUCACCUCCUGUCGCAUCCCCAUACGUCAGUUUCCCUGCAUUAACUCAAUCAACUCAAAUCAAAUCUUACCAAAAACUCAACUAAUUAAAAUGUUUCGUCCCUUCCUACCAGCACCCAAAUCAAAUCAAAUCUUAUGAGAAACCUCUACUAAAUCAGAACUCUCGUUGCCUUUCCAUACCCAUAUUCAAAUCAGAUCAAAUAUUACCAAUAUCUAGAAUAUGGUGGAUUUAAGGUAAAUACCAUACAUGAUUGGUGAUGAACCAUUAGAAUAUGUAUGUCCUGUUGCAACACACUAACAAUUAGCUCGUAACUGAAAUAGGAAGGGUUACAAUUAAUUUUAAUACAAUACGUGAUGAAGGUGGGAAUCUAUCUCCUCCAAUCCUAUGUGGAUUGUUUGGCGCAUCGAUGGGUUGCUUCAUUAUCUUUCCUUUGCACAAAACACAACACACACCUAGUAAACCCUCCCAUGGGCUCUUUGAUUUUGUGGCAAAUGGUUGCAAUAACUGAUUCAUGUGAAUCACCAAAGUUGAAAAUUGUGACCACAUCAUCAGCAUCACGUUCCACGCAUAUCCUUCUGUAUCCCAUAUCUCUAGCAAGUAGUAGGCCGUAUAUGAUGUUAUAUACCUCCAUAACCUGAACACAAGCAAUGAUCGGUACUAGAUAGCAUGCACCCUUAUUAAUUUUCCUUCAAGGUGUUUGAUCACAAGGCCAAGGAACUCUUGCCCUUUCAUUAAUCCCUUGCACAUCUGUUAUUUACAUGGCAAGUCAUGCGUCUUUUUUCCCUUGGAUCUGUUCUUACUUUUGUUUUUGAUAUUUUAACAUGAUAAGAUCAAUGACAUCCAUAAUUUGGUUACUUUCCUUUUUAUAAACAUCAAACAUAUAAAUAAGUGUUGGUGUUUGACAAGGUUGCCUUAGGGAGAAAAAUGCAAAAUGUGAAUUUAUAGGAGGCAAAAAUACUCUUAUUUCUCUCAUCUAAUCACCCCUAAAAAGUCUUCACAAUUGUGUCCAAACUUUGUUGUGGGGUGGCGGAAGGGGAGGUGGCCCGUGUCGACAUGUGACUAGGUACACAUGUAUGCUUUUGUAGCUUUCGAGUGGUUCAUGCAAGUUCACUAAGGAUCAAAGUUGCUAAGUAAGAUCAUAAACAACGACCAAACUACAAAAACGAUUGAUUGAUUACAAACUUAUUUGAUAGGAGUGUCCUUACCACAACUUUUUUAUCUAUCAGGAUGACAAAUGAAAAUGAAUACUACGAAAAAUACUACAAUCACCAUCUCAAAAUGCCCUGUGUUUUAUUACAAUCAUUAUUGUAGUUUUUAAAGAUGGUGGUAUUUAAUGACAACAACAAAUGCUAAAGUUUAGUGACAUUCUAGUGUUUACAAUAAUUUGCAUUGAAAAUGAAUCCCAAGUUUGGUCUUUGUAGUGUGGUCCUCGUUCACAACUCCAAAAAUAUGUUUAUCUAAUUUCAUUUAGUUUGGCGUUAGAUAGAGGCUAACUGUUUUGAUACCAGUUUGGCAUUGUCAACAUUUGACAGAAUCAGAUGUUGUAAAAAAUGGCAACUUUUUUUAUAGAUUCACAAGAAUCAAUUGGCAGCCAACCAAUUGAUAGCCAAUUUUCUUAUACUUACCAAAAGUUGGAAUGCCAAAUAUUGGCAUCAAACGAGUUAGACAUGUAGAUCCAAAAGUCUCAAUAGCAAAGAACAUGAUUUCAUUUUUUCUCAUUGCCUUUUCCCACAAGUCAACUCUCAUUGUUUGGAGGACCAAUUUUCUAAUUAUUUUGUGUGUGUGUGUGUGUGUUUUAUGUGUGGACUUCGAUGAUCUUAGGUUAUAUACAGAUACACGUAAAGCCUACUCAUCUUAUAGUUAUUUAAAAGAUACCAUUUGAUAAAUUGUCGUUCAAAUUGGCGAUGGCAUGUAGCUUCCUUCUCUCUAAAUCCAUAUUUUAGAGAUUAGUAGUAUAGUUUACCCGUAUGGUAAUAAUAAUUUAACAUAAGAUUUCAUCUUGAACAUCCAAAACAUUUUAUAUUUAAGAACCGAGGUGGGAAGACAUCUCAUCAAUUUGGUAGUGCCUUUGGCCUUGGUGUCGAGUACUUGCCGAUGUGACUAUCAAACGAUCAAUCUUCAAGAGCUGAUUGAAACAUUGUUUCAUGUUUAGAGUGAAAACUAAUGUUUCAACUUUUAUUGAUUGGGCGCGACGAACUUGCAUCAUUAUCUUAUCGAAGGCGUUAUCUACUAUUGUCGUACUAGUUUCGUUGACUGGUCUCGGUACGAGGAUGAAAACCCCUGUCUAGGCCAUAUAUGGUCGGAUGUGAAGAUGAUGACGCAUAUUUUUUUGAAGGUAUUUCUACGGAAGAAGUCGAUUUAGUCGUAGUUGUUUAUUUUAUAUCUGUUGAGGCACUGGUUACUUUUAGUCUACACUCUACUAAAUAAUUCAUAAAAAUGGAUGUGUACAUCGCUCGAUGCAUAGGUUGAAGAUUAUCCAUAUAAACAUGUGGAAUUAUUUGGAUUUUUUGAAACUUCAAAAUACCAUUUAAACACUAUUUAGAAUAUAGGACCCCAAUGCUUCGGUCCACCAAAGUGACUUUUUGUACUCCCUCCGUUUCUAAGUAUAAGUCUUUCUAGAGAUUUUAGUAGUAAACUAUAUAUGGAUGUAUAUAAACAUAUUUUAAAGUGUAGAUUCAAUUAUUUUGCUUCGUACGUAGUCCUCUAGUAAAAUCGCUUAAGAGAUUUAUAUUUAGGAACGGAGGGAGUACUACUUUUACGAUUUGGCAUGUCAGAGUCGUGAUGUUUUUACUACUUUUGUACAACUUUUACGAUUUUAUUUUUUGUACUACAUAUAGGACUCCAAAGUUUUGGAUUAAUUCUCUUUGGAGGAAUAGAUCCGCCUAGUGUCAAUCACCAACUUAGUUCCUUCAACGUCAAUUUUUGUAUGCUGGCACAAGGAAGUUUCCGCGUACGUAUAUAACGCAGAACAAUUUAGCAACGCGUGCAGUGGACAUCAAAGUGGAGAUGAUGCCUUCCACAAGAUACAAAACUCAGUACUUUUUUUUUUAUCAAUACAAAACUCAGUACUUGUCACCGUGGAAGAUCAAAAUGCCUUGUCAUGAAAUGAUUAAAUAGUGGAGGGCGCAGAUGCGCGAGCAUAAAAAGGGAAAAGGUAUAUGAAGUGCUGGAAAGUUUUGGGAGUACUGGAUGUCCCGAUAGGGCACCACCAUGCGGACGUGGUUGCUUUGACAAAUGAAGAAAAGACAUGCUCACGCCAAGAGGAUUGAAGCACUCCGGGCGCUCUAGAAAUAGGCCAUUGCUCCGUUUUACAAAUAAAGCACUUGAGAUGCUCCAUUCCCAUAUAUGAGUGAUUACUUCUAAAAACAAAUCAUGAAAUUAAAAAAAAAACACUAAAAUUUUAAGAUAUUAUUCCUGCGUGUUCAAUCUACUUCCUGGUUAAGUUUCGUGGAAAAAUAUCAGCAAACGUAUUCUCAAAAAAAAGGCUUUUUUUUAAUUCGUGAACUUUGAAGGAAGGCGGUUGGUUCUUUCCGUGAACCUGUAAAUUUAUAUUCCUGUGCAAGUGGUCUUCGAAGAUUCUACCUUAAAGUAUGCAUAGGUUUUGGGAAUUUCGAACUGUUUUUUAUUUCUUUUUUCCAAUCUUUUUUUAAUCCAUUUGUGGGUUCAAUUUUCUUUUUUAUUUUUAUUUUUCCAUUCUUUUUCGAAUUCAUGAAUUCUAUUUUUAAUCUUUCCAGUUUUAGUGUACUGACAUUUUUUACAUGUCAUGAUGUUUUUUAAAAUGAUUGUGCAAUCAUUUAUUUUAAUUUUAAAACAUUUAAGUGUUAUGAAUAUAUAUUUAAAAUGGCACAUGUAUUUUAUUUUGUAUGCCAUGAGCAUUCUUAGAAACUUCUACUAACAAGUUUGUACUUUUCAUGAAUAUUAUUUUUAAAUACACAUAACACUUACAAAAGUUGAACAUCUAAUAUUAUUAAACACGCAUUGAGUAUUUCUAAUACAUGUUGAACAUUUUUCAUAUACACGUUGAAAUUUUCUAAAAUAAAAUUUUAGCAUUAUUAUAAUCCAUUCUUUAAAAUUAUAUUUUCCACGAGACAUUCCUAAAGCAUAUGCACUAUUUUUUAUAAGGAACGGGCAUGAUUUAUAUGACAUUGUAUUUUUAGAAAGUAUCAAACAUAGUUCACUUUUUUAAAUUUCAUGGACAAUGGCAUAAAAUUCACUUUUUUGUGGAAUGAUACGAACAUUUUUAUAAAUGCAUGAACAUUUAUUAAAUGUUAUUUUUUUAAGAUGGGUGGACAAAUUUGUAAAUAAAUAUUAGCAUUUUUAAUAUAUAUUUUUUAUAUAAUUUAUAAAAAAUAUUAAGAAUGAAAAUAAUUGAGAGGAAAAUGUAUGUAGAUGCGUUAGAUCCGGCCAGAUGCAUGCCUGACUCGUGGGAUGGCCUAGCCCAUCUAACUAGGCGUUGGAGAUGAGGAGAUCUUGUGUCUUGCAAUAAACGAGAUAAAAAGUUCAACUAGCCCCCCUAUUGGAGGUGAGGAUAUCCUCUAGGCAUCGCCAUCGGAGCCCACAUAAACCUGUCAUCUCAUUCGAACGAGAAUCCUGUCAAUUUUGAGUGUGCAGGGGUGCUAACAUAGCGGAUCUCGCAAAGUUAAGAGACGGGGCAGGAAUAGAGGUAGGUAUAUGUGGAGCUCUUGCUUGUGUUUUUCAGUUUUAUUUUUGGGGUUUUGCAUGUUUUUUCUAUGUUUUUGUGAGCUUUUUUUAAAUUUAUGUGUUUCUUCGCGUGAAACAGCCAGUGUGAUUUUUUUCUUUUUCAAUAUUAAAUUUCCAAAGACACGCUGACCUUUUUUUCAUACAUGUUGUACAUUUUCUGUAUACAUGUGGAAGAUUUAUUGUUAGAUGGUAAAGAUCUUUCAAAUACAUAAUGAAUUAUUAUUUUUGAAUAUAUGUUAAACAUUUUUCAAGUAUACGCUUACCAGCUUUUUGAAUGGUAUGAAACUGUUUUUAAAACUACGUGAAUAUUCUUCCUUACAUUGAAUAUCAUGUUUUAGAAAUAUAGCAAACAUAUUUUUGGACCACAUGAAUAUUUAUUUCAAAUAUCACGAACGUUGUUUUGAAUGGUACUAAUAUUACGUGCUUUCUUACAUUUUAUAAACACUAGCAAAAGAGCCCGUGCGUUGCAAUGGAAGCAAACCAUACAACACGUCUUAACCUAAUAAUCAUGACUUGAGAUCUUUAUUUAAACUUACUGCAUAAAUAGAAUUUAAAGAAUGUUAAAUAAGUAAAAUAACAUCAUAUUUAGAUUAUACACAUCACUAUAGAUUCAAAUUACAUUAUAACUAGAAAUUUAAAAAUUAAAUAGGUAAGAUAUAUUAGAUUUCGAUUCAACACAUUUUUUGAAUGAAAGUUCAUAUGUAAUAAUUUAAAAUUAGAGUUACAGUUUAGAAGAUAUAAUUGUUUAUAGUAUUUGUUAAUUAUAAUUGGACCACGGAUUAAUUAACAACAUGGAUCGGCCUCGUUAUGAAAAAUGGAUUGUACGCUAUUGAUUAAAAUUACAGCAUAAAUAUUAUUUAAAAAUUAUUAAAUAAAUAAAAUUAUAUUAUAUUUAAAUUGUGCGCAUCACUAUUGAUUUAAACUACAUUAUAAACAGAAUUUUAAAAAAUUAAUAGAUAAACUAACAUUAUAUUCAGAUUUUACAUAUUUUUCUAAUAAAAUUUCAUAUAUAAUAAUGUAAAAUUGGAGUUACUGUUUAAAAGAUAUAUUUUUUUAAAGUAUUUUGCACUUAUAAUUUAACUACAGAUUAAUUAAUUUAAAAUUGUAGGAGUGUUUUCGAAAACAUACGGAAAAUGAUUGGUUUUUUUUACUCAAGUAUGUACUGCGGGUUUAUUUUAUGAAACUAAAGGAGGUUUCUACAAAAAAUUCAGAAAACGAUUCGUUCUCUCACUGUGUUAUGUACUGCGGGUUGAUUUCGAAAAAGCACAUGGGGUUUCCUGUAAAAACGAAAAAAACGAUUCAUCUCUCACUUAAAUCUGGACUGUGGGUUGAUUUUGGGAAACUUCAAGUUUUUUUUUGCAAAACGACCAUGACAGACGGAAGAAGCACUGCGUACUUUAUUAUUAGGGAGAGAUUUGAUAAAUGUAAUGGACAAUUAUUUGUACUACUUGAACAUUUUUCCUAUUUCAUGAACAUAUUUUUGAAAGAUACAAACAUAUCUUAAAAACUAGGUGAACAUCAUUUUUAUAUUGUAGUAACCUUUUAUUAAAGAUAGGGUCAAUGAUUUUUAAAACUUUAAGUAAAGUCAUCAAUUUUCUGUACAAACUUAAAUCAUUUCAGAAUAUAAACAAAAGUAAGAAAUAAAAAAAACAUGAAGAACAAAACACACAGCUUGGGACGCAAGUUUCAUGAUGAUGGGUCUGGCCCACUUAGGCCUGCGCACGCCUGUCGACUCGCUACAUGCAAAAGAAAGAUUCACCACGGCGUACCGUCCGACUCCCACACAGGAUGCUCUGCUCGGGACUGUGUCCGGUGAACCGGUGCAACUGGUGCUACCGGUGCACCAGACCACCGUUACAUAUUUUAAAAUAUUCGAAAAAAUCCAACAAAAAUUUAAUGCAUUGACACAACAUUAAUAUACGCUGUCACAAAAUUCAAAACAAUAUUCGAAACAUCACUUGAGAUAGAAAAAUAACAAAUUCGAUACUAAAUAAUACAUAACACAAGUUGGGCUCCAGGUUUGGCCCAUUAGUACAUUGAUGCCGAAUUUGUCAUUUUUAUAUCUUGAGCAAUGUUAAUAAUUUUGAUUUGAUUUUUUUGUGACAACAUACAAUGAUGUUAUGUAGAUGCAUUGAUUUUUUUCGAAACUUUUCAAACAUCUUAAAAUGUGUAAUGAUGGUCUGGUGCACCGGUAGCACCAAUUGCCCCGGUACACCAGAUACAUCCCCUGCUUUGAUUGGACCGACCAUGACAACAAUAUUGUAGCUGGAUAAAUUUGUCUUAUAUUUUUUGGUAGCGGACCGACUACAACAACUAUUAGAAUACUGUAGCUGGAUAAAUUUUGUAGCAGACCGACUACAAUAGCUUUUCUUAUAUUUUUUUAAACUAGCAUAUGCAUGUGCGUUGCAAAGGAAUAAUCGAAUGUGUAAAAUGUAAAAGUCAGGAUGUAUGGAUAAAAUAGAGUUAAAAAAACUUGCGAGAAUUUUUGAGCCCAAAACUUUUGCCGGCAUGUCUUCUAGUGUGGUGGUGCUCUCUGUAGUUUUUCUUAUUCAUCUAUAAUAAAUAGUCUUCCAUUUCAGUGAGGACAUACACAUGAGAUGGUAUUGGCAACUCCUUUUUUUACUGCGUUCUUCCUUCAUCGAGUAGCUCAGCCAGUCAGCCUCUCGAUCUUCCCAAUCCAAGCUCGCCACAGCUUAAAUAAAAACGACACAAAUAAAUAAGUACUCCCUCUAUAAACUAAAAUAAGACUGUUUAGAUUAUUAAAAUAGUAUUUUAAAUGCUUUUCUAUUAAUUUACGGAAGAAGUAUUUGCUAACUCCUAUAUCUGCAGAUGUAGUAACUGAGCCAGGGACGGAGCCAGGAAUUUGGUAUAGGGGGGGGCGAGUUCCACAAUUUAAAAGUGUGCAAAAGGCAUAAGUCUGAACUCAUGCUUUCACUGGUGUAAACACUACAAAAGUACUAGAUUUUUUUAAUUUUUUUCAAUACAAAAUGCUUCUCAAGUUAGCUAUAUAGAAAAUUUUAGUGUAUGGUACUAGAACUACGUGAUUCCAAAUCAAAUAGUACUAGAACUUUUAGACAAAAAAAACUACGAUUUGAAUCUAAGGAUAAUUGUGACAGUGGACUUAUCAUAUAGGAAUAUUAUAGGAUGUGGUACGUCGUCAGAUCCCUGGUCGUUCUUGGUGGUGGUGCUUUCCCUAAUCCUGUAUAUGUUGGGUGACCGUGAUAUGAUAGAUUGGGGAUUGCAGGCCUCAAGCUUUGGACGUAAAUAGCACAUAAGCAACUCCUUUUCAGUGUUCUCUUCCUCUUCAUAUCCAUACAAACAUAACUAAACAAUCAAGAAAUUCCUAAUUAACUUGUAAUCCUUGUAGGAUUUUAAUGGUACAGCCGUAAAGAUUUAAACGAAAUAAAAAGAAAGAGAUGAAGCAAUAGAGUAAGGGUUAACCUGAACCUAUGCAGUCAUGCUAAACCUCAAUCAGCCCUGAUCUUUGCUUGGAGGCAGGGGAAAAUUUCUCCCGGCGGCUGUAGGCGGAGACUCAAGCGGAUGAUGGAUAGAAACAUUGCACGAAGCCACGAUCUGGGUGAUGCUGCGGUCAAAUCUAUUGAUCGAGCUGUCAGGAAACAAAUGGGCUGUGUGCGUGCUUCUACUGGGUUUCACGUUUGACAGUGGGCCCUUUUUACUUUCCUAGGUUUUAGUUGUACAUGGGCUGGGGAUGGGUCCCUUAGGAGCUUCACUUUGUAUCCGCUAAAAAAACAUGGGGGGGGGGGGCAGAUCGAGCAAAAAGGAAUCGCUAAUUGCGAUCUGCCUAAUAGUUAACACUGGGCAACGUGAUCGUUGGGGGGGGGGAGGUGGUCUCUUCCCCCCUUGGAUCCGUGCCUGAACUGAGCUAGGCCCACAACACCGCUACUUAUUUGUGUGUGAUAAUGUGAAAGACAAUAAAACAUCGGAAAUUGUUUUUUGGAGCUGGGCCUCUAUGGUGGCCUUUAAAUUUGAAAUCCAAAAUACAUUAAAAUUCAUAUUUUUACAUUUCAAAUUUUUAAGGAAAAUACAGAGAUAAGUCAAUGCGUAACACACAUGUAUGUAAAUUUUUAGAAAAAAAACGUUCAAAUGAGGUCUGUACAGAAAAGACAAAUCCACAGCUUUUUAACACAUGAUACUAUUUAUAGUCCCAGGUCAUGAAUUUGUCUAUUUUGUGCAGAUCGUAUUUUAAGGUAAUUCAUUCUUAAACUCUACACACAUACACAUAACAUCCUUCUUUACUUGCAUAUUUUUUCAGAUUCUUUUGAAACCAAAAAAGAUUGAAAUUUGAUUUUUUCAAAAAUUUCAAGCUCCAUGGAGCUCGGCCUCCAAACGUCCAUUCUCAUAAAACUUGGUCUAUAAAACUAUACUCUCCUCUAUGUCUACACAUUCCUUUAUACAUAGUUCUCUUUCUCUCUCUCCUUUUAUAAUCCCACUACAAAGUAAUUUAGCAGCAGCAUUACGCGCACACACACUCCCCUUAAAGACACACACACGCAUGCACACACAGCCAGCAAUUUAGCAGCAGCACACACACAUGGAUAUUCUUUUUUCCAGUGUUCAUCUGGUCAACCAGGGACGCUCACGUCAGCGUGAACCCGCACCAAUGCAGUCGUGUGUGAUCGAUUGCUAGGCUGUCUAUUCCAUCCAGUCGAUAGAUACAUCAUUCCCUGAAAAAGAAGUUGGGCAUCUCUGGGAUCACAACCCUGUAACGAACAUUUGUUUUGUACUAUUUGAACAUUUUUCAGUUUCAUGAACAUAUUUUUGAAUGACAAGAACAUACUUUAAAAACUGCACCAACAAUAUUCCUAUACUGUAGUAACAUUUUAAAAAUAUGCGGUCAAUGGUUUUUAAAAUUUUAAGUAAAUCCAAUUUUUUAUACAUAUUUAAAUUAUUUCAGAAUAUAAGUAAAAGUAAGAAAACAAAAAAAAAACUUGAGGAGCAAAUACCAGCUUAUGACACUCGUCUUUUGCUGUUGGCCCAGGACCAUUUACGCUGGCGCGCGCCUAUUUGUCUCUCGUAUUCAAAAAUGUGCAUACAUUCCAAAACAAAUGCUCGCUAAUUCAAAAUUAAUGGAUGAACAUUUUUUGAACUUGAUGAAUUUUUCUACUCAAGAACAUCUUUCACUCAUUUAAAAUUAUUUGAUUAACAAAUUUUGCAUUCGAUGAACAUUUUUGAAAACGUUUGUGUCCAAAUUUUGAAUUUGAUGAACAUUUUAAAAAACUUACGCACCAAUUUAGAUUUUGACGAACAUUUUUUUAAUAUUAGAAUUUUUUUAAUAUGAUGAACAAUUUCUAAAUUCUAUGAACAAAAUUUAAAUCCGAUCAAAAAAAUUACGUGGUUGAUUUUUUUAAUCUGAUGAACAGAAUAAUGUUCGCGAAUUUUCAAAUAAAGAUUGAAUAAGUAAACAAUAAAAGUAUGAAAAAACUGAAAUGAUAAAAAAGAAAAUAAUAAAAGAAAGCGGGAACAACAAAAAGUCAAAAAAGAAACCCAGGUUGAGAGAUGGUUCAUACUGUAGAUUCCAGCGCGCCAGGGGGUUGCGCGCACGGUGGCUCUGUGCUGCCUUACGCGCCGUAUAGGAGCCACCGUUACUCGCCACUACAGCCGGCCUGCGACACGGCGAGUGCUUCGACUGGACCAGCUAUCAGACUACUGUAGCUAGAUAGCUUUGCAGCGGACUGACUACGCGCUUCUUUAACAUUCCUUUUUCCGCGGAAAAACCCUAAAAAAUUGUUUUUAAAAAGUGCUUCGUUUUUUGAAAUUUUGAUUUUUUUUACAAAACACUGAUAUUAUUAAAAUUUGUGAAUAUAUUUUGGAAAACACGAAAACAUCUUGUAAUUUUUCUUGGAAAGCGCGCUUUUCUGAAAAAUGUGAAUAGUUAUUUCAAAAAAAAUCGAAAACUAAUAAAAUUACAUUUUCUUUAAAAUUAAAUUAUUUCAUCGAAAAAUGAACAAAUAUUAUUUUUUGAACAUUUUUUCAAAACACAAAAAAUGUAUAAAAUUUUCAUUUUCUAAAAGCACAAACAAUUUAGAAAUUUGUAAAAAAAAUAAAAUAUAGAAAAAAGUUAGAAAUGGAAAAAACACAAAAAUAAAUACCAUACAAAAAAACUAUGGAGAUAGAAAACUGGUUGACAAACCAUGAUCCCUCAGCAUGUAACUAGCUCUAAAUGGGACAACCGAUCUAAAGUCUGUUACCCUAUAAAAACGGAACCUUAGCUCAAAAAAUUAAUAAUAUACAGAAAUAGAUCCUGAUAAGUACCUAACGUGUGGCACAGACACAUGAUAAUUCUGAAUAUGUUUUAGGGCAAGUUUGUGACGUGGGAAUGACAACUUUAAUUAUACAAAAUGGCAAUCAGGAUUGAAGUGCCACGCACGUGAUGUGGGACACUUAUCAUUUCCUGUCUUCUUUUGAGAAAAGACGUUUUUUAUUAACUUAAAAUGUAAUAUUGAGUGAAUACAAAGUAUAAAGAGUGACAUUCGAUUUUUAAAAUGCACACAACCAUCAAACCAAUAGCCUAACAAAUAAUAUAAAAACGAUAAAGUGGCAAUAGUAAAUUCAAAUUAGGCCGAACUAUGGCCAUGUCGACGGAGAUUAUGCUGUCACCCACGUUGGGUAAAAAACCUUCUUGACCAUCCGCUCCAAUUGCAUACACACCACUAAACAGCGAUUGUCGAUUGAUACUCCGUUCGAUGCAGAGUAAACCAGGUAAGAAGUCAAUGUGUACAAUGAUAAAUAAUGUGCAUAGGAGAAGAUAUUUUGCCAUUAAAAACAUAAUAAGUUUUACGUAGCCAAAACGACAUAGUGAGGCACAUGCUCCCACCUGUAUUAGUGUGCUAAAUGUGUUUGGUAUUUCAUCAAACCAGUGAUCAUAUACAUUAACACCACUUGUUGGUGGAUAUAAAUUUGACACUCAUCAUUUGGGCACUCGCAGAAAGAAAAGAAAAAAAGAAACUCCUGAUUUGAGGAAAAAAGAUUCUAACAUUUGCUCGUGACUCGCCCGAAUCCUCAACAAUAUUAGGCCGUAGAAGCGUUAAAUUGGGACUAUUAAAGGGGAAAUGAUUAUAAUCAAUUGACGUUUCGUCACUUGUGUAGCCGUCAGAUUCAAAUUUCAUCGGACCAUGCACGACAUACAUAUUAGUGCAACACAAUAGGUGUUACAAACCACGGGAUUACAACACACUAAAUAUUGUGAAACUCUCGAGUCUUCUGUCUAUAUCGUAUCCGGAGUCACGACACCAAUUCUCUUGACUCAAUUCAAGGGUGACGCGUGCCUCUGCUGCUUUAAUAUUUUUUCGCAACAUCAUCUAUGUUGUAGAAGUCUUUUCGUAACAACAUCGAAGUUGCAAAAAAUUGAAGGCCAAAAAAUAUUCCGUAACAUCAUCUGUGUUGAAUAAAUCGUUUCGCAAACACACCCACAUUAUAAAAAAAUAAAACAAAGAAAUAAUAACUCCGUAACAGAAUAUGUGUUGUAAGUGUUUCUGCAACAUGUGAUAUACUCCCUCCGUUCCUAAAUAUAAGUCUUUCUACAGGUUCAACUAAUGGACUACAUACGGAUGUAUAUAGACAUACUUUAGAAUAUAGAUUUAUUUAUUUUGCUUCGUAUGUAGACACCUAGUGAAAUAUCUUAAAAGACUUAUAUUUAGCUACGGAGGGAGUAUUACAUAGAAGGAUUCAUGUCUUUGUUGUAAUAGUGAGGAAAAAUACAUGUCACUGAAGCACAGAUUUUUUUUAGAAGAUCCGCCCUCGCGGGAUCCUCUGCUCAAGCUUCUGCUCGACGCGGCCGCAGGUGGCGCCCGGGAGGACGACGCCGAUGGGUUGGAGAAUGACCGGGCAACCAGCAGCCGUAAACCACAGCUCCCGAACGUGCAACCGAAACAUGACAUCAAAUCGGCAGCUUUGCACCACCUUCCCUGCUGAUUCCCAUCACAAAUACAGUAUAUCCGUGGAUGAAUUUAUAAUAUGGCGACGAGUUACCGGACCGCCGUCAAAUCAGCCAUGGUCGGGGCGACCCCGACUGCACCAGAAAGGUUUCUAGAAGAGAUCGACGAGCACGGCAACUGCAGCCUGCAGGUGAGCAUCGGCAUGGCGACCCGGAAGGCCGUCAAGGAUCGCGUCGGCGUCACCGUCGGCACUUGCCAUCACCACGGACGGUUAAACAAACCUGAGGCUUUCGGGCGUCGAGCGUGGUUGCCCCUCGACUCCACAACGAAGGUUAUUGCACGCCGUCGUACGAUUUUGAUGGAUAAUUGGUGAGCUUGCUGGCGAAACAUGAUGAUUGCCUAGGAUUAUGCUACUUCGGUCUACUCCUGAACCGGGUUCACUCGAGCAUGUAGUGACUAGUUCAAUCCUAUAAACAGUUAAUUUUCGGUUGAUACUAAUAGAAGUGUGAGCACGAUCUUUUCAAUCUUUUUUUACUUGCACGAAGCAGUGAUUUAGAAAUACUUAUUUUCCUUUCUAUUUAAAAAACGGAUCCAUAUAUCUAUAUAAAGGUUUAUAGGAAGUAACUAGGCAGCAAGCCUGGUAAGCUAUCUCAAAAAGGUUUAUAGAAAGUACAAAGCACAUUAAACAUGAUAAAAAAAAUACAUUGAGGACCCUACACCAUGGAACGACCAUUGUCGUCGUCAUAACAAGCUAACAACGUGUCCCUCUUGUCGCUUCCAUAUCAGAGUCGUACUACAUGAAUCAGUUUCUUUGCCGUCUACCAUAGCGGACGUCAAAGGUCUUUGUCGUCCGUUGGUAGAUUGCAAAUUUUUCAGCACUGAAAGUCACGGUAAAGACCUUCUUUACCGUUUGCUUGGAGGAAGCGGACAAAGAUCUUUGCCGUCUGAUACGAGUGCUAGAAGUGCAACAAGUGGUGUAGUAGCUCAUGAUGAUGCAAGAAACUUGUUCGUCUGAUACCAAGGGAUUUUGUCCCUUAUGCAAUCGAACUCCUUGCACUUCGGGAUGCGAUGGUGUUGGCUACAGAGAAAAGCUGGCAUAGGGUGAUCGUUGAAACAGACUGUCGAGUGGUUCAUGGUGAUUGGAAAAAGCUGAAAAGUGGUCGGACGAAGGGCAUGUCAUCCUAGAGAUACAUUCAUAUCUCUCACACUUUCAGGAAUUCAAGAUUCACUAUGCUUGAAGAGAAGCCAAUGAGGUUGCUCAUCGGGGUGUGAAAGGAGGUCUUUGUGUGUCUUCGAAUGUAAAUCACUUUCAUGUAAUUCUUGACUUUCUAAUUCCGUAUGUGUAAUUAUAUUUUCUCCGUCUAAACGAAUGAAUAAAGAGCCUUAAGAGCGGAUUGCAAAUAAAAUAAAAUAGUGGAGAUAGCAUGACUAUUCAACAUUUGUACGAACGAACUAUAAUCUCAGUACAUAAGAGCAACUCCAGCCAGGCGACCCAUUUCGUUUGAGAAUGUCCGUUUAUGUUGCCCAAGACACAAAACUCGGUCUAAUGUGACGAUCCAAACAAACGUGUGUCCGUUUUUUAUCCGCCCGCGACCCAUUCUAAGCCCAAAUUCGGGUCGCAUUUGGUUCGGCAUGGAUACAUGACGAACGCGUGGGACACCCGCCCUUCCCCCUCACCCGCGAGUCGAUGGCACACAGGCCAGUCUGCUCUUUCUCCCAUCGCGUCCGACUCACCUCGCCGCCCCACCACCCGUCGCUACCGUCCAAUUCCGCCGACGUCGCCAGCCUUCCAUCCAUAGAGAGGUCACCCUCCCGACCGCCUCAUCUGCCGGCGUCGCCACCCAGUUCCUACCUUGUCCCGAUGGGGCGUGAGGCUCUUCACCGGCUGGCUUCUUUCAGGAUGCCCGCAAGUUGUUUCGUCCAUUUGCCCGCAAGGUACAAAUGGAUUUUGAUGACGAGUUCUUUUUCUACAACGUUCUUUGCAAUUCAGGUGAUUCUUGAUCCAAUGAUGAGGAUAGCAGAAGGCAAUUGCCUGGAGGUCAAUGUUGAGAUCAAUGGCCACAACUACAACAAUGGAUACUAUCUAGCUAACGGUAUCUAUCCACAAUGGACUAUUCUUGUCAAGACAAUCCCCAACCCUCUAGGAGAGAAGAGAAAGAGAUUUUCCCAAGAGCAAAAGAGUGCUAGGAAGGAUGUUGAGCGUGCCUUUGGUGUUAUGCAAUCUCGAUGAAGCAUUGUUCGGUAUCCUGCAAGAACUUGGAGCAUCCAAUAGCUUUGAGAGGUGAUGAAUUCUUGUGUGAUCACGCACAACAUGAUCAUAGAGAAUGAGCACCCAGAACGUCUCUAUGAUCAAGGAUUUGAGUUUAAGAGUGACAAUGUUGUGCGUGAGCAUGAAGAAGCGACAACGUUUGCACAGUUUAUACAGUUUCAUCAACAGAUGCGUGAUUGAAAAACUCACAUGUAGCUGCAAAAUGAUUUAGUUGAACAUAUGUGGGUUUAUGUUGACAACCAAUAGAUGUAUCGAGCUGACGGCCACAUUUUUUUUAAAUGUAUUUGAGACAAUUUAAUUACUAUUUGGCUUCUAAAUUAUGAGAUAUCUUAUGUGGUUUUCAAACUAUGCAAUAUUUGUAUUUUUAUUAAACUAUGUAAGGUCAAAUUUAUACACAUGUGACAAAAUAAUCAAAAAAUAGUCGCAAGCCAGCCACGCGGACGAAAAAAGGGUCGGCGUGUUGGCCGUACUGCCGAUCCAAACAAAAACCGCGGCGAACAUAUCAAUCCAAACGAAUAAAAAAUGAACAAAUGAACAUAAUCCGUUCCCCUUUUUCUUUGAAGCGAGCUAUUUUCGUCAUAGUAAGCGUACAUGGCUAUGGGGGCGGGGCCGGAAGAAAAACUGCGAAUAAUGGGCGUGGACCUCUCAACCCAUUAAAGAGUGUGUUCCAUCGUCUCGUUGGCAAGUUGCCCUGUGCUCUCUCGGUAGUUCCGUUCCAUGUCCAGAAUGCGAACGUUGGCAUGAGUCACGGAGACGUCAAGGCUCCAACACCAUGCUCACUGUGUGCAAGCCGAUAUGCACACGUGGUGUUACGUGCUACUAGUACUCAUCCUGGGGCACGGAAGUCCUUUUCAUGUUGGCGUCGAAGAAAGUUCCCCCCGAUCGACCGGCCGAUCGUCUGCUCCAUUAAUUCGUCACGGCCCGUGGUUGAUGGCAUGGCAUCAUCUCCUCCAGGUGAAUGUGGCGCGCAUAUUUUAUGCGCUCCGGUCGAAAUCUCAAUCUCUAGGUGUCUUUUCACGGCCGGUUUUCUCGAUCGCCCCCGGAAUAGGCUCGUCGCUUUUAUCAUCGGAUGUUCGAAAGUGAGUUUGCCACGAGUAAUAUAUGGGCAAAGCGGGGGAGGGCCGUCUGGUGGCCCGAAAUUAAAGAAGGUUCUACGGCUGAUUGAUUGAUCUAUUAUUUAUACCAAUGCUCCCGUCCUCACCUUUGAAGUCCUCGUGUAGCUUUGUUAAGAAAAAAGAGCGAGACACUUGACCCACGUCGUAUUAUAAAACUGACGGAACUCACCGCCGGCGACUGGAAGGAGUAGAUGAGAAGCUGCUCCCUCCGGGCGAUCAUGACAGGACGGCGCCGUCGAUCGAGGCGAGCGCGUCAAGAGAUCUCGCACAUGGCGGUUGGCUAAGCCACGGAAGCUCCACGAGGCCUGGUUAAUUAUUUAUUUAUUUAUUAUACUCUAGGAGAGCACGGGAGAACUGCCAAAGGAUGAUUAACCAGCUAGCGUGAGCUCACCUGUACGUCAUGUUGUCACAAGAGGGAAAUUUAGAUCUGUUCGAUGCAAAGGAUUUUCAUAGGAAUUCUUGGUAUACUUAUGAAACUUUUCCUAUGUUGAUUGCCCAUUGAGAGUUCGUCGGACAGGUUUGUGUCCCGAACCCAUUGUUCGGUUGGAACUACGGGUUUUAAAUGAUUGGGCUUUGGUGUGAGAUCUGGCACGACGAUAAGAAUACUGAUAUAUGUUGUUAAUAAGAUGAAUUCAUAAUUAUUGAUAUACUUCCUUAGAAAACUAAUAUAAGAGCAUUUAAUCACUAUUUUAAUGAUCUAAAUGCUUUUAUAUUAGUUUACAAAGAAAGUAUUAUUUUAUAAGGUCCUAAUCAGUCAUUAAUAAAAUAAAUGUAUGGACCAUCUUGAUGCAGGGACCGGGGUCGUCCUCCUUUUCAAAAAAGGACUGAAUCCUAUAAAAAAUCUAAUGUAUAUUUUAUUACUUCUCGUAGGAUUUGUAGCAUCCACUUAAUCCUCUUUGGAAGAAUCCUUUGUUUCUUUUAUGAUAUAAUCAAAAAACCAAAAAUCUAUAGAUGAGCAUGACAUUUUAAUUCUAUGUUUUCCUUAUUCCGUAUUGUUUAGAAACCUGCGAAUCAAAGAAGCUCUUAGUGAAUUCACAUAGGAAAGCAUGUUACUUUACCAUAACUUUUGGGUUUUUAGAAGGCAAUGUAUGUGAUGUUUUCUUUCCUCCUCCCCAAGAAAACACCUAGACGAUUAGGUUUCCUCCUCUCCCGUAGGUGCCAUCACUCGUAUGCCUCGCAUCCAAUGACCUUUGGGCCAUGGAGCUGUGAAGGACAUCAGCCCCCGCCUGCAGGAGGGACCUUGCUCUGUUUCUUGUUAGGAUCAUCAUCUUGGUUGCGGUUGUGGUUUCAUCCUUCCCAUCAAAAACUAUCCUCGACGAUGGUUGUCGUUAUGUUGAAUUGCUCCUGUGAGGCCUUAGCAUGACGACUUUUCGACUACCUAUUACGACAAGAUUUUACCCGACAACGGUGCGGGCGGGGCGAUAAUAGUGACACAUCUUUGGCUCGCUCUAGUACUUGUAGUCGUCGCUAGGUGGUCCGUAGACAUGAUUAUGAUUUCUUACCUAUGGUGUUCUCUAUACUGCCAAGAUUAAUUAUGAAUAGACUGAAAGUUUCUCCCAUGAAAAAGACCAUUAUUUUGGAGCUAAUGAUUAUACCUAUAGAAUGUUAAAUAUGACUAGAUGGGCCCAUCUAUCAGGAGCAUAUGUGUUUCCUAAUUCAAAAAAAAUGUAGGGUAAAAGGAUUGUAUCACUUAAGAGGUUAAAUUGUUACAAUCUUAAUGAAUAGGUCAUGAUAUUUCAUUCGGGCAUGAGGCUAUCUAGAUUGCGGUGUAACAUUCCAUGCGACCAAACCUAGCCAUGAGAUGGUUGUCAUCAUUCUAGCAACAAGGGAUCUUGGCGAAGGAGAUCAACGGGUUGGAUUCAUCAUCUGUUUCACUUCCUCCACAAGAUGGCUGAGCACAGAGCACUUUAGAUUUUUUACUUAACAUUAAGAGUUUCAACUAAAUCAAAACAAAUAAAUGACGAACAUAAUAAACACUCCAUUGACUAUGCUAGAAAAGUUUCAGCUCAUUUGGAUGAGAAGUUUGAGAGAAUCGUCGUCGUGGAGUAUUUUGUUCAAACUUGAACGAGAAAUAUAAAGUUUUCAAUAAACAUCCAAAUAUGAUCCUGAAACUCGUAAAUAUCCAGUGACUUGUACCGAAAUUUCAGCACAUUCGGAUGAGCUAUUUGAGGACAUCAACAUUUUGAUGUUUUAUGUCAUAUAAGUUGACUCAUUUAUGUAUGGAAUACAAGGGUUACAUAAAAAUCUGAUUUUUUUUUCGAAAAUCACAAAUACUUUCGAGACUACCCUAGGAAAAGAUUUAGCUCAAACGUCAACGGUUAAUGUGGUGGCUUUUGCUAGCCUGACAUGUGGGUUCAUCCAGUCAAUUUAGUAAUCAAAUUGUGGGUUUAGAUGUUAUGUGAAUCGUUAGGCGGAAGUUGUAGUUCUGUGCAAGAAAUGUUAUGGUAAAAAAAUGAAUAUCACCAAUUUCUUCCGAAAACAUCCCCAUCACUUGACAGACGUAUUUUAUUCAACAAGAUGGCUGAGCACAGAGCACUUCAAUUUUUUUACUUAAAAUUAGCAGUUUCCCAAAAAAUACUAAAAAUCAAAUGAUGAACACAAUAAAUGCUGAGUUGACUAUGCUAUAAAAGCUUUAGCUCAUUUGGAUGAGAAGUUAGAGAGAAUCGUCAUUGCCGAGUUCAAACUUGAACCAUAAAUUAAAGUUUUCAAUAAAUAGCCAAAAAUGAUCUAGGAACUCCUAAAUAUCCACCUACUUGUAUAGACCUUUCAGCACAUUCAGAUGAGCUAUUUGAGAGAACCUUUUGAUGUUUUAUGUCCUAUACGUUGACUCAUUUAAGUAUGGAAUGCAAGGGUUACAUAUUAAUCUGAAAAAUUCAAGAAAAACACAAAUAGAGACUACCAUAGGAAAAGAUUUAGCUCCCAUGCUCACAGUUAAUGUGGUGGCUUUUGCUGGUUUAGCAAUCAAAUUGUGGUUUUAGAUGUUAUAUGAAUGAUUAGGAUGGAAGUUGUGGGUCUGUGUGAAAAAUGUUAUGGUAAAAAUUGGAAUGCUACACAUUUCCGCAGAAAAUAUCUCCCGUCACUUGAGAGUCGUAUUUUACUCAACAAGGUGACCGAGCACAGAGCACUUCAUAUUUUUACUUAAAAUUAGGACUUUAUUUUUUUCAAAAAUAAUGAUGGACAUAAUAAAUACUCUGUUGACUAUGCUACUCCCCCGUCACGGUUUAGAAGGUGUGCUUCAAAAUUCUCUGGAACCUAGGCGGUUAUUGAUGGUUGUGAGAUGGGUUAAAAAAUAACAUUCACACUACACAUGCAUAUGAAAGUAGUACAACGGAAUACUAAUUAGCUGUAAAAAAAUAAAUGCAAUACGGCCUAAUCCUUGUCUAUUGUGAAAAUGCAUGUAAAUUUAAUCGUGCCUUCUAAACUAUGACGGAGGGAGUAGAAAAGUUUCAGCUGCUUUGGAUGAAAAGUUUGAGAAAAUCGUCAGUGUGGAAUAUUUUGUUCAAACUUGAACUAAAAAUUUAAUAUUUUCAAAAAACUUCCAAAAAUGAUCUAGAAACUCGGAAAUAUACACUGACUUGUACAGAAAUUUCAGCACAUUCCCAUGAGCUAUUUGAGAGACUUGUACAGAAAUUUCAGCACAUUCCCAUGAGCUAUUUGAGAGAAUCAACCUUUUGAUGUUUAAUGCCCUAUAAGUUGGCUCAUUUAUGUAUGGAAUGCAAGGGUUACGUAGAAAUCUGAAAAAUUCUAGAAAAUCACAAAUACUUCAUAGACUACCUUAGAAAAAGAUUUAGAGCAUCUCCAACGAGCCGACACAAAAAUGACGGUGAUUUUGUCUGCUUUUCGUCUGUUUGGGUCGUCCGUCGACCUGUCCGUGUUCGUUUUUUUAAAUUGAUCAACACAUGCACCCAACGAAAAGCAAGUGGGCAACAUCACUGUGGCAAUAUAAUAAUAGAAGAAAGGUGGACGGGGGUGGGCCAGCGAAUUAAGUAAGCAGACAUAGGUGAUUGGGUGGUUGUGUGACAAGUGGGUCAGGCCGACCACAUACGGACACCGAAAGGCGCGCGCGUCCGCGUCGACCCAUUUCAGUCCUAAUUUUAAGCCGAAAAUGAAUCAGCGCAGACGCGUUUUAGCAAUGGGUCCAUGCAUUGGGCCAUCACUUUUGUUUCCGCAAAUCCAAACGAAUGGCCGCGCACGAAAUGGAUCGUCCCAUUAAAAACUCGGUUUAGCAAUCAAACUGUGGUUUUAGAAUUUUUUUUUUUGAAACCCGUGGUUUUAGAUGUUAUGUGAACGGACAUUGACACAACUACAUUUUUUUACGUGACUUACGUAUUAGCUCACUUGUACUAAUUACACAGGUCUAGUAUUUCUUUUAACAUAGGACGAAAGCAAGGCGUGAACAUGUACAUACACGUCCUAUAAAUACCUUUGAGAUAUUAAAUCCGCAUAUCAUCAUGAGAUAUAAUAAUGUCUCCGUAAACACAUCAUUAAAAAUUCUAAAAUAAAUCAAAGGUACUACAUGCGAGCAUCAGAACUUAAAUUCACAUGAUAGCAUUAUUGCACGUGAAUCAUAGAAAUAGUGUUUUUGUGUAAAAAAAGAUAUCAUGGUAAAAACUGGAACCUCACCAGUUUCCUCAGAAAAUAUCUCCCGUCACUCAAGAGCCGUGGAUGAACCAGGAACCAGCUGAUGGGCAAUCAUGGAGCCGUGGCUUCGAAGAACAAAAACCCUGGCGACGCCACGACACGCACGACCGUUGGUUUUCACGUCAAGGCAACAUUUUUAACUUUUGACCAUCCGGUAAUUCCACAGCGAGGUGACACCACAGUCAUUAAGACCAAAAUCCGGGACGGCCGGUAACCACGCCGCUGACGCGACGCUGGCACAAGGCCGACGUACGCAGCUCGCAGAGCGUGCGUGCGCGUGGCGUCAGCGUGACCGGCGGACGGCGACGGCGACAUCGAGCUGUCGAACACAUGACUUUUUGGAGCGAUGCGCCUCGGGACGGGCGAUAGAAAAGGUCAAGAAACUAGAGAGAGAGAGAGAGGAGGGACGAACUGUCGCCCUCCUUCGACCCCGGAGAGGAGAGGAGAGGGGGUAACGGAAUCAAACCGUGGUGCUAUAUAUAAGAGACCGGCGACGAAGCCGUCGUAGCACUUGCAUAUCCGCGGCGAGGUUCCACCACACGCAUACAUCGAUCCAUUCGCCUGGCUUGUCCGGUGGUGUGGCAUGUCGACGAUGGAGGUGAGGAAGCCCCGGCAGGUGGCGAGGAGGUUCCUGGCGCGGCCGCAGCACGAGGGCGCCGGCGCCGUCGUCCGCCGCAGCAUCGGAAGGUUCGAGCUGAGGUACUUCGACCCGUUCCUCGUCCUCGACGAGUUCUCAGGUCAGCCCUCCUCCCUCGGUUUGCUUCGGAUGCAUGCAUGUUUCGUUUGGGAUCGUCGUUAAUGGAUUCGUUCCUUCCUUGUCCGAAUUUGCUGCAUGCAUGCAGCUUCUGCUCCGGCGGGGUUCCCUGACCACCCACACCGCGGCUUCGAGACCGUCACCUACAUGCUCGAGGUACGCAUGCAUUUCUGUUGUUCUUGCGCGCACUUUGUUCUUGCCAAAUGAACCUAACAGCAGCAUAAAAGUCCGGAAUAUCCACACCGAAAUGCAUUGGCAUCCUGAACCAAUCCUUACUUAAUUCCCAUUGAGCAGAGCUGUAACGGUAGUGGCACCUUUGACAACCAAACAUGCAACGGGAAACAAGCGCGUCCCGUUUGUCAAACCUGCAACUUUUCUUGCCCUUCACUCGACGAAUCCAUCUGAACGCGGGUCCUGCUUUUGGUAGCUUGGCAUCCCUCUCCCUCCCUACUACGCCAACCACCCCGGCCUGCGCUUCCGUGCAGUGAGAACGAAAUCUUCGUCCAAAGAUAACUGAAAACCGUGUGAAAAUUAAGUACUAGCAGUAGGAAUGUUCAGGGGACAACGAUGGCUCGCUGAGUACUUGUAGAUUAGUUGGUUAACCGCCCUGACCUGACGACCUUUAAUUUCCUCUGGCUGGUGCUGGCUGCAGGGAGCGGUGACGCACGAGGACUUCGAGGGUCACCGUGGCACGAUCAAGGCCGGCGACGUGCAGUGGAUGACGGCCGGCCGCGGCAUCGUGCACUCCGAGAUGCCCGCCGGCCCCGGCACCUCCAAGGGCCUCCAGCUCUGGGUAAACCUCGCCUCCAAGAACAAAAUGUGAGCGUGUACCAUCAAUUCCGCCGUCCUCUCUCCGGCGACGCCACGCGCGCGGGCCGUCUGACCGCGUCAUGCAUGCGCGCCUCCAUGACUAACACGUGCGCUCGAUCCAGGGUGGAGCCGGGGUACCAGGAGUUCCAGAGCAAGGACAUCGCGUCCACGGCGUCGGCGGACGGCGACGUGACGGUGCGGGUGAUCGCGGGGCAGGCCAUGGGCGCCCGGUCGCCGGUGCGCACGCGGACACCGACCAUGUACCUCGACUUCACGGUGCGGCCGCACGCCGCCGCGCCCGUGCGGCAGCCGGUGCCGGCCUCGUGGAACGCGUUCGUGUACGUGCUGGAGGGCGAGGGCGUGUUCGGGGCGACGGCGGACCAGGCGGCGGGGGCGCACCACCUGCUGCUGCUCGGGCAGGGCGGCGACGGCGUGGAGGCUUGGAACAGGUCGGACAAGCCGCUCCGGUUCGUGCUCGUCGCCGGCGAGCCCAUCGGCGAGCCCGUGGCGCAGCUGGGCCCCUUCGUGAUGAACACCGAGGAGGAGAUCGACGCCACCGUCAACGACUUCGAGUACUUCAUCAACGGGUUCGAAAAGGCCAAGCAUUGGAAGUCGCAGGCCAUGAUCGCGCUAGAGCUAGACUAGGGUGGAAGAAAGAAUGGCAGGACAAACUGUGAAGAAAGAAAGAACGUACGCAUUUCCUGUACGAGGUUAUUUAUUUGUUUAUUUCCUUCUUUCUUUCUUUCUUUCUUUCUUUCAUCCCGACAUCACCCGUCGCUUUCAUGUACAUGCUCGAUAACAUAAAGGUAGAGUAUGCUGAUUCUCAUAAAAUAAAAAAACACAGUAUACUGGACUGAAAAAUAAUAAUGCAUUUUUAGGGCCAAAAUAUAAGUAAAAUACGUUUUGGUUUGCUGGGAGAAUCGCUGGGCCUCCCCAAGCACCAUUCUUUCUGGAAAAAAAAGCAAGCAGUAUAAAAACAAAAGAUCAGUAAAAAAUGAGAAAAAUAGAAAAACAAAAACGAUUUCCAUCAUUAAAAAAUUAGAUUUGUCAUGAUAUAUAGCAUGAAAUUACGAACCGUCAGUAAAAACACAUAAUCAAAAUUGUUUAAUUUGCGAUGCUUAAAUUGUUAUACAAAUGUAUACCAUUUGCCAUUUGGUAUAAUUGUUGCCAUCUAGUAGUACAAAUAAGUUAUGUUCCAUGUUCAUAAGGAAAAAACGCACAUGAAAUUUGCAUGUUUUUUAGAAAACACGCCUACUUGUUGAAAUUAUUUGGUCAUUUCUAUGAUCUAUGUAUCAAAAGUUACCAUGUUAUAUGGACCAUUUUUUCAUAUUAAACACAACACAAUUGCCUAGGUAACCAUGUAAAAAUUCCACUGGCACAGUUUUUCAAACAAGUAAAACACAAUAACAUGUUAUUUUUUGCCAUGAUCCAUGACAAAAAGUAUAUAAUAUCAUGGAAAUCUCUAAUUCAUCCCAAAAAGAAGAAAAGUUUGUUCGAUUGACAGGGAAAAUCGUGAAAAUUAGAUGCCUAUAUGUAGGCAAAAUUUAGAUUUUUUUUUGGCAUACCUCUCGUUGUCCCUUUUCCUAUAUGAUGUUCAUCUUUAAACUCUUUGUGUAUGUAAUUGCCUCUUGCUCUACAUGAUAGGGGUGCCCAAAAAGUAAAGUAUGGAUGAUGUUCAUCUUUAGACUCUUUGGCAUAUCUCUCAUUGUGUCCUGCCCUACAUGAUGGGGGUGCCCAAAGAGUAAGGCCAAUAGGACUCCUUUCUCCUAGAGCCAACUUUUUUUUCGAAAAGCCUCCUUGGCAACUAUACGGAGGCCCACUUAGGCAAUGUAAUUAAUUAAAAUUACAUGUGGUUGGUCCAAUAGGAAAUGACAAAUAACUUAAUGUCUAGUGCUACUUUGUUUUUAAAGGAAUGUCUAUGAAGGAAAAUCCAAUUAGACGUCUGCAUGCGUCAAAUGGACGACGCGACUCCCAAGCCCGUGGUGAAUUUGGGUCAGCCCACUUCGGAAGUUUCUGUUGUGUCUUACUCGCUACGCUACUGCAUUGUGUUUUCUUGUUUUUCUAUCCCUGUUUUUCAUUCUGAUAUUUACUACUGUUCUGUUUCUUAUUUUCAAUUUGUUGUUUUUAUUUCUGGUAUUCUAUUUCUGUUUCAUUCAUACAAUGUGUUUUUGGGUUUUCAGUUGUAGUUGUUCUUCCAGUGUUUGUGUUUUACUGUUCUUUUCCUUUUUCAUAGGUACAUGGUGAACAACUUUUGAAACACGGUGACCAUUUUUUGAUACUUGGUGAUCAAUUUUUUUAACACGUCGAAUACUCAUGUAAUGGACGAUGGACAAUUUUGUAGUACACAAUGAACAUUUUUUUAUACAUGGAUAACAUUUUGUUAAACAAGGUGAACAAUUUUUUAUACAUGCCAAACAUUUUUUUAAUACACAGAGAACAUUUUGUUUAAAAACAAUGAUCAUUUUAUAAUACUUCCUCCGUUUCUAAAUGCAAGUUUUUUAAGAAAUUUCACUAAUGGUCUACAUACGGAGUUAAAUGAAUUAAUCUACAUUCUAAAGUAUGUCUAUAUACAUUCGAAUGUAGUCCACUGGUGAAAUCUCUAAAAAGACUUAUAUUUAGGAACGGAGGGAGUAGAUGGUAAAUAUUAUUUAAGUACAUGGUAAGCUAGGAGGAGAACUCCUAGACAACACUUGUUGCGUUGCUAGCUAGCGAGCUGGCGUAACGUCCCAUCGCUAUUGGCUGGCCCAGCUAUGGUUGUCCACUUUCUUGGGAGAGACACUGGAUAACCUGUUUGACUUUUUGACCAGUUGGCCAACUGGCCAUUGACUUGAAAAAAUAUAUGGAUCUAAAUAAGUUAGAAAUUCCAAAAAAAAUCCGUUAACAUUGACCUUUUUUGAAAAUGUCACGACUUUGAAAAAGGCUCGGGUAUUUAAAAAAAAUGAGUUUGAAAAACACCAUGGAUUUUUAAGAAGUUCAUGAAUUUGGAAAAAUUCAUGUGUUUCACAGUUUUUUACUAAUUUCAAAUUUUGAGUAAACAAGUUUACAAACUUGAAAAUAUAUAUUCACGGAUUAGACAAAGAUUCACUUAUUUGGGGCAAAAAGUUCACAAAAUUAGAACAAGCUUUCAAAAAUUUGGGAAAGCGUUCGUGAAGUCUAAAAAGUUUGUGAAUUUUAAAAAAUUGUGCAUUUAUAGUAGAAAGGAAAGGAAUGAAUAAAACCGAACAAAAAACCAAUACAGAUAACCUAAAACCAAAAAAGAAAAACAGGUGAAAAGCUUCGAAGCUUUCCAAAACCGGCUAGGAAGCUUUUGGGAGACUCCCAAAACCGGAGCUUCCAGCUCGUACCCGGUCCUGCCUUUGAUGGCCAGCCCAUUUAAAAUCCAUCGAGGAGGUGGAGAGUGACUGGUCAGGAAGCGUUAUUUCAAGAGCCUCAUAGCAAGCAUUUCCAUGCGUUGUUAUUUGUCGCGUUAUCAGGCGCCACCACAUAUCGCGUUCUAAGCGUUUUUUUGAAUUACAUUUUUUCUCAUACGUGUUUUCGGCUUUUUAGAUUAUUAUUUUUCUGAUUCUUUUGGUGUUUUGGUUUUCCAUCUGUCUUUCUUAGCUUUUUGAUGGAAAAAGGUAAAAAAAAAUAUUUUAUGUUUUUUUUGCGAGAGGCACGGUUUUGUUUCCGUGCGAGGCACGGUCGUGCCGUUCGGAAAUAAAAAAAAUAUGUUUUCUAUUUUUUUAUGAGAGGUAUGGUUUUGUUUUUGCGAGAGACACGGUUUUGCCUUCGUGGGAGGCGUGGUCGUGCCUCUCGGAAAGGGAAAAAAUAAUGUGUUUUUCUUUUUUUCGCGAGAUGCACGGUUUUUCCUUCGUGAGAGGCACUCCCGUGUCUGUCGGAAAAGGAAAAAUAACGUGUGUUUUUCGCGAGAGGUACGGUUUUGUUUUCGUGAGAGGCACGGUUUUUCUUUCGUGAGGGGCUCGGCCAUGCCUCUCGAAAAGAAAAAAGUGGAAAAAAACACGUUUUUUUUCUUCUCGUAGAGGCACGGUUUUUUUGGUUCGAUUUUUUUAUGAAAAAUAAGUUCGGUAAAAUAUCAACAUGGGAUCUAGUUUUGAAGAUCUUGACGCGAGAAAUCCAACGAUGAAAACGGUUCGAGAUUUCGACGCAUGGUUUAGGAGAUAAAACAUUUUAAAAAUAGGAAUCUACGAAAAAAUGAAAACUCCCAGGUUGCGACAAGUGGCAUGCAUGCAAUACACAGUUGUCGCAACCUGAGAAGGUGGGAGUAAUCUUUGAAAGUAGUACUCCCUAAUUAGUGAUUUCGAAGGAGGUGUGGGUCACGGGUGAUUAAGGCUAAAAACAACGUUAUAGGCGUCGAAUAGGAAUUGACAUCUAAGAACUCUCCAGAUUGCGACAAGUGGCUUAUUGCAUGGGUGCCACUUGUCGCAACCGGGAUUUUUUUUUCUCUUUUUUCAUAGUUUGUAUUUUAAAAAUGUUUUAUCUUCUAAACCAUGCGUUCAAAUCUUGAAUCCUUUUCACAGUUGGAUUUCUCGCGUCGAGAUCUUUAAAACAAGAUCCCUUGUUGAUAGAUUUUGACGAACUUGUUUUUCCUAGAAAAAGUCAUAAAAAAAUCAUGCCUCUUGCGAUAGAAUUUUUUUCAGAAAACGUGUUUAUUUUGCGUUUUUUUCCUUUUCAAGAGGCACGGACACGAAGGCAAAACCGUGGCUCUCGAGGAAGCAAAACCGCGCCUCUCAUGAAAAAAUAUGUGUUUUCCCUUUUCGAAAGGCACGAACAUGUCUCUUACGAAUGCAAAACUGUGCCUCUCGCGGAAGCAGAACCGUACUUUUCACAAAAAAAACUGAAAACACAUUUUUUCCUUUUUGAGAGGCAUGGCCGUGCCUCUCACGAAGGCAAAACUGCCCCUCUCGUGGAAGCAAAACCGUGGCUCUCGCGAAAGCAAAAUCGUACCUCUCACAAAAAAAACACAAAUUUUUCGUUUCCGAGAAGCACGGGUGUGCCUCUCGCGAAGGCAAAACCGUGCCUUUAAGAAAAAUAAAAAACAGGUUUUGUCACACAUUUUAAAGAAAAAAUUGUCAAAAGACUAAGAAAGACCGGUGAAAAAUCAGAACACCAAAAAAAUCUGAAAAACCCAAUUUAAUAAGCCAAAGACGUGUGCGAAAAAGUAAAAAAAAACAAAAUUCAAAGAAAGCACUCACAUCGUGACAUGUGGCGGCGGCUGAUAACGCGCCAAGUGUCGAUACGCUGGAGUGAUAGCUGGGAGGCUUUCGAAGGAGCGCUCGCUAACUAAUUGCUCUCCUCUUAUGUGAAUUCUGACUUUAUCUUUAAAUAGUACCACAAUGGGCUCAAAGUCACUUAGAAGGCAGAGAAUAGCUCCCGAGCCCAUCAUCACUAUAUUUCUUUAGCUUGAUUUGUGUGUUGAGAUGAACUGACCAUUCCGUUAGUGCAUAAUUUGUGAUGAACAUGGUUUUUGAAGUAAGAAUGACUUUGUGGGAUACAAAGUGGUGAAUGCAUAAAAAAUGUUCCUUUUAAUUUUUGCAAAUAAAUACACGCUCAUUACAAAAUCCUAAUGUACAAGAAAUGGUGCAGUUUAAAUAACUUUUGCACUAUCUCACUAUGCAUACAUGAUACAUCCAACUUAUUUCAAAUCUGAUUAUGUGUAAAAAGUAGAGGAAGGAAAAAACACAUCAUGUCAAAUUGUCGAACUCAAUACAAACCAUGGCUGAGUCACUUGUAACCCUUGCUAGGAAUAGAUGUCCAAUACUGUACAUACGUGUCCAUCCGUACAUGUAGAGAAGGGUGUGAAUGGGAUUUGGACGAUGAAGAAGAAGAGUGUGGUAGCUAUGAAUGUCAAGAACCGUCCGCUAUACCUUAUGUGUUCAAGAGGCAUAGAGCCCACUAAGGAGCCCACUAAGGAGGAACCGCCGAGACUUUUUAUCUGACAUCACAUGAAAGUAAUUACGCUAAAUGGCUUGCUAACCGAAAACUAAAACAUGACUACCCAACUGGUGGGAAUGACAACAUUUAGACGUUAUGUCAUUGGAUGUCUUCUCAUUACUACAACUACAUUCCGCAUGACACCACGAGACAAAGAACUGCGACGUGUGUUAGGGCAUUUGAUUUUUUGUUUGAACACUUGUACAAUUGGGGUGUUAGGAGGUGAUCAGGCGACCCCGCAUGAUACUAGAGUGCAUGAGAAGCUCGAUAAAACAAUAUGAUCUCAGUCACAACUAACACGCUCUGAUGUACCAUGUUAGGAGCGACAAGCAGGUCACGACUAGCGAUAUGAUGCAUCCAACAUGUGACAUAGAAGAUACAAAGACAAACAUGCCUAACCAUUGCGCAAUGUAACAUGCAAAAGACCUGCCAGACGGUUAGGCAUGACUGAAAGGAACCAGAUGUGCAAAUAAGUUUACAUGUACCUGCAACUAGUGUUGUAGUAAUCUGUGAGCCAUAGGGGACUCAGCAAUCUCAUUUCCAAAGGUAUCAAGACUAGCAAAGCUUAAUGAGUGAGGUAAGGUUAAGUGGUAAGGCUGCAGCAAGCGACUAAGCAUUAUAUGAGGUGGCUAACUUACGAGUACAAGAAGAAGAGCGAGAUGAUCUACGCAUUACGAACGUGAACUAGUGGUGUUCAAAUGAAUGAUCCUGAACACCUACUUACUGUUGGAAUUAUGCCCUAGAGGCAAUAAUAAAUAUAGUUAUUAUUAUAAUUCCUGUAUCAAGAUAAUCGUUUAUUAUCCAUGCUAUAAUUGUAUUGAAUGAAGACUCAUUUACAUGUGUGGAUACAUAGACAAAACACUAUCCCUAGCAAGCCUCUAGUUGGCUAGCCAGUUGAUCAAAGAUAGUCAGUGUCUUCUGAUUAUGAACAAGGUGUUGUUGCUUGAUAACUGGAUCACGUCAUUAGGAGAAUCACGUGAUGGACUAGACCCAAACUAAUAGACGUAGCAUGUUGAUCGUGUCAUUUUGUUGCUACUGUUUUCUGCGUGUCAAGUAUUUGUUCCUAUGACCAUGAGAUCAUAUAACUCACUGACACCGGAGGAAUACUUUGUGUGUAUCAAACGUCGCAACGUAACUGGGUGACUAUAAAGAUGCUCUAUAGGUAUCUCCGAAGGUGUUAGUUGAGUUAGUAUGGAUCAAGACAGGGAUUUGUCACUCCGUGUGACGGAGAGGUAUCUCGGGGCCCACUCGGUAAUACAACAUCACACACAAGCCUUGCAAGCAAUGUGACUUAGUGUAAGUUGCGGGAUCUUGUAUUACGGAACGAGUAAAGAGACUUGCCGGUAAACGAGAUUGAAAUAGGUAUGCGGAUACUAACGAUCGAAUCUCGGGCAAGUAACAUAUCGAAGGACAAAGGGAAUGACAUACGGGAUUAUAUGAAUCCUUGACACUGAGGUUCAAACGAUAAGUUCUUCGUAGAAUAUGUAGGAUCCAAUAUGGGCAUCCAGGUCCCGCUAUUGGAUAUUGACCGAGGAGUCUCUCGGGUCAUGUCUACAUAGUUCUCGAACCCGCAGGGUCUGCACACUUAAGGUUCGACGUUGUUUUAUGCGUAUUUGAGUUAUAUGGUUGGUUACCGAAUGUUUUUCGGAGUCCCGGAUGAGAUCACGGAUGUCACGAGGGUUUCCGGAAUGGUCCGGAAACGAAGAUUGAUGUAUAGGAUGACCUCAUUUGAUUACCGGAAGGUUUUCGGAGUUACCGGGAAUGUACCGGGAAUGACGAAUGGGUUCCGGGAGUUCACCGGGGGGGGGGGGGGCAACCCACCCUGGGGAAGCCCAUAGGCCUUGAGGGUGGCGCACCAGCCCUUAAUGGGCUGGUGGGACAGCCCAAAAGGGCCCUAUGCGCAUUGGAAGAAAAAUCAAAGAGAAAGAAAAAAAAAGGAGGAGGUGGGAAGGGAAGGAAGGACUCCCACCCACCAAACCAAGUCCAACUCGGUUUGGGGGGGAGACCUUCCCCCCUUGGCUCGGCCGACACCCUUGGGGCUCCUUGAGCCCCAAGGCAAGGUCCCCUCUCUCCCACCUAUAUAUACGGAGGUUUUAGGGCUGAUUUGAGACGACUUUUCCACGGCAGCCCGACCACAUACCUCCACGGUUUUUCCUCUAGAUCGCGUUUCUGCGGAGCUCGGGCGGAGCCCUGCUGAGACAAGGUCAUCACCAACCUCCGGAGCGCCGUCACGCUGCCGGAGAACUCUUCUACCUCUCCGUCUCUCUUGCUGGAUCAAGAAGGCCGAGAUCAUCGUCGAGCUGUACGUGUGCUGAACGCGGAGGUGCCGUCCGUUCGGUACUAGAUCGUGGGACUGAUCGCGGGAUUGUUCGCGGGGCGGAUCGAGGGACAUGAGGGAGUUCCACUACAUCAACCGCGUUCACUAACGCUUCUGCUGUAUGGUCUACAAGGGUACGUAGAUCACUCAUCCCCUCUCGUAGAUGGACAUCACCAUGAUAGGUCUUCGUGCGCGUAGGAAAAUUUUUGUUUCCCAUGCGACGUUCCCAACACUUACGUCAAACAUAACCCCAUCGUGUUCUCGAUCGGCGAAGGAACUCACGAAAGAGACAUUCAUGGUUACGCACUCAGUUGAGAUAUUUUUAUUAAGUUAACUUCAAGUUGUCUAUAACCAGUGUUAAAUAAAGUUUCCACGUUGCCACAUAACCGCGGGCACGACUUUCCGAAAAGAUUUAACCCUGCAGGGAUGCUCCAACUAAUCCAUCACAAAUUACCACAAGCCGCAUAGAAAUCCUCGAUCACGAAACUCGCGAUCUCGUCGGACUCCUUAGCGGAAAACCUCAACUCUGAGAUUACCCAAAGCAUCAACGAAAUCCCGAUGCACAAGACAUUUGUCAACGGUAAAACUAAUCCAGCAAGGCCACCCGACGUGUCGACGAUCCCGAUAGGAGCCGCGUAUCUCGUUCUCAGGACACGACGGAUAAGCGAAGCGUACGGUGGCCUGAUAGACAUCACCCGAGUUGCCCCGGGUUGGCCCCGCACGGUGCUCUGUUUUGGACCAGCACCAUCAGCACUGGCCCUCCCAGUAUUAUGUUGAAUUACUCCUCGGGUAGCGCUAACUCCCUAUGCAUUUCAGUAUUAAUGGAAUUAUUAUGUUGGGCAAAUAUGGUACCAAUGUUGGGCCCUGCCAGACCAGCUUUAAUCUAAGACGAAUUAUCAAGGGGGUCCCCAUAACAACCCCGAUCGUGUUAGGAGCGCUCAAUUAUGGAACAUAACACCGGUAGCCGAAACUAAGGGGGCAAAGGUGGAACAAAACACUAGGCUAGAAAGGUCGACCUCCCACCUUUUACCAAGUAUAUAGGUGCAUUAAAUUAAAUAACAUUUAAUAGAGUGAUAUAACAAGGAACCCAUGUUAUCACAUGGAAGCAUCUGCACCUGCAACUAGUAACGCUAACACAUGGUUAAGCAAGGAGAACGUAGCCAAUCAGUGGUUUGCUAGGUUGUGAACAGGUUGAAGGUUUUCAUGGCAAUGUUGAGAGGCUGAUACUUAAAAGGUGGUAGGCAGCGAGACAUAACGAUAGAAACGGUAAAACUAGCAUCGCAAUGAUAGUAAUGGUAUCUGGGGAAAUGGUCAUCUUGCCUGAGAUCCCGCUUGGAAGAAGAACAAAUUCGUGAAGCGGACGAACCGAUAUAGUCGAACGGGUCCUCACUUUCCGACACGCUUGCGGAACUCUAUCGAGACGAAAGAAACCGGAAACAAGAAUCAACACACGAUAUACACCGCACGAUGCACAACACAAAUGAUGCAUGAACGGCUGAAUAUAUGCAAGACAUGGUAUGUCAAUUCACAACAAACAAACACUACACAUUAAGUAAAGUUCAAUAUGCAACGGGUUGCAUAUUGACGAAACUCCACAUACGAAUUAUUUAGUUCUAUCCUGAUUAGGUACACGGCAAUAUUAAAUAUUGUUAAACAUGGCAAGAGGUGAAGCGCAACUAAACUAUCUAUCUAGGCAUUUUAAAUGACGUCGGAAAUGACAUAUAGCACCUCCGAGAUGACCUCAUACGUUAAUUUAUAAUUCUGUCCAAAUCCGAACUAACACUUUUAAAUGUUUGUUAAACAGCAAAAUAAAUAGGUUCACAUGAUUCUACGUGUCGUUACAAUCAAUUUACACAUAGAGAACAUCUCCAACGAAGCUACGGUUCAAAAGAUACGAACACCGCAAGAUAUGAUGACAUGAAUGCAAAAUGUGCGCAACGACAGUCACAAGCAUUUCAAAACACAAAACAACCAAGAUAUUAUGAAACUACACGAGAUUCUAAGCAAGUUCCAUAUAGGACACAAUCCAAACGGAGCAACGGUUCAACAACUACGAGUAAACAAGAAAUCACUACAAUCUGCCAAAAUCAGUCACAUAUCAUUUUCUACGCCCUCGAACAACUAGCUGCAAGAAUCCAAAAGGCUCAAACAAGGCAUGAGACGAUAGAGAGAAAGAAGCACUACAACAUACAACUAAUAACAUCUAGCAUGGAAGCAUGAAACACUAGGAAAAGAACUCACGAAGUGGUUUCUCACACGCAAUUUCAGACUUAGAGAAAAAACACAGUUUAUGAAAGUGCAGUUUUCGAUCUGAAGGCAUAUUGACAGCAGCAAAACCAUAAACUACAGGACCCCAAAUGGCAUGAAAAUUGACAUCAUGCUAGACAAACUUAAGGUCUACAACUAUCUCCAUUGCAUCAACCUCAAAAAGCUUUAGAUCACCAGAUAAAAUCAAGACAACACAGCAACAAAAUAUAACAGAUUUCAGACUUAGAAAUAUUUCAGCAUCUCCAAAACAACACUAUUUUCUAGCAAGCCGAGAACAAGCAAACCACACCUAAACAUGGAUUUCUAUUGCAACCAAAAUUAUCAAGGGCUAGCAUACAUAUCCAAGGACAAAUCUCUAGUUGACAACUCAUUCAUAUCAUGCACGGAUUAAAUCACAUAAAAUAAAUAAAAGGGCAACAUGGCAAAAUAUCACGCGCACUAACUUGCUCAAAAGGUAAAACUAAAUGCACGGUUAAAUUAUAUGGAUUUUUCUACCCUGAAAACAUAUAUAACAUGUGGGGUUGCAAGAAUAAAAUAACGCCACACGUAUAUGCGAGAUUAUGUGCUAAACGCGAUAUACCAAACUAGCUACGUAAUCCUACAUGCAAAAAUACAAACAACUACUAUAAAAUACAUCGCAAAAGGUUCCUAAAAAUAUAAGCAUUUUAUCUACGGAAUUUGAGCAAUCCGAACACGCGCGAUAAUAAAUACGGGACGAUCCACUAUUAGGACAGCAUGCAAAACUAGGCAUAUGGCGGGUCAAACCACAUCAAACAUGCAUGCAAGUUACAAAUUACGAAUCUACGCGAAAAACUACACAAGUUUCAUAUAUUACUCGCUGCGAUUCGACGCACGGUUUGAAUUCUACGGGCAUUUGAAAAUUCUAGCCUUUUUUGAAAUUAAUAAAUUCGCAGGUUAUUAAAAACUAUAUGGGACGGAAUAUACUAUUGAGCCAAAAUAACAGCGCGUGUAAAAAAACUACAAUGCGCCCAGACGAGGGAUAGGGCAAAAAAAUGGGGUGGCUCACCUAGGGCCGAUUAGGCCGGCUCGGUGCAGCAGGUCGGCUCGGGCGCGACUGAGCCAAGCGCCGGAGGCGAGGCGAGGCGAGGCUAGGCCGCUUGGGGGGCGAGGCCCACCACGAGGUCAACGCACGAGCGGCGAGGGGCUCCUCCUCCCGAUCCUGAUCGGGAUCGAGAAGCACGCGACGACGCAACUCCCACGACGACGGAUGGCGGGGCUCGGCAGGCCGGCGGCGAGGGAGGCUGGCGCCUUGGGAUCCGGCAGAUCCGCCGGCUGGCGGCGCGGACUGGCCGGAGGCGGAGGGCGGCGGGGAGGAGGCGAGCUCCGGCGAGGCUCUGGAGGUCGGGGACGGGCGCACAUGGCGGGUUCCGGCUUGGGACCCCGAGGCGGUGGCGAUGAGGCGGCGCACAGGGGCUCCGGCGGCGGCCUAGGGUGGCACAACAAGGCGCGGGAUGCAGGGCGACAGAUCCGGCGCGGGCGGCGGCUGGCAGGAGCUCGGGGCAGCGGCUUGGGGGCGACCCGCGCUCGGGCGGUGGCUGGCAGAUGGGCUCGGCGGGCCCGGCGGCGCUGAGGAGGAGAGAGAGGUGGGAGGGUAGGGUUUGAGGGGCGCGGAUCCCGAGGAAGAGAGAGAGAGAGUGACUGUCUAAAUUGAUUUGGGGGUCUAUUUAUAACAAUGGGGGGGCUAGGUUUAGCAAAAUUUCGUCCCGGAUCCAACCUUGCGAUCGGAAUCAAACGGUCUCGAACACGGGACGGGCUAAGUGGCCGUGUAGAGUAGGCUAGCCGGAGAAGAGAGGGAAAACAGGCCCCCGACAAUGUGAUUUAAAAUACCGAAAAACGUGCGACGAUAGACCGGAUACGGUGCCGCUAAGGUCGACCGUUCGGGUACCAGACGGACUCCGAUUGCGACGAAAUUUGGCAGGCGGCCUACCUACAUUAAAAUAAGACCGCCCGUCAAGUUUCAACCCAAUCAAAGAAAGUUUUAUACACACUUUUAAAAACAAGAUUUAAACGCUGUCGCGGGCGCGGGCGAGUGUGGUCGGGCUCAGAACGGGCAACGAUGAACACGGAGAGAAUCGACAACUAAUAACGGAUGCAACUUUUAAAAACUGGCGGCAACGGAAUNNNNNNNNNNNNNNNNNNNNNNNNNNNNNNNNNNNNAAUGCCGAUGCAAUGCGGAUGAUGCGCAUGAUGCGAUGAUGAUGCAACAGAUAAAAAAAUAAUGACACGACGAAAACGGAAUAAGGGGGAAUCUUCUGGAGCGUCGGUCUCAGGCUGUCACAGGCUAAACCUUACUAGUCCUUUGGUGCACACAGGUAGGAUGCAAGCAGAUGCAUCUGCGAUGUCCACGUUAUCAAAAUAUAAACUAACAAUAGUUAUUGUGAUAAUUUUGGUAAUGCAAAAAUAAUCAACACAUAUGGUCAUGGACUUCGUAGACGCGUCGGCCUACAUCCCUCCACGCGGGUGACUGAGAGAAAAUGUCUAUUUUUGGGUUCCAACUACACUAAGGGCAUCUCAAACGUAGACCCUCAAAUCUCCCGCAUAUGUCCGGACCGAGUGGUUCGGACCCUACAAGCCAUCCAAUGAUGUCCCGUAUUCGUUGCGUGGACCAAUCCAUACUUUCGUUUUCCGACAAACUGGAACCAAACCAGGGGGUUUGCGGGAUCCUAAAACCAGACACCUAACAUCUUCGACCCAUCGAAAACUGAGGCGGAGCCCACACAUUUCGAGUUGUGCGGACACUUGAAGCAACUCACCAUACGGUGGCCAAGUGGUGUGCAAAUCUCCGAGCAAGUACAUUAUUAUAUGUGUUGAUCACUUGGUCAGAUAUGCUCUACUGGUCAUUUGGCCAGAUUGAAUAUGCAUAUUCUUGACAAUGUUUUAUUUUGUAGCUUCUCGUGUGUAUAAUUUGUUCUCAAAAGUUUAAGAAGAAGAACUUUGUCAUCAUGCUUGGUUGAAGUUGAAUGGGCACACUAGGUGGAAUAUAUUUACUGUCAACUCAGCCAAGACCGUCGGCAUGGGCACUGAGGAAAAAAUGGGUGAUCCAGCUGACCCAACCAAAGAGCCGCCGAAGAAGAUCGGAAUAGGGCUCCGGGGAAAGAAGUGGGAGGAGGAGAAGGCAAAGCGAGAAGGACCCACGACCAUAAUGAUGGAGAGGUUUGAGGACAUCUUAGCGAAGAAUGAGGAGACAUGUGUCAAGCGCUCCGACAUCAAGGAGACAUGUAAGGCCGAUAGGUCUUCCAUCUUGAUGGCGAUGACUGAGAAGACGCUCAACUUUAAAAAGAAGAAGGUUGGACUUGAAGAGAAGAAGGUUGAGUUCGCAACCUCUUCGGAGGAGACGAAUGUGUUGACCUUGAAGAUGAAGGAUUUGGAUGACGAUACAAGGAUGAUCGUGCAAGCCCUUCUCUUAUUAUGUUGAAGUGCACGAAGGAUCAAGUGGAGGGGGCGGAGAAGGAGGCGGUCAAGACAAGGAGGCGGCAGCAUGAGCAUGGAGACUCAGAUUGUCAGUCCAGCAGGGCAGGAAAUCUUUUACACGGGCUAUCGCACAUAUAUUGCUUUGUAUUCGGACAUGUAAAAACUAUGCAUACUUAGUUUUUGUUUGUGACCGGACGUUAUGUGAUUAAGAGCAUUUAAAUUUUAAAUUAACUAAACCUCAUUUUAUAUGACGACUUUCGAGUCACUCUGUGUUGCCUAAUCCCAUCAUUUCACGGACGAAUACUCUGUCUGAUUUAAUGUUGGUGCCCGAGAUGCGCUAGCAUCAGGUUAGUUGGAGGGUAUGCGUUUAGAGCAUCUACAACCACGCUUAGCAAAUAUGACUCUCUUUACGCCCGCGGGCGUGUCCGGUCAGUGAUCGGGCGUGUUUGUUUUAAGCCUUCACUUUUUCAUUCGUGCAGCCAUAUUUCUUAUAUUUUUCUCUUAUGUCUGCCCCGGUCGUGAUUGAUGAAAAAGAGAAGAAAAAAGAAAAAAAAUGAAUAAAGAAAAAGAAAAAAAUGAUUCAGGAUGAAGUCGCGUCCUAUGUGACGGACUGACCAAACGUGUGCGGGCAUGUCCGCGAUUUCUCAUAUCAUCUUCAUAUUUAAGAUGGAUAUGAAGGGUGUUAAUCAGUACAGGAGUUUGAAACAAUAGGAAGAAUCCAAUUGAAUCUUAUGAUCAGUCGUUGACCGAACGAUUUAUCUACGUUUAAGACGAAUAUAAGGGAUCUGUUUGUAGAUGCUGACCGAUGAGGCAGGUAUGUGGAGAUAACAAAGAUAAGACGACUGAGACGACCAAUUCUUCUCUCUCUUUUUUUUGUACGAGAAAGUAUAGGUGAGACGACCAAUUCAGCUGCUAACAAACAUGCCGGGUAGCGCACGGAAGGCAUGUAGGCUGGGCAAGCAACCUGCCGGCUGGUGUGACUAAUUCAAAUCAACAUUAUCUUGGAUGUGAAUAAUUGAAAUCAACAUUUAUCCUCGAUGUGACUGAUUCAAAGCAUAAUGAUUCGAACACGUAAACCUUUUUAAUCAACAUGAAGAUGAAUCAAAUUUAGCCUAACGUUGGCCAUUUGGCACCUGCAGGCUGCAGCGUGCUAACUAGAGGCAAAGGGGAUCAACUAGUAUGUCGUACAUAUCCGUAGGUACUCUUGGACUUGGGAUUCUGCUUGUAAUUUACACCACGCCGGUCGAUCGAUGGCCACAUUGCUGGCUGCGCUCAUUCCGGACCGCCGCCGUCGGCGCCCACGGCACCCGCGCGCCUUGCCGCCGGCCACACAAUAAAACCGAGCCGGAGGCCUCGGCGCGCGCGGCCGCACCGCUCAACGACGACUGCUGCCAGAACUAAACUAAGACACAGCUCGUGUCCACUGGGAGACUAGCUCGCCGGCUACUCGAGGCGCAGCAUGCGCCUGAGGUCGCGCGUGGCGGCGUCGUUGACGGCGGCCGCGGGCUUCUGGAGCGGGAACUGCGGCAGCGGCAGCGAGCUCGGCUCGGGGGACGCGGCGGAGAAGGCCGGGCCGGCGUACACUUCCACCGCGGGGCGCCUCGCCGGAGCGGCCGCGUGCGUCACCUUCCCGUGCGAGGAAGAAGAGGAGGAGGAAGGCCGGCCAUGGUGUCUCCGGCCGGUCGCGGAGGCCGUUCCGGCCGAUGGAGGAGGAGACCUCCUGGCCGUGCUGGGGUUGCUGGGCCUCCGGUGCGCGGCGCGGAUCCUCUGCGGCUGCAGGAUGUUGUGCGGGCGGAGGACCUCGGUGGCCAUGCGAACGGAGGUGGGCGGUCGGAGAGAGGGGGGACGGGGAGUGGAGAGCGCGGCUGGUUGAUUGAUUGCUGUGUGGGAAUGGAACGCGGAUGAGAGGGGGUGUUAUAGGGGAGGGGAGGGGAGGGGAGUGAAGACGCGUUGUCUUCUCGGGCGACGCGGUUGGUGUUGCGGUGGACUUGGACUCGGACUUGGACGACUUCCGCCCAGCUUCGGUCCUCCCACGGGCGGUUGGUUCGGUUGGUCCGCGCUUCGGUUGCAUGUUCCCGCCGGUUUCGUAGGGUCGCUUUGCUGCUGUUCCCUUUUUGCAAGUCCCCAAUAAAGAUCAAGACGCAAAAAAAAAAAAGGAAAAAAUAAAGAAAGAUGAGGAAUAAGUGGUGCUACCGGCCUCCUUUCUCUCAGCUGUGCAGAGGGAACUCGAUGAGCGUGGAUUUUUGUCCAAAAGGACCCCCUGUCGAGUGGGAUUGUCAAAAGAGACCACAUGCGAGUGCAAACGUCAAAAAAGACCCCCACCCCGGGUGGCGGGUGUCGAGUGGGAUUGUCAAAAGAGACCACAUGCGAGUGCAAACGUCAAAAAAGACCCCCCCCCCGGGCGGCGGCAGGCGCGCCAGGCGGCACGUGGCACCUGCCGCCACCGCACGAGGCGGCCGGGGGGCCUGCCGCCACCGCCCCUGGCGGCCGGGGCCUGCCGCCACCGCCCCUGGCGGCCAGCGCGGGAUCCCGUUCCCGCCCACUCCUGUCCGUAACGGACAAGGCCGGGUGGGCCCUGCCGCCUCGGGAGCAGGCGGCCAGGUGCACUUUUUCCGCGCGCCGGCACUGUUGCUGAUUGCGCUGAUUCCCAGGCUCCUUUCCCGCUCGAAUUUUUCCCGCGCGGCCGGCCGGAACAGUGGAAAUUUUUCCCGCUAUCCACCGACGAAACAGUGCGAAAUUUACUUCUUUGCUCCGGUUCGGACCGUGCAAUCCUUUUGAACAAAAAUAUUGUGCAAGUUGCACUGAUGGCUAAGUGCAUGGAAGGCAUCUACUACGGAUAUUUUGUUGGGCCGUGGUUAUCCCCCAUCCCUCGAACCAAACCAAGAUAUCCACGCUGGUGAAGGCGGGCGGUUUUUUCCGUGGUUUCACGGGGCUCUCAUCUUCGGGUCAGCAUUGUUCACCGCGGCGAUUUUAGAGUGACUCUUUGUGUCCUGAUCGACACUGUUCGUUACGGUGGUUUCGUGGGGCUUUUAUCUCUAGGUCGACAUUGUUUACAAUAGCGUUUCUUAUAUUUAUUUAUAGAGAAAGUAUGUUUUAGCUCUCGAUCAAAUAUUUUGGGAGUGAAUGUUUGAUUGCUAUCGCAGCAGUGACACGCGAUAACGACGGACGAGCAGUGCAAUAGUUUCCCGCCUAAUUUUCCCGCGUUAUUUUCCCGCCAAAUUUUCCCGCUGCAGUUUCUCGUUUUCGCGCCCUUUUUUCCCGCGUAGACAUCCGACAGAGCCUAUAAAAGGAGGCAGAGAGUGAAACUCUCUUCACCAUCAGACAGACUUUAAAGCACCUGCACCUCCAUAGUCAGUAUGAGUUUGCCUUGUUCGGAUCAGAGCAUUAGGCCUAGGAAAAUGCAGAGUGCAAGCUUGCCUCGGGGGGUGGAAGCAGUUCGAUGUUGGUGCGGAGAUGUCUGCAAGGUGAAGGAGGUGACGGAUUUUUCAGAUUGGUUGGGCAUGAAGUUUUUCAUGUGCGCCAAUUAUGAAUCUGAUCCACCCGAAUCUAUUUCUGCGUACGUCAGGCCUCCGGUAUGCUCAAGUCAUCCAGAUUAUUGUUAUUUGAUUUUAUUGUUUACUUGAAUCUGAUCCAUCCUUUAGUCUCCUCCUCCUCUCUGCAUGUACUAUCGUUGGAUUGACACGGAAAUGCCGGACUGGGCGGUGACCGAGAUUCGUGAAAGAGGUCGCCGUGCAUGGGCUAGCUUGGACUUGGAAGAGCNNNNNNNNNNNNNNNNNNNNNNNNNNNNNNNNNNNNNNAGCGUCGUGAGAAGGCUGAAGCAGAGGAGAAAGCAGAGCAGAAGAAAGAGUGGGAAGAUUACUGUGUGGAGCAGAGGGCUUUUCUUGAUGAGAUGAAAAGGAAAAAUCAAGAAGAGAAACUUCGGCUGGAGGAGGUUUACAGACAGUGGGAACAGGCCCGUGAAGCUGAGAGGGAGAGAAAGAGAGAAAGGGCUCGUGCCGCCAAGGCAGCAGAAGAAGCUGGUGAUGGAAAAGGAAAAUAUCCACGUUGGACUCAGUAGAUUUAUUUUAUUGUAUGUUAAGUUGUCUUAGUUGUAUCUUAUUUCUGCAAGAUGUAUCUUAAUUUCGGCAAAUUGUAUCUUAGUUUCCGCAAUGGGUAUCUUAAUUUCAGCUACGUGUAUGUUCAUUUUAUCCCGCCAUUUAUUUCCCGCCUCGCUUUCCCGCCAUUUUAUCCCGCGUAUAGCUUUGCCGCCACUUUGUUCCCGCCCUUGCUUUCCCGCCCUCGCUUUCCCGCCCUCGCUUUCCCGCCUCGUUUUCCCGCCAUUAGUUAUUCGUCUCGCUCUGCUGCACCUAUAAAACCCCCUCCAGACCAAGGUCGGUAAGGAGUGUGCUGAAAAUGUCUCAUUAUCCUUUCGAUCGUAGUUUUCAUAGUGGUAUGUCCGAGUGUCUUCUGCGCUUAGCUAGCAAUUUCAAGAUAGAUAAUAGAAUAGUUUCAUGGGACGAACUCAUCAGUAGUGACACGCUACUGAAUGAGGUUGCCCACGCAUUAGCUAGGAAGGGGUGGCCUGCGAGGACAUAUGAGGAGAUUCGGAAAGAACUUCUGCGGUUGAAUGAAAGAUGGAAGAAGAAAGGCCAACACAUACGCGGUGGAGGUGGAGUAAAACAUCCCUUCUUGUGGAUUGACGAUAGUGAGGACGAAGACGAUAUCUUCAUGCCGAGUACCAAGAGCGCGUCAUCGACGAAGGCCAAGAGCGCAUCAUCAUCGAAGGCCAAGAGUAGCGCUUCGUCAAAGGGCGAGAGCUCUGCAUCGUCGAAGGAUGACGACGACUUUAUGUAGUUUUUUUUAUGAACUCUACAUCUUAAUGUAUCUUAUUUUAUGUAUGUUAUUUUAUGUAUGUUAUUUUAUGAAUCUUAUUUUAUGUAUCUUAUUUUAUGGAAGCAACUUCAAAUAUAUCGCGAACUUUUAUUUCAUGAAACUACAUAGAUGUCUUGUACGUACAUCUGAAAGUUUGAAACUGACAUAGAGAGAUGCAAUUGUUCGCACACAUACAUAGACGAAUCACCCUAUGCGACGACGACCAGCUGGCCUUGCCCGACGACCGGAGGGUGACAAUCGAUCAGGGGGUCUGUGUUCACGAAGACCACGACCGUACUGUCCCUCGUGUUCCUGUGUCUGCAACUGAUGCAUAGGUGGUGGAGUCUGAAAUCCAUAUUGAGAUGAUGAUUCUAAAUUGUAGGUGAAUGGUUGUGACUCAGAAUUGAUGUAAGAUGGACCAAUAACGUCCUGCCCGAAAAAAUCAUUUAUCAUUCCUGGGAGCGUGCAUUGAGUAUCAUGGGUUUCUGUGAGUAUUUCUUUCUGUACGCCACGCUGGGUAUGUUCAUCUCCCCAUGAUGGAUCAUUAAUUUCCUGGUCCACGAAAAAAUGUUUUUAAAAUAAAUUGUGUGUAGCAAAAAGAUGUGUAAAUAGAAGUUAUGUAAUUGCUUAUUAUAAUUGUACAUACCUGUCCGCUGUUGUAGCUUUGUGCUCCCUCGCUUGUCUCAGCCCAACGAUUCUCCUCGGACAUCCUAAUCCCUCGUGUGGGCAGAUAUGGCUGAGAUCCUUGAAUGUGUGCGUCAUAUGCUGUAUAUGCAUCCUGCUCCACGAAAUGAGUUUGUUCGGGUGUCGAUCCUACAUCUGGAGCAUUUACCUGUGAUGUCUGCCCAUGUAUUGGUAGAGAAGAGUCAUGUCGUGGAAGUGUCGGCAUAGUAUUACAACCCUCUGCCCACCGCAUGGACGACGACGGCGCCCCACUCGGUCUAGCUGACCUCGGUUCCGGAAUGUUGUACGCUGCAGUGACAACGUCGUUCUCUAUACCGCAUCUCGUAAUCCUUGUGCUCACGAAUUCGCUAAUUUUUUUAAACCACGACCUGCGUUUAGGAUCACUUCCCUCGGCUCGCAUUCCUUCACUCGCCAUCGCUUGUACUUGGGUGCAAAUGUCAAUCUGAAAAAAAUCGUUGUUCGUUGGUUAAAUUGUUCAUGAAAUGAUGGACCUGAAUAGCAAGAUGUUGAUUAUUACCGCGGAGUCACGAUAGUAAGCUGAUGAUGUGUCCAUCCGUCUCUGCAACUGUUCCAUAUGCGUUGGAUGUGUUGGCAUCGUAGGUGGUUCGCUCGUCAGUCUAGUACGCGUGCUCAUGCGAUACCAAUUAUAGUACGCUUCUGUCGUAGUUGCAUCAUACGUUCUGCAUAAAUAAAUUAACAUUACUAAAUUGACAUCACAUUCUGUAUUUUAUAAGCACAUAAUUAAAUUAACAUUAGUAAAAUUACCGUUGCUGAGGCACUAUAUUUUGUAGAGCUUCAUUAUUCCACUGAUUUAUCCAUUCAAUGUUUUCUGCAUUCCAGUCCACACCAGAUCUGCCCAUAUUGCUCAUCCUGUAAUUAUAGAUAACAAAAAAAAAAAUUCAAGAAUAGUUGAUGGAAUAUCUAUUUAGCUAGGUCACAUCUUACUUACUUAUGAGUUUCUUCGUCGAUACAUCUUGAAACCGGUGGUGGAAUAUCUUGAUAUAGACCGAACUGUCUCAUGACACGGUCAGGAUUAUACGGUUCCACAAACCAUAGAUAGAGUAAAUUGCAGCAAGUCAUCCAAAAGGCACUAUCUCUCACGCAUUCCACUGGCAUGUGUUACGAACCAAAUACCAUAUCAAUGUGCGCCUCAGUCCACGGGUUCCAUGUUAUUAGUGAGUCGUUAAGAAGCUCAAACUGAUCAUGGUAUAUGGGGUAACAAUUUUUUGCAAUUUUAGUAGACCAUUUUUUUUGACCCAACAUCCACCGAGUGGACAUAGUUACAACACCCUCACCAUAGUUGUACGGGGUUGCGGGUUCUACUAUCUGCGGUCGUCCUACAGGUAAGUAUUCCCAGGACCACAACUGUAGAAACUAGUAGGAGACACAAAGUAAUGGAGCUUUAGAUGUGAAUGCCGUUUUUUGAGUGGCAUCACACAACCCUCGGUAUGUGUGAGAAAGCAAAGCAGAACCAAAGCUAUAUGGUGGAUUUUGGGGUAAAGGUUCGUCAACUAUCUUUGCGGCAAAAUAGAUGAGACCAGGCAAAACUACAUCCCCGUGAGAAUUAGGAAACAUCACACCGAAGAGCCACAACAAAUAUGCAAACAAGUGUCUCUUCGUUGUCUCAGGAUCAGCAUGGGUAGAUAAAAUUUCGAAGUUAAUACGAAGCCAGCUGUGUGGGACACCUCGAGACGGACCAGAACGAUCUGAUAUGGGCAUUUCGAGCCUCAGACGGGCAGAGACAUCUGCUGGCCAAUUAGGAGAAACUCGUGGAUGUACCACUGGCACACCUCUAAUUGGUAAAGCUGUGAUCAUUGACACAUCUUUUAGAGUAGGUGCAAGCUCUCCACAUCGAAAGUGAAAUGUGUGGGUCUCCGGUCUCCAUCUAUCAACGAGGGAUGUCAAAAGGGAUGGGUCGACAGUAAAACUACCUCGACGAGCUGCGAUGUUCGCAAAAUGUAGGAGCCCAUAAGCCUCAAGGUGUUCAAGGAACCGAUUCUCUAUUGACCAGGGCGUCUUUACAGUUCGAAGCCGGAAGGUCUGAGGAGGAUUUUCAUGAUUUGGAUUUAUGAAAAGCUGGCAACGGUGGUGGUUGUCGUGAUAACCAUUCAAAAGCUGGGGCAUUUCAGCCAUAACCUGCAAUCACGAUGAAAAAAAUUAAAUAUUCCGAAUAUUACAUCACGAUUAAAUUAAAAUACAUAUUCCGAAUAUUACAUCACGAUUAAAUUAAAAUACAUGUUCCGAAUAUUACAUCACGAUUAAAUUAAAAUACAUGUUCCGAAUAUUACAUCACGAUUAAAUUAUGAAUACAUAGCAUGAUUACAUAUCACGCAGUGUUGUUGUUACGAUACGGACAGUCCCUACGCGGGUGACCAGCACACCUACAUACGCGGCAUCGCCUUGGUUCUCCCAACUGGCUGUGGUCCAUGUCAUUGCGAUGACGCCUAGACUGACGCCGUCCCUUGCUGGUUCGCAUCAAUGCGGGAUCUGGAACCCAUGUGGUGCCUUCUGGCCAUAAUUGCUUGUAGUUCGUAUCAAUGCCCCAUGCCCAAAACUCACCGUUCCAAGUGUUGUACAAAUUGUGCAUGUUGAAGUAUGGUGAUACGUACGGCUCGACACUAAUUUGUUGAUCUGCAGCUGCCCGCAAUACGUGACUACAAGGAUAUCCCAGAAGCUUGGGCUUGUUGCAAGUGCACUCACACGAUGUUGCGCCAAGCGUCACAGCUUGUUUUUUUGCUCCCCUGUGGUGACCCUUCACAAACAUUGCUCGCACACUAACUUCCCAUUUAUUCCUAAGUGCAUCUACCUGCCUGCACCCAUGUCUUUGCGACUUCUUUGCUUUGUCAUCAAGAUGUCUUUGCAUCUUCUCAGACCAGGUCUUGUUCAAAUCAACUAGCGCCUUGGCAACGGUGACUCUAUCUGCAAAGUAUGACACAGUCUGGUUCCAAGUUUCAUCAAUUAGUGCUGUGAUAGGUAGUGCCCUCACCCCUUUAAGAACACCAUUGUACACCUCGGACAUGUUGCUUGUCAUUAUACCGUAUCUAGCGCCAGUGUCAUGAGACUGCACCCACUUGUACAAAUUGGGACAAUUCUCAUUAAUCCACUGGCUCAAAUUUAUUGCUCUUCGACGACCCCUCCGGUCUUCUCUCGCCUGGAGGGAUGCGCGCUCGAUCUGACCAUUGAUACCUGCCCAGAUAGCACUCAUUUUUGCUGUAGUUUUCUGCAUGCACAUCCUCUUGAAUAGCUUGAACCAAUCUUUGUUUUUGAAUUUCGAAUAAAAAUUAGCUGCCAAAUGCCUCAUGCACCACCUUGUCUCCAGAUCGGGCCACCCCCAAUCUGGAUCUUGUGAAGCCUUAAUUAUCUCAAGCGCGCUUAAUAGUCCGGUGUUGCGAUCAGAGAUGAUGCAAACCCCUUCCCGGUCUUUGAUGACACCCAUCUUCAGGCAACACAGGAACCAUAGCCAACUAUGUUUGUUUUCGCUCUCCACUAGUGCAUAGGCAAUAGGAAGAAGUUGAUUGUUUGCAUCAGCUGCCAUCGCCACUAAGAGUGUGCCCUUGUACUUUCCUGUGAGAAAUGUACCAUCAAUUGAUACAACCGGACGACAAUGCUUGAAUGCUUGUAUAGUCUGGGCGAAUGCCCGGAAUAAGCGAUCCAGGAUUUGCUCGUCCGGGUUCAAUGGAUUUGGACGUUCUUUCCGGAAAACUUGAGUCCCCCUAUUAGCAACUGAAAUCUGAUGCAGCAUUCUAGGGGCAAAAGAGUACGCCUCCUCAUAGGUUUCAUACAACCUCUGAAAUAUCUUUUCCUUUGCAUGACGAGCCUUGCUAUAGCUGACGGGGAAACCAAUCAGAUCAGAUGCAGUUGCACGCAAAGCCCUAAUACUAAUAUUAAGACUUUGCUGCACAAUGGUUUGCAUCACCUGUGACACAUAUUCUGCAGUCACGUUGCGGUGCUCUGAAAGAGUGCCGGUUUGCUCACAACCAUGUUGCUCUAUUUUUGUGACAUGCCAUGGCUGACAUGCCCCAGGCUUCUGGCGAGCAAUAACUCUUCCGCGGCAACCCGCUUCGCGAUGGAUGCAUAUGAGCUUCAACUCCUUUUUAUCAGACUGCUUCACUCUAUGUUGCCUGUGUAUAGCAAUUGCAUAGCUAUGUAUUGCUUGUUUAGCAGAUUUCUUAUCUGGGAAAAUCUGUCCAACGGCCAGACUCCCCGCGUCUAGGCCAGCAACAGAGUGAAAUUCAUUGGUGAUGCUCAUAACCUGUAAAAACUCUGGGUUGAUUGCUGCAGCGACCGCAUUCUCAGGAGGAACAACUUCAUCAUCAUCUGAUUCCGAAGACGCAGAAGAAUGACCAUCAUCGUCAUCAUCUAGCGCCUCUGGCAAUCCCUCGACAUGUUCGCUCAUGUCAACGACCGCAGAUCAAUAUCCCGUGUCAUACACUUGAUGGCCACCUGUUGGUUCCGUUGGGCCGGCGUCGGGGGCUACAGUUAUGGCCAUAUGUUUGCCACCGCUUGGUUCUGAUGGGCCGGCGUCGGGGGCUACAGUUGCGGCCAACUCGGCCUCACCGGCACCGCUACUGCACUCGGCGACAUCACUGGCAGAAAUGAACUCCACAUAAACCAUGGGUUGUCCAUACAUGGAGUUAUUGGGAUUGCUUGCAAAACCCAUGUACGACGCCCAUGCUCUUUCACCGGUAACCCGUCGCAAAACCCAACGAUUUCCUCCCUCAACCACGAAAGCCUCCAGGGUCAUUUUUUUUCCAUUCAUCGCUGAACCAAACACCGAUCGGAUGCACCUUCUAACUGCCGCAUACUCUACAUUAACCAUGUCUUUCACUACAACCGUAGUCAUCCCGCACCUAGACACAUCCACACCAGAAGGACCCUCACGUACGAUGUGCCCAUAAAACACUAACAAAUUUUCCAUAGUACCUAACGAGCAGCCAUAUUUACAUCGUUAGUCCAUUAAAAAUCAUAUUUUUAGAUUUACAUUGUAAUAACAACAUCCAUUACUUAUCUUUUUUACAUAUAACAAUUUAACAACAUCCAUUACAUCUACGCAUAAUAAUUUAUAUUGUAUCAUUUAUCGUCACACUACAUCUAUAAAAUAAAUAGAAGAUGAAUUACAAUAUGUCAUUCAUACCUCUGGUUGGCAAAUUACAUACUGCAUAUAUAUAUAUGCGGCAAAAUACAUACUGCAUAUAUAUAUAUAUCACGAAUCAUAUUUCUACGGGGUUGGUAAAUUAUCAAAUAAACAAAUAUAUUACACACGCGUCUUGCAUGUAAUAAUACUAAUGGAGCUAACAUAUUAUUACAUGUUUUUUACAAAAAUGCUAGUUACAUAUGCAUUUCUUCGGCUCCUUUCUAAAUACCAGUUGCAUGCAAACACGAACAAAUCAUCGGUAAUAUAUGAACAUAGUCGACCUAUUAUCACAUGAACACAAAUAUGAACAAAGUCUCAUACCUUGAUCUUCAACUUAGUAGUUCAUAUCGCAUGACAAAAUAGUUCCACAAAAAUGAUAAUACGCUCCCUAAGACAAAAGAAAACACAUACUUAGAAACUAAUCAAACAAAAUAAAAACAUCAUGCAUGCAAACACGACCAACAGAAAUGGAAAGCUCUUACCUUGAUCUAUCUUUUCUUCAACUACAACGUCUUCAAAAUAGUUCCACAAAAGUGAUAAUACGCUCUCUAAGACAAAAGAAAACACAUACUUAGUAACUAAUCAAACAAAAUAAAUACAUCAUGCAUGCAAACACAACCAACAGAUAUGGAAAGCUCUUACCUUGAUCUAUCUUUUCUUCAACUACAACGUCUUCAAAAUCUCACUUUAAUCCGUCCUAAAUCGCCACAUAAACAUUCAUACGGAGUGAGAAAGAGAAGAGAGUGAGAAAGAGAAGAGAGUGAGAAAGAGGAGUGACACGGGAGGCAACGACAGGAGAAGAGAGUGAGAGAGGAGGCAGCGACGCGGUUCGCUUAUAAAGGAGUAAAUUUCGCACUGUUUCAUCGGUGGAGAGCGGGAAAAAAAUCCCACAGUUCUGCCCGGCCGCGCGGGAAAAAUUCGAGCGGGAAAGGAGCCUCGGAAUCAGCGCAAUCAAUCAUCAACAGUGCCGGCGCGCGGAAAAAAGGGCACCUGGCCGCCUGCUCCCGAGGCGGCAGGGCCCACCCGGGCUUGUCCGUUACGGACAGAACGAAUCGGGAACGGAUCCCGCGCUGGCCACCAGGGGCGGUGGCGGCAGGCCCCACGGCCGCCUCCUGCGGUGGCGGCAGGUGUCACGUGCCGCCUGGCGCGCCUGCCGCCGCCCGGGGUGGGGGUCUUUUUAGCCGUUUGCACUCGCAGGUGGUCUUUUUUGACAAUCCCACUCGACAGGGGGUCCUUUUGGACAAAAACUCGAUGAGCGUUGGCAAGUCGCACAAUAAGCAGGAUUGCUGAGCAAGCUCGACUGCAACAAGAAAGUCAAUUUGAGUGCUAACAUCACGUAUCGGUAGAUCCUGAGCGAACUUUCGCGCCGUGAUUCGCGUUACCGUUGGCCCACCUCGUUGUAUUUUUUAAACAUAAAUACAAACGCAAACGCUCGUAUAUACACGCAUACACUCAUCCCUAUAAACGCAUACAUGCACGUUCUAUCCCUAUAAGCAUCUCGAAAGACUAAACCGGCAUAUCAUCUUUAGAUUUACGAAGUCACUGUAGGCGUCUCGUCGUCGACGGGAACGCCUCCUCCCACUGAAAGCGUAUCGUCGAAAAUCUCUACUAUUAAAGGGGGAUCUGCCGUCGUCGUGAUGGUUCAAUCAGGCUCGAUCAACCCCUCCUCUCGCUACCUCCCACCUACCCCGUCCUGUUUUUUUUUUUCAAUUACCCUCCGAAAACCAACCGCAACCCCGCGCACGAAGAAAAAUCGCUCCACCCACACGCUCCUCACGUCGCGCCAGGAAAGGCAUCGCCUCGCCUCGCCGGCCGAUAGGGUUCCUGCACAACUGCCUCACCAGAUCCCGCUCACCGGAUGCGAGACGCCGACCUCGCCGCGAAACUCUGGCCCCUCUACGCUGCAGAGCUCCUUCCCCGCCUCUCACUCGCCCGACGCCGGGCACCGACAUGACCCGCCUCUGCACCACAGCUCCUUCCCCGCCUCUCACUCGCCCGACGUCUCCUACCACUGAAAACGUAUCAUCGAAAAUUCUGAAAUAAAUCCAGGAAUAAUUCAAGCACCAGGAUUUAAAACCUGGUGGGUUGUGGAUAUCACUAUCCCUCUAGCCAUCCAACAUGUGGUUUUGCGCCCACCUUAUUGUAUACUGCAUGUACAACGCAGCCCAGGAUGUAUUAUAUGAGUUUAAUCCCUACACUUAUCGCGGCGCACCUGACCCCACCGCCGUUUGUACCGCCAAUAAACACGAGAGUAGUUAUUGUGACUUCGUCUUACUUUCUUUUUCUUCUUCGGCUUCUCUUUUUCUUCCUUAUGACUUCACCUCCUCCGCGGACAAGUCCAUCCCAUCGAUUUGCCGUCAUAUUGAAGCUUGCAAUUGGAGCGAGAAACUCACUAGGACACAUUCCCCAUAUUGGUUCCUACAUAUUCUACGAAGAUCUAUAUCGGUUGAACCUCGAUGUCAAGGAUUCAAUCAAUCCCCUAUACAAUUCCUUUUGUCCAUCGGUACGUUACUUGCCAGAGAUUCGAUUGUAGGUAUCUCCAUACCUAGUUCAAUCUCGUUACUGACGAGUCUCUUUACUCGUUCUGUAAUACAAGAUCAUGUGACUAACUCCUUAGUCACAUUGAUUGCAAGGUUCUUGUGAUGUUGUAUUACCGAGUUGACCCUGAGAUACCUCUCCGUCAUACGGAGUGACAAAUCUCAGUCUUGAUCCAUGUCAAUCCAACAGACACCCUCAGAGAAACUUGUAGAGCACCUUUAUAGUCAUCGAGUUACGUUGUGAUGUUUGAUACACACAAGUUACUCCUGCAGUGUCAGUGAGUUGCACGGUUUCAUGGUCAUAGGAACAAAUACUUAACAUGCAUAAAACGAUAGCAAUAAACUAACGCGAUCAUAUGUUAUGUUCAUAGUUUUGGUCUUUCCCAUCACAUCAUUCUCCUAAUUAUGUGACCUCGUUAUCAAAUGACAACUCGUGUCUAUGGUCAGAAAUCUUGACCAUCUUUGAUCAACGAGCUAGUCCAUUAGAGGCUCAGUAAGAACAGUGUGUUGUCUAUGUAUCCACACAUGUAUUUGAGUUUCCAAUCAAUAUAAUUCUAACUUGAAUAAUGAACGAUUAUCAUGAACAAGGAAAUAUAAUAAUACCCACUUUAUUAUUGCCUCUAGGGCAUAUUUCCAACACUAAGAACUGAUGAGCUAUCCCUUCUUGGUUGCAGUGAUGGUUGAGGCACAUACGUAGGAUCUAAUAACCUCUCUCCAUAUUGCAUAAAAAGAAUAUCCUUGACUGAUUUCCCAUAACUUAUUCUCUCCAUGAUUAGAUUAUUUCUUAACCCACAAUGCUGACUGUUAUGGAACAUUACUCCACAAAAAAGACAUAUCCGUUCGAUCUUGUCAUAAAGCUGUGGUUGACUUAUCAGGAAGAGUGAGAUUGAUUCUAUCCAUCAAUGGCUGCAUUACCUUGAGUUUUGUAGUGCCCAUAUGUACUCUGGUCUUGCAAAUAACAUGUUGUUCUGAAGUGGAUGGAACUCCGAAGGAGUACCUACCGUGCAAAUAAUAUCAUGUAAAAGUUGUAGUGAUCUUACUUCUCUGGGAAUCCCAUAAGCUCUAACAGUUACAUAGAUGUGCUCGAAUUUGUAAUCAUCUCUUGUCUUGCUACCAUCUUCCGGAUCAACCCAUUCCAAGAGUAGAUUAUCCGAUCCCAUUAUCCAGGACUGACGGGUGAACACAAACCUCAUAUCUUCUCGAGAAACAAAAUAAGCCAUAAACAGGUGAGUUGAAACUUGAGUGAUUGCAUAAAAAUGUUGCUUCCACACUUUAGCCAUGGUUUGAGUGAUAGUAUGCUCUGAAAUAGUCAUCGGGGUUCCUCCUGUGCAUGCUAUUUUCAUCAAUAGCAUGUAUUUGUCCUGUAUCUCCUGGCUCUGCUCUACUUGAUUUGCUUGCAGAUUGCAGACCCUAGGUGCUGAUAAACUAAUUGCCUGAAGAUUAAGAGCCAGAUCCGACACACCUUUUAUCUCUCGCUGUCGUUGUUGAUUGUAAUCCCCUUCCUCUUUAUCUUCUUCUUUUUGGACCAGCUGAAAACUAUGCACAUCCAUCGUGAAGGGAAAGGGAUAAUCUCCUUCACUGCAGAUCUCACCCUCCCCAACUCAGAUUGAGAGAUGGAAAAAAGGAAUGGAUGGCGGAUGAGGGAUGGGAAGGAUCUAUGUGUAUGAGAGAUUGGAUCAAAAUAUUGUGAGAUUAGAAGGAGCAGGAUUAGGGAUGUGCGAGAAAAAUUAGGACGACAUGGCGCUACUCUCCACUCAGGGAAGUCUCCGGAAGGUUAUGUGUUCCCUCACAAGACUUUAAAUUGCUACUCCCUCCGUUCCUAAAUAUAAGUCUUUAAAAAAAAAUCAUUAGUGAACUAUAUACGGAUGUAUAUAGACAUACUUUAAAGUGUAGAUUCACUCAUUUUGCUCCAUAUGUAGACUUCUAUUGAAAUAUCUUAAAAGAUUUAUAUUAGGAACGAAGGGAGUAUUUUUUUUUCUAGAGUACUAUAGGCUAAGAAACUCAAAAAAGAUAAAACAUCUAAGGAGAGCCUAACUUGGAACUUGUAUUAUGUGCGAAAAUAAACAUAAAACAUCUAAGCACAGCCUAAUGGUAAUAUUUUUCAUUGCUUUCAAAAAAAAUGGUAAUAUUUUUCAAUCAAUUUCUUUUGACGAAAAAAACCAUAACACUAACUAAUGAGCCGAAAAAUCUAUCAAUGGUCGUUUUGGUUGCGAAAACCUGUUUUUUGGUUUCUGUGAAGUGGGUCAGGCUACCCCUUUGUUGUGAUUUCCCCUACCCUUUAUCAACCGGGUCAUUCUAAAACCUUACCUUCUCUUAUGGCGGGUGACAAUUUUCCUCCUGUGUUGGUUAUCCCGAAAAGGGAUCGGGAGGCGGAUGAGUGGCUAUUGAAGAAGGAGAAGCAGGAGUCGGAGCGGCUGCAAUCGGCGAUAGAGGAGGGGGGGGGGGGGCAAUCCUCNNNNNNNNNNNNNNNNNNUAACAGGGGAGAGGGGGGGGGGGGGGGGGUCAAUCCUCUCGACACAAAGUACAACGAGUACGACCUCAUAUAGCGGGAAUAUAUACUUUUUCAACCCCACACUCUACUCGACGAGGAGUGUAAGUCAAUGUUUUCUCGCCAUUUUUGACCCCGAUGGUUGGCCCAACAACGCUGGUUUUGGAAAAUUGGAAACCUUUCGUGUGGUUAUGGGAAGAUCGACUAGUUCUUUCCUUUUUUCUAUGUAUUUCUAAUCUGUUUUCUUUUGGUUCAACUAUUUCUUUCUCUCUUUUGUUCAUUUUCGCUUUUCAUUUUUUAUUUUAAAAUUCAUGACCUUUUUUAAUCCUCUCGGUUAUAGUGUACAAACAUCUUGUCACAUGUCACAAAUAUUAUAUAGAAAAUGUGCAAAAAUAAUUUCUAUCUUAAUUGAUUUUUCUAAUUAUGUGAAAAAUUAUAAGUCAUUUGAACAUAAUUUAAAAUGGGACAUUUUCCAUAUUUUAUCAGUAAUUUUUGACAAAAUGCACAAAUAGAACUUUAUAUCGCAUGAACAUAAUUUUAAAAUGUGUGAAUAUGUUUUAAAUGUCAUGAACUACUUACUGAAUGGUACAAAAUUUUCUAAAUUAUACGAACUAUUGUUUACAUUGUGAUUCUUUCUAGAAAUAAAAUCAUGAACAUAUUUUUAAAUGUUUGCAAUUGUUUUAAUUGUCACGGCCAUUUUAUUGAGUGGUACGAACAAUUUUGUAGAAUCGCAUGAACAAACUUUUACAUGCCCAUGAACAUUUUUUAAUGUGUUAUGUACAUUUCAAAAAAUAAGUAAAUUAUUGUCUUGAUAUAUACAUUUAGAGGACUUCAAAAUACAACAAAAGGAACAUAAAAAAUAUAAUAUAAGAUAGUGAAAUUACUAGGGUGUGUAUAUAAACUAGACGAUGCCCCGCACGUUGUUUCGAGAAUAUUUUACGUUGUAUUUCGAAGAUAUUGAUUUUAUGAAAAUAAGAUUAUCAGAGAAAUAAUAUUAGAGCUGAAACAAAAAAUAUAUAUGGUUUAUUGUGUUUGAUUAUUGUAUUUUUGUAAAUUAUUUAUUAAAUAUAUCAUGCAUGUUUGCAUGUUGAGGUGAACCUUUUCCUAGGACUCACUGAAUGUUGGAGUGGGUCUUUUUCUAGUGCAUGUUGGUUGAUGAGGUGUCAUGCUUGCAUGUUAAAAGAAAUAGAUUAGUGGGGACUAGCUAUUUAGAUAUAAAAGAUAAAUCACUGGAAAAAAACUGUUCAACUGAGCUAGGGUCACUAAGAGACUUCGAGCCUGGCCCGUACAAGGGGGGACGCCGGCUGGGGACCUCCUAUUCGCCGCGCGUUGCGGCAAGGAGUCGCACCCGCAUAGGGAAGGCGACUCCGACAGGGCCAGCCCAUCUUCGGCUCGCCCCCAACUGGACCCGUCCAGCUUAUUUUUUUGUUUAAAAAAUCUAUUAAUUGUUUUUCUAUAUAUUUCAAAUUCCAAAACAUUUUCUGGAAUUACGGAACAUUUUUCAAAUAUUGGAACAUUUUGAUAAAAAUUCCAGAACAUUUUUUUAAAUUCUAAAACUUUUUCCCAAAAUUUCGAAUAUUUUUUCAAAUUCGGAAAAAAUUCAAAAUCCGGAUGAUGUUUUCUAAUUCCGGAUUUUUUUUCAAAUUCUGGAACAUUUUUUGAAAUCCAUAACAUUUUUGAAACAGAAAAACAAAAGCGAAAAAACAGAAAAAUCGGUUCAGUGAAUCUUCAGAAAGUUUCCAAAACCAAAAAAACAGCUAAAAAAGUCUAGAAGGUUUUCAAAACCGGCAUCCCCGCAACUAUUAAUGGACCGCCCCAGAUCAUCCAAGUCGCUAAAGUUUUCUGUGUGCGAAGCCAUGGCUUUUUGCCGCAACGCGCGACAAAUAGGGCCAUGGCUUUUUGCCGCAACGCGCGACAAAUAGGGUCUCCCGCUGGCGGUGCUCAUCGUGACAGGCUCUAUUCACAACAUGCUAAUUUCUUUUUUUCUUUUUUUGAAGGGACAAGAUGCUAGUUUCUAGAAAACAAAAUUAAAACAUGCUCAUAAUUUUGGACAUUAAAAAAGGGCCAAAACAGAAGAAUGAAAAUGCAAAAAGUGGAAGCCGGGAUGGUGGGUUUGACGACUUUAUUUCUUUUGCGAGAAGGAUUUGACGACUUAUCACGAUCUUACCAUCAUGGCUAUAUUUGUAGUUUCCUUGUCGCUGCCGUACACGGAAGAACAAUAUAUUCUGUACAUAACUACCAUGAGGAUCGCAAACGUUGUAGAAAGAGAAAGAGAAGAACGUCUGGACAACACGUGUGUUUUUUUUCUCAAAAUGAAAUAAACACGUGCUAAUACAGGCUUGGUUGAAGGGAAAACACGCUGUAAUGACGCCCUGCUCCAGUUUACGAUCGACGGGAACUCGGCGGGUUGAUCCGUACCGUAGCCACCCACGAGCUCUCGAGCCAAGCUGCCGUGCACAAUUCGCAGAUGAUGAAGAGGAGGAGGAGGAGAUCCUUUGGCCUUUGCCACCCCGUACGUACGUAGCCAACUUGGUCGCUCUCGAAUUUUCGGCCUGUGCGUACGUGCGUGCGGUCGCCUCCGGUGAUGUGUUCUGGCCCUUCUGGGCAGGCCGCAUCCGGCCUAGUCCGGUCCAGCCCGACGUCGACCGCUAGCCGCACCGACCGGCGAGCUGGACACUUGAGCAGCAGCAGCAGCAGCAGCACGCCGCUGACGUCUCGUGCGCUCGGCGUCGUCGAUCGGCGCAUCCUGGAGCUUACACGUACAACUCCUGGCGCAUCCUGGGUCGAUCGAUCGAUCUGUUUCCAUCUUGUCGUAUCAGACGUUCGGUUUGAAGCCCGGACAGGGGAUACCUGCACUGCGUGACAUGAUAAGGCGGCAGCGCAUACAUCAGUCGCUACCAUGGCUUCGGUUCGUGGCUGCCAAUCAAUCACCCAUUCUAACGGAACAUCGAGCGCACGCAUGUUGUGGAAGCCAGAGUGAAAAGGAGAUUUGCCCUUUUUCAUAAAUUAAGGAAGGAGGAGUUUGACAGGGUUUGCCCAAACUCCUCCUCCUACCACUCGCCCAACGCAUCAAGGCGUGAAGCUCGUAACGUGCACGAAUCAGCAUUAGAGCAUCUCCAACAGUUUGUAUGUUCAGUCGUUGGUAUAAGUAUCCACAUCAUCAACCAACAGCACAUCACACAAGCUCUUCAAUAGAGUGUAUGUUAACCAUAUGUAAAAUAGCUAAGUGGGUCCAUUAAAUUUUGAAGAAAUAACCAUGUUUGCCUCAGAGCUUGUGCAUGAACCGUUGCUUCAAGUUCAUACAGUAUGGUUUCAUUCUCCUUUUAUUAUUAUUAUGUGUUAUGUUAUUAAAAUCAUCUAUGUGGCAAUUUUAUCAAUGACGAUCAUACGACCAUCUCACCAUUGGAGAUGCCCUUAGUGGAGCCGGAGCGCAUACACAAUCAAAAUCAGCAUCUGACAGCUCGUCCGAUCGAUUGCUCGUGAUACGGCCGAGACGCUACGAGACGUGAUUCGCCAGUACAGUUACGCUUGCUGACGGCAGAUAACAACCACCUGAAACAAGAAAGAUUCGACCAGCCCCGCCACGAACACGGGAACCGCAGCGAGGCGCCGACGAGCCGGGCAAGACGGCCGGCGCGGAUCGGGAAACGCCCCCCCGUUCCGGGCGGUGGCGCGACGGGCCGCCCCGGCGAGAGCGGUCGCGUCCUGCCCGGUUCAGCCAGCAAUAAUGCCGACCGGCCACUUGCACCCGCCAAUGAUGAGCGACCGCAACUGCGACAGGGACCAACUCCAGGUCACGUCCCGGGGAGGCGCCACCCGCGGCGCGCGCCCCGUUCACGCUCCCUGGCAGCCGGGCGCGCCCGGACGCCGACGGUCACCGCGGCGGCAGGAUGCCAUGACCCGACUCGGGGAGAAAUUUCAGCGCGGGGCACGUCAUGCCGUGCGCGGGAAAAUACAAAAUUGCUCGAUCGUGUUUGACCGUUGAGCAUGUCGACAUGUCUGGCCUGGAUAAGAGCGUGCCCGUCGCCGUCAGCGUCGGGGACUCGGGCGGCCGAGCGCCGGCAGGGGGCCACGUCGGAGCACCAACCGCGGCCNNNNNNNNNNNNNNNNNNNNNNNNNNNNNNNNNNNNNNNNNNNNNNNNNNNNNNNNNNNNNNNNNGUUCAGCAGAGGGCACGAUCGUACGUGGCACGGACCGGGGGCGCACGUCAGCGUCCCCCCGGCAGGGGUCUUAUCCGGUUCUCGCGGCGGCGAUCGUGCCUAUCUGGACGCCAUAUCGAUCGACAGCGUUACAUGGGUCGUCAAAUCAUUGCUGGUACGUACAAUCUUUUAAAAACCAGUGGUGCUUCUAUAUUUUUUGAAAGAUCACUACGAUCUUCUUGAAGUUUUUUACUGGUGUGGGGUUUCGAUUUGAGGAUAGCCAUGAGAAUGGUCAAAUUAGUUUGAGUAUAUCACUGCAUGUAUCUGACGUGGCAGCCUCAUACGACUUGUCAGAGUCGAAGCCUGGCCAUUUUCGAAAGCCGAAACUGUAAAUCGUGAGUCGAAAGUCGAAACACGCGUGCCCAGUUUCAGUUCCCCGCACCUAUAAAAACAGCCAAACUUUUCGGACACCACGCCUCAAGAAGCAACCAAGAACGCGCGCGGCUGGCUGGCUGAGUGCAGAUCAUCGACGGCGGAACGAAAGCGGCGCACAACGAUCUCUUCGGUUCGACCGGCCAUGGACCCGCGGUGCAGCGGCCACUGGGAGAGCUCGUCGGAGGACGUCACGAGGUCGCUGCUGCCCCUGCACGACAUCACGGCGGACGGCGGCGCCCGCCGCUCCUCCUGCUCGCCGCUCGUCGCGUCGCUGCUCGCCAACAGGUACCUGCCGAUCGCGGCCGGCCCGCUGGCCGCCGUGCUGAUCUGCGCGCUCGUCGACCUUGGCCCCGGGCACGCCGCGGCGCGCAACAUGCUCGGCGUGCUGGCGUGGGUGUUCAUCUGGUGGAUCACCGACGCCGUGCCGCUCGCCGUCGCGUCCAUGGCGCCGCUGUUCCUCUUCCCGGUCUUCGGCGUCUCCUCCGCCGACGCCGUCGCCAAGGCCUACAUGGACGACGUCAUCUCCCUCGUCCUCGGCAGCUUCAUCCUCGCCCUCGCCAUCGAGCACUACAACAUCCACCGCCGCCUGGCGCUCAACGUACGUGCAUGCCCGCGCCGCGCGCGCGUCCUCCUAGCUAGCUAAUACUACAGCGCAAUCGAUUCUUCCGGCGCCGGUGAUCAGCGUACUAACAUUGUGCGGCGCGCGCGCAGAUCACGUCGCUGUUCUGCGGGGACCCGGUGAAGCCGGCGCUGCUGCUGCUGGGCAUCUGCGGCACCACCAUGUUCAUCAGCAUGUGGAUCCACAACACGCCGUGCACCGUCAUGAUGAUGCCGGUGGCCACGGGGAUCCUGCAGAGGUUCCCCGGCGACGCGGCCGCCGGCGCCGACGCCCGCGAGUUCAGGCGGUUCUCCAAGGCCGUGGUGCUCGGCGUCNNNNNNNNNNNNNNNNNNNNNNNNNNNNNNNGUCGUGUACGCGUCGGCGAUUGGCGGGAUGGCCACGCUCACCGGCACGGGCGCCAACAUCAUCCUGGUUGGGAUGUGGUCCACCUACUUCCCGGAGGAAGAGCCCAUCACCUUCAGCUCCUGGAUGUCCUUGGGGCUCCCCAUGUCGCUCGUGCUCUUCGCGGCGCUCUGGGGCACGCUCUGCCUCAUGUACUGCUCCAAGAACACAGGGAGGGCGCUCUCCGCUUACCUUGACCGCACCCAUCUCAGAAGGGAGCUCAGCUUGCUUGGUACGUUAUCUUUCUUGUGAUCUGCACUUGAGGAAAACGACUGCUGUAGUAUUCAUCCAUGUUCUCGUGAUCUGGCCAGUUUGAAUUUUUAACCAACUCCUGGUCAAAUAUUUCGUGGAGUAAACUGAAUGAACCACAACCGUUGAAAUCCUAGCGUUUGGUUAUCUGAUGGGGAUCUCCGUUUUUUAUUUGCGCCAGGUCCAAUGGCUUUUGCAGAGAAGAUGGUUCUUGCCGUUUUCGGGGUAAGUUUGCACAUUUCAAAUCAGUAAAAUGUAACAGCCAUUUUUUCCCCUGAACCUAGAAGCAGAGUGUUACUGCAGCAACAGAACUGAAUGGAUCAAUGGCUGAUUCAUGCAGGGCCUGAUCGUCCUGUGGAUGACGAGGAGCCUGACGGACGACAUCCCCGGGUGGUCGGUCCUCUUCCACGGCAAUGUCGGGGAUGGGACAGUCACUGUAAGUAUGCUCCACAAGUUCAAUCAUUCAUCUCUCAGGGACAAUCUGCCACACGAGCUCACGGGACACCAUCUCGGUCGCAAUGCAGAUCAUGAUGGCGACGCUGCUCUUCAUAAUCCCGAGCGGCAAGAGCGACGGCGAGAAGCUCAUGGACUGGGGCAAGUGCCGGAAGCUGCAGUGGCACAUCGUCCUGCUCCUCGGCGCCGGCUUCGCCAUCGCCGACGGGUUCAAGGCGAGCGGCCUGACGGACAUCCUCGCCGGGUGGCUGGGCUUCCUGCGGGGCGCGCCGGCGCUGGCCGUCGCGCCCGUGGCGUGCGCCUUCAGCGGCCUCCUCACGGAGUUCACCUCCGACGACGCCACCACCACGCUCGUGCUGCCGCUGCUGGCGGAGCUGGGCAGGACCAUCGGCGUGCACCCACUGCUGCUCAUGGUCCCCGGCGCCGUUGGCGCGCAGCUCUCCUACCUGCUGCCCACCGGGUCGCCCGGCAACUCCGUGGGGUUCAGCACCGGCUACAUCACCAUCAAGGACAUGGUGGUCACCGGCAUGCCCAUCAAGAUCGUCGGCGUUGUCGCUCUCACGGUCCUGCUGCCAACGCUAGGUAAGUUUACCUGCUUGCAACUCCUUUCAGACACUGGAAGAAGACAAUCUGCAGAGCUAGUACUCUCGCUCUGGUGCUGAAUCAUGUUCUUCUCUUGAUUUGAUGCAGGUGUUGCGGUUUUUGGCAUGGAUCAGACGGUAUAGGGUAUAGGAACGUACUGAAAAUUCAAUUGGAAUUUUCAACAUCUCAAUCGCUAGGCUGUAGGCUAGUACGAGUAGCAUCUACUAGGAGGUUAUUCAGGUUGUUGUACAGUGUGUAGUCAGUGUCAUUGCCCGAUGAACGACAUGGGGCCAUAUUCUUUUGUGUAUCUACGAGACGGUAUAUGAAUUUGUAUCGAGAGGUUCGUUCUGAAUAUACCGAAGUUUGCAACUUCUUCAUCCAGUUUCAUCUGAUAUUGCACAUUUUCUGAAUCAUAAGGCUGAGUUGGAAUCUAGAUCACCGCCAGACUGUACAAUUGCCUUGUCUAUAGGCAGCUUGAUGAUGAUGAUGAUGAUGAUAAUGGACACAUCAAGAUCUCACAGAUCGUAUGAUUGCCACUCUAUCAACAACUGCGUGGUCAGUAGCAAAUAGCAGAAUGUCAUAAGCAAUGCCUUUAUUACUCCGGUGAUGAUGGACAGGAACAUUCGACACGAUAUCCUGCAUUAAGAGCAAACCCAACCGGGCGGACCCGCACUUUUUUCGUCUUUUGUCCAUUUAAUCGGCUCUUUGGUCCUUAAUUAUAAAUAAAUUGGUCGUGCACCCAACGCGACGAUUCAUUUUUCGCCCGUGCAUAAACAGCUUAAUGCUAAAAGGGAUCGCGGCCACACUGUCACGUCAACUAACAUGCCAGCGUUAAGAGUUCCUGUCCGCUAUAUGCCAGCGAUCGGCAUACAUAUGCGAGUCUACAAAAAAAUACACAGUUUUCAAGUUGAGCACAUCUGCCAGCAGGCCAACACACAUGCCAACACACAAAAUGAGAAUGUAGUUCGGCCACGCCAUCUCAGUCGUGGUCAUGCCCGCACACCGCAACAUGGUUCACUCGUCUUCGAGGCUGAACAUGUCGGCCUGCAUCUUCUCGAUCCAAAACAGCCUCCUCGGAGAGACCGUGUUCAAGUUCACCUUCAUGAUCUCGACCCCCUUCAUCAUGCAAGCAAGCCGGACUUCUUUUGCUUUGGUGGCUGCUUUUGUGGCCUCGAUCUCUAGCUUAUUCGCUUGCGUCACCGCCUCCAACGUGAGCUUCAUGUUUUGUAUCUUCAUGAAGGCUCUAAUUUGCUCCUCCUUGUCUUGCACACGCUUCUUCUCUCUUGAGUUUUUCUUGACGAUCAUGACUUACAAAGUAGCUUGCAAGGCAAGAGACGCCGCCUCGCGCUUGUCAUCUUUCUUGGAGUUGGUCUUCGCCUGCGGCCGCAGCUUCUCGCCCCCACCUUGCUCUUCAACGACUUCCUUCCCUCCACGCGCCUUGAUGGCAGUGUAUUGCGCUUUGAACUUAUCUUCUUCAUUCAUGAUCAUCGAAUAAUGAGUGAGGUUGAAAGACUUGCCCUCAUAGUGGACCUAGAAUGCUUUCAAAGCUUGGAAGAUCUACACAUGAGCAAGCAUGUCAGCAUACCAAAAUAAUCAAGGGACGGGACAAUCAACAUAAGCAAGCAUGUCGGCAUACCAUGUCUUUCAUGCCGAUGUCGCUCACGGAACAUGCCUGGAUGCUCUCAAGAGUGGAACAAAACUUGUUGGACUCUUGUUGUAUCAUCCUCCAACGCUUCCGAGAGAGACCCACCCAUGCUUGCUCUCCAUUUUAUAUGGUUUUAACUUCUUUCGCUUGUGGAAUGUGCGAUGCACUCUCUGCCAAAAUGCCGAAGCCUUUUGCUCGGAACCUAUCUCGGGGUCUUGGCCAAUGUCUCUCAAACAUUCACAAACGAGUUUGUCCUCAUCUUGUGUGUACGCUUUGGUCCGCUUGCUCUUCCGCUUCUUCUUUGCAUUGGCUUGGGCGGGGAGCGGUUCCUCGAACAAUGGCUCUCCCUCGAUGUCCAGUUAAUCAUCCUAUUCGUCUAGGCCAUAAUCUUCCGAGCUCGUGAUCUAGUGUAAAAGAGCCGCCCAUGCCGAGUUGGUCCUCCAUGAGGGGGUCAGACAUGCUUGCAUUGUCAUCACCAAAGGUGUACCCAAUGCCAUCGUGCCCAGGCAUGAAGGGGUUCUGCCCAUCUUGGCUUUGCGUCUCGUCGAGAUCGAAGGAAGCGCCACCGCCAUCACCUUCAUAGAUGGGACUCUCCAUGAAGAUGUGGUUGGCCUCGUCUUCCGUUGCCGGCAUUUUGUUGAACAGGUUACGGGCAUUCCCCAUGGCAUUGGUUGGGAGCUCGAGAGGCCGCUUGCGCGCACCCCCGGAGGACGAUCCACCUCCCAUAGGCACCACGUUGAGGUCGAUGUCGUAUGAAUGAUUCUGACAAUAAUACAAAGGGUAUGAAUCAGGGGCGGAAUAUUCUGGUCCAUCACUUAAUCCAAAGGAUUGGAUAUGAUGAGACCAUCUAGAUUUGCGGCUAUAAUGGUUGCUCGGGAGGGAUCAAUGAGACCGAUUAGAAUAACACAUAAUGCAAAUGUUUUUUUUUGCUCCAAGACCUCAUUGAUGAGACGUCAGCAUCCCGACGAGAGUAACUUAUCUGCGACACUUUCUUUCUCAUGAAUGCUUCGGUAAUUCUCGGCAUUGCCCUAAGGAAUAUUUUCGACUUUUAGUCUUGGAUUUAAGAAAGAAAGGCUUCUUCUAUAUGAAACGUGCCUAUCUUAUGUUGGUUAUCAUUAAGAUGUCCGAGGAAGGCUGGAUUUACUAUGGCAAUGGGUCUUUUAACACCGCAUCUGAAUCAAGAGACUGGAGGGAAUUAUGGAGUUUUCUGAUACCUUCAAAGCUUAGAUUGUUUCUUUGACACCUAGAUCAACACCUACUAGUGAGUUUUGAUGUUCUUGGGCACAUGAAUAUAUCGGAUGCCUCCAAUUGUAUGUUUUUUGGGCGCCCAAACUGAUGGCGUCAUGCCCUCCUUGAAUACUCCAUGUCAAAAUAUAUUUGAGGCCAUGCCAAGGAAGAGAUGGUCAAGUUUAUGGUCAAGACGACGAAGUCACAUGCAAAUCAAUGGUUGUUCACUAUGCAAAAUACGUCAUCGCGUGCACACUUUAUGCAAAUGGUUAUCAUCCCUUGGGCCCAUCUGGUAUGCUCGUUGGAAAACUUUCCAUGAAUAUGACUUCCAAUCUCCCAUAUCUGCUCACAUGUUAAUUAGAAACUUCAUAUUGGAACUGGAAGUAAUUGGAAAGAACAAGCCACAUAAAGUUGUGAUAGAGAGGCAAAAUCCAACGCCUGAAGUAGACCUCUGCUAGGUAUUGUCAAGUUUAACAUAGACCGAGCUGUAUCAAGACAGGUCCAUAGGGGAACCGAGGCGGUUGUUUGUCGUGAUGUAUGUCCAAAUCCUAUGAUCACCAGCAGUCACCAAUGCCAUCAUAUCAAAUGCUACCACUCUUGAAGCACUUGUGUGCCGAGAAGCACCUGCAUUCAUAGAGGUACUAGAUUCGGUUGCCGAUCUCCUCAUUAGGUGCAUGCUCAUUUCUUCGGAGUGUCAAACAACAAUUAAAUAUUAGGUGGGUGCCAUGGUGAUAUCAUCAACGAAAUUAAAGCCCUUGUUUAGGAUUUUGAAGUUUGUAAUUCCAUUCAUGAAAGUAGAAAUAGAAAUUUUAUAGCAGAUAGCUUAGCUAAGUUCUCCCUUUUCCUAGAUAUGGGCAGGCAUGUUUGGCUAUUGCAAUUGCAACUCAUGACAUUGUAACAAUACCUAUGAACUUCGUUGAUCAAUAAAGCAACUUCAUUUCCCUAAGGCUAAAAGAGAUAAAUUAUUUUUCAUAUUUUUUAUUUUCUAUUUCUUAUUCCGUUUGCCUCUUAUGUUCACUUUUUAUUUAUUUAUUUACAUAUCCCGACCGGUUUUUAUUUCUGGCUAGUAUUAUUUAAUUUUUAUAUUGUUCUUGAGUUUUAAAAAAUGUAUGCCAAUUUCAAAGGGUUCACAUAUUUGUUAAAAUGUACCCAAAAUUAGAAUUGUUGGUGAAUCUAAGAAAUGUUCAAGAAUAUAACAUAUUUGUUUGGAUUUUGUAAAAAUAUUUCCAAAUUUGAAUUUUUCAUGGAAUUGAAAAAUAUUAAUGAAUUUAAUAUUUUCAUAGAUUUGAGAAAUGUUCAUGAAUUUAAUUUCGUUUUGAAUUUUUAACAAUGAUUACGAUUUUGAAUUUUUUUCAUGAAUUUGAAUAAUGUACUUUCAUUUAAAAAAUAUUUACGAAUUUGAACAUAUGUUCACAAAAUUGAAGAAUGUUUGUGAAUUAAAAAAUAUUCACCAAUUUGUAAAAAGGUCCACUAAUUGAAAAAUGUUCUUGAAUUUCAAAAUAUAUUUUACACAAUGAAUAAAUUCACAAAUUUGGAAAAUGAUAGCAAACUAAACAAUGUUUGUGAUGCCACCAUUUGAUCUCGUCUCAAAACUAAAUCUGUCAGAAAAGGCAAGUCGUCAUUUAAAACUUCCACAGUUUGAUCUCGCUUAGAACUAAAACUAGGGUUCGUUUGCCAUCCCUCUCCCAGCGAACAUCAAUCAGAUAAGAUUUUUAUUGGUUAAUGGGUCUAGUAGAAAUCAUCAUAGCAGGAGUUCGAAUCUCCCCAUCCCAUCAAUAUGUUUUGAAGGUUCAAGAUAAGUAAAUGGAAGUUGUGCACCUUGUUGCGGAAACAAUAUAGAACCGUGCCUGAAAUGUCAAAUAGGGAUUAGGCGUCUAAGUCUUGCUAGUGGUGAAACUGUGUGGAACUGUGCCCGAUGAAGCACUAUCGUGGCCGGCAUAGUAAUUUCUAUGUUGUUUGUUUCGUUCGUAUGUUUGAUUCGCUUAUUUUUUUGGUUUUAUCCUGUUUACAUAUUUUAAAUUUACAUAUAUAUUUAUAAAUAGAUAUUUCAAAAAAUUACUUUAGAUAAAAAUACUACAUAUUGCAUUUCUUAUGAAAUAAAAAAUUGUUCACAUAAUUUUGAAAGUUGUUUGUACCAUUAAAAAAAUGGCUGUGUCCAUUCAAAUUGUCGCACUUUAAGAAUAUAUUCAAAACAUUAUUAAAUUUGCGAAAGUUAGUUCACAUAAUUCGUAAAAACUUGUCGUACCAUAAAAACAUUAUUCAUGUCAUUUAAAAAAUGUCUGCAUAUUUAAAAAUAUGUUCGGCACAUUUAAAAAUGUGCAUGAAAUAAACAAAUAUUAGUGGAAUUUUUGAAAGUUGAUAAAUAUGUAUAAAACUGUUUGUCCAUUUAUAAAAAUAGAUUGAUAAACACUUAAGAAAUGUUUUGAAUGUUUUACAAUAAUGUUCAGGAUAUUUCUUAAAAAUCUUCAGUGUGUAUUUAAAAGAUGUUAAAUGCGUAUUUUAGAAAUUUUCAACAUGUAUUCAGAUAAAUGUUUAACAUGUAUUGGAAAUAUAUUUAACGGUUAUCUAAAAGUGUUCCACUUAUAUUUACUUUUGUAACAUGCAUUUGUCAAAAUGUUCAACAUGUAUUAAAAAGAAUUCAUUUUGUAUUUUAAAUAUGUUUAACAUGUAUUAAAUAUGUCAAUGUGAAUUUUUAAAAAGGAAAAGAGCAUUCUUAUCGUUGAUGGUGGAUAUAUUUCAAGCACUAGACAAAAUUUACCUAAAAUCUAGGGCAUGAGAUGAAUUAAUUAUCCUCAUCGAGAAACUUAGACUACUAAUAGAAAAGAUUUGAAAAUGAUGAUGUGGAUCUUGUUUUUUUCGUUCUUUAGAGUUUUCUAUAUGCACAAUUUCUUGAUGAUUGAUGACAAUUUCUUGACUUUUCAUAUGAUGUCCUCAAACGAAUGGACUCUGAGGCCACCGCUAGUGUUUGUCGUCUCUGUCUUCCUCGUAGUACCAACAAUCACAAGGGAAAUACACUUUGGUUCCUGGUUGUAUAUGCACCUCAUAUACAUAAUUUUUUAAUAAUUAAAUAAAAUGUCAAAAUAGUUCAAAAAUAUUUUUGGAAUAAAGUUGACUUUGUUUUGCACUAGUAUCAAAAAUUUCACGAAAAAACCCAACGUUGACUCCUGGGCAAAAAACACAAAGUUUAUUUGCUAUUAUAGGUCACUAUUCACAAUAUUUUGAUCGAAAAUUUGUCUUUCUUAAAAAGACGUCAACGUGUAAUUUUCUUUUUGUGGAUUUUUUCUUACAACUACAAUGAAAGAUCAAAUUUGCUUUAAAAAUAUUUGUAGAAUUUUUUGACAUUUUGUUGAAUUGCUUUUUUCUUUUCUUCAUAUAGGGUGUAUAUACACCCAAGAACCAAAGGGGAACCAAUCGCAAGCGCUUUCACGACCGUCGCCCUAUCUAUCUCGGGCCACGUCGUCAUGGCCUUGGCCUCCACCUCCUCCUCUUGCCGACUGGUGUAGCGCCCAUGCCGCUACGAGCACAAGGUCAGCAAGGACAUGCAAAAGAGCCACUUGCAACUAGGCAAUGGAGAAGCGUGAUUCAGAACCAUGGUUCAGCCAAACGUAUGCUCCACGCUUAUGAUUCAACAUCCUUCUACAUGUGGAUUCGCGUCAUGCAUGUCAAUUUCAUCCAAAACUUUGUGUCAUGCAUUAUUUAACUUGCAAACAUCUUGUACUAUGCAUUUUUUAAUCAACCAUGCAUAAAUCCUCAUGAACAGUGUGCAGAAACCAAUGGUGUCGAGCGUAGGUUCGGCUGAACCAUGGUUUUUGUAGGCAAAGUUUGUUAAGUGUCGCACAUGGCGCCGCUCCGAUUCAAUGAGCCGAUGCGAGCCUGACAAGGACGAAGAGUCGCACAACCCGCUCAAUCCACCAACGCAGUAAUCGAGGCAGGCAAGAUACGGGUGGAACAGACGACACUCAAGUUGCAGCUUGUCGCUGCGGGGAUACACUAUCACAUUCAUAAGCCAGCAAGCCACAGAUCCGUUGCGCUCUUGGACUAAGCAUGUGGAUGGUGAUGGAGCGAGAGGGAAUCGAUCAUCGAUCGACCUACGUACCGUGCGCCCUCUUUGAUUCACAGGAUUUAUAAAACCCGGAGUAGAAAUAAACACACAAACAGAGUGUCAUUCCAGUAGCAUUAGCCAUUUUUCGUACUUUUGUUCACACUUCAUCAAUUUUUCAUGCCAGGGACAGAAAUCGUCAUGAAAGUGAUAAAGAUGAUAUCCUUCCAAAUAGGAUAAGAGAAUUAUUAUUAGUCUCUAUAAUUGGAAUAGUCUCUUGCUAGUAAGGGGCCUCUACAACAAUGUGAUCCUUGAAUGCUAGUUUGAAUAUCCUCCCAACUGUAGUUAAUCAGUGUCCUUUUAUAUAUAUUAAUGGGUGUAUCCCUCUCGAAAGAAAAAUGCCAAGCAUAUGAUGUUAAGUAGGUAGACCAUAUGCUUAUUUUCAAGCUGGCCAACUCACUAAAAAAGAACUUUGGUAACUAACAUACUUACAUACAUGACUAGUUAUGUGCUUAGAUUGGCUAUGAAAAACACGUUUAUGUCCUCAUGUUCUAACACUCCCAGUGUUCUAAAUAAAAUUUGUGAACUCUCCCAUCAGUAUAAUUUGACCGUUAAUAUUUUGUAUGAACCUGUAACAAAAAUGUAAUUGCCUUAGAUUGGUUGUCACUAAAAAAAAGGGAAAUGCUUUUAUGUAAAAUGAAAAAAAAAUCUAUGUUUUCAUCACGCAAAAACCAUGGAAACAACUUAGCAACUGAGGUUUCUGUUGUACAUUUUUUUAUGCUUUUAUGUUUGAACACAAAGCUUCUGCUUCAUAGUAAAUAAUGUUCCACAUACUUACGACCCAACACUAUGACCGGAAGUCCAAUUCUUAGUCUCUGGUAUUUAUAGGAAAAUUUUAUGGUGGUUUGGGACAAAACCAAUAAUAAAGUUACUAUCCGGCAAAUGUGAAUACUAUUUUAUUUGUAAAAAGCCCAUGAAUUAUCAUUUCUAGAAUACCAACACAUGCACACAAAUAUAAAAAAUCACUAGCACUUGCAUGGAAAAUAUUAAUUCAUGUUCAUCGUAAUUUAGUUUUCCGCUUGUAACUUUUGGACAUCUUUUUACAGAUGUCUUGUGUUUAUUCCCUUCAGCUCAUAUACUUUGAUCUUGAUACUUUCUCUAAUUCAAAAUAUCGGCAAACAUUUUUAGAUUUGUUAAGGAACUACAAACAUUUACAAUACGAAAAUGAAAUUGCAGUAUUUGUCAUGACCUAUAUUUUAGUACAUAUUCACUUCUAUUUGACACAACAUAUUUUCUUGUUAUUUUGAAGAUCAUGAAAAUGACUUAAAGUACCUAUAACGCAAUCGAAAGGGUUUCUAUAUUGCAAAACUAUUUAAAUAUCAAGAUAUCUUCAUGGGAUCUAUCACCCGCUGUAUCGAUACCACUUGUAGGUGGCCCAAUGGUGUCGCGGUUCUGACUGGAAACAAGUGUGUACUGCACUAUUUCCGGGAUCAAUAAACUGUGCCAGAUUUAUUCACUUGGCAUACAAAGUUUGAUAAGCCGUUGAGGCCGAAUGAUUAUCCAAAUGCAGGUUGAGUCUCUUACGAGAAAAAUAAUGCUAACAUCUGAUGCAUGCAAUAUAGAUGAUGGAAGCUGGUUAUUGUACAUGUUGCAAAGGUCCCAACUAUGGAUAGUUUGGUGCACCAUAUUGACAACAAGAUAAGUCCACGGAAUAGAACAUUGCACCCCAACAAACAGACUAUCAAUAUAGCCUCCAAGCCAAUGAAAACACAAACCCAAUAUAUUGUUGAAAUUAGAGAUGGGCCUUAGGCCCAUAAGACAAAUUUCAGAAAAAUCUCCAAGGCCCCAUGUAGGUGGUGGCAUGACAAGGGGGUGGGAAGUUUAGCCCCCCCCCGCUAGUGGAGGAGAAUUUGGACCCCUUUAUAAGGGUCUCUCUUCCACAUGCUAUUGGAGAGUGAGAAGAGAAGGUGCCCUCACGCACUCCUCCUCCGCCGCCCGCCUCGCCUCGUCGCGGGAAUGAGUGAACGUGUUCUGAGUAGCCGGUGUCACUCCUACGGAAACUAUCACAGUGCAAUUUGCCGGGCAGACUCAUCAGAGGAACUUCAAUUCCCACAAGCCCAAGGGAAAGAAUUCUGUCCAACACUUGUGGUUCAGAGGAACAUUGGGCGAACAAAUGCCCAAACAAGUACAAGAAGCCCAAGCCCGCGUAGGACUCCAAGUCUGCCAAUAUGAUUGUGGGCAACAAUGAAAGUGGUGCAUCUGGGUACGGUAAUUUACUUACUGUAUUUACAGUUUGUCGAUCUGAAGUUUACUUCGGGAAGGAUCGUGCAGCAUGUCCCCGCCAUCAAGAAGAAUCUCGUUAGUGGCUCCCUUCUGUGUAGAGAAGGGUUUAAGUUGGUAUUCGAGUCUAAUAAAGUAGUAGUUACGAAAUCUGAAGUUUGGCAUUCACGUCUUUGUCACAUAAGUUUCGGUGUUAUGUCGCGGCUAGCAAAACUGAAUUUAAUCCCAACUUUCACUUUAGCCAAAGGUUCUAAGUGCCAUUCGUGUGUGCAAGCAAAGCAACAUCGCAAGCCUCACAAGGCUGCAGAGGAGAGACACUUGGCACCAUUAGAACUCAUACAUUCUAAUCUUUGUGAGAUGAAUGGUGUGUUGACUAAAGGUGGAAAGAAAUACUUCAUGACAUUGAUAGAUGAUUCCACUAGAUUUUGCUACGUGUAUCUGUUAAAUACUAAAGAUGAGGCUCUACACUACUUUAAAAUCUAUAAGGCAGAAGUUGAGAAUCAACUUGAAAAGAAAAUUAAACGAGUCCGGUCUGAUCGUGGUGGAGAGUACUUCUCAAACGAAUUUGAUUCAUUUUGUGCGGAACACGGCAUUAUUCAUGAGAGGACGCCUCCCUAUUCACCCCAGUCAAACGGGGUUGCCGAGCGGAAAAACCGUACUCUAACUGAUUUGGUUAACGCCAUGUUAGAUACAUCGGGUUUAUCCAAGGCAUGGUGGGGGGGGCUAUAUUGACCGCAUGUCAUGUCCUGAAUAAAGUUCGUACAAAAGAUAAUGAGGUCACUCCCUACGAGGAGUGGUCGAAGAGAAGGAAGACGCUCUCGUACUUACGUACUUGGGGCUGCUUGGCGAAAGUCAAUGUACCGAUCCCCAAGAAGCGUAAGCUUGGACCAAAGACUGUGGACUGCGUUAAUUUGGGAUACGCUAAGAAUAGCGUAGGCUAUAGAUUUCUAGUAGUGAAAUCUGAGGUACCUGACGUGAAGGUCGGUACAAUAAUGGAGUCGAGGGAUGCUACAUUCUUUGAGGAUAUAUUUCCCAUGAGAGAUAUGCAAAGCACUUCUAGACAGGAAUCUGAGAUAACUCCUGAGCCUGCCAUUCCUAUGGAAUACUAUGAACAAACACAUGAUGAAAAUCCUGAUGAGGAUGACGAGGAAGCCCGUGGUAGGGGCAAGAGACAAAGGACUGCAAAGACCUUUGGUGAUGAUUUCUUCGUAUACCUCGUGGAUGAUAAUCCCACUUCUAUUUCAGAAGCGUAUGCUUCUCCAAAUGCUGAUUACUGGAAAGCUGCGGUCCGUAGCGAUAUGGAUUCCAUCAUGGCUAACGGGACAUGGGAAAUCACGGAUCGUCCCUAUGGUUGCAAACCAUUGGGAUGCAAGUGGGUGUUGAAAAAGAAGCUUAGUCCCAAUGGUACGAUUGAAAAGGACAAGGCUAGGCUUGUGGCCAAGGGCUAUGCCCAGAAGGAAGAAGAAGAUUUCUUCGAUACUUAUUCACCUGUGGCUAGACUGACCACCAUUCGAGUAUUACUCUCAUUGGCGGCCUCUCAUGGUCUUCUCGUUCAUCAAAUGGAUGUUAAGACGGCUUUCCUGAAUGGAGAGCUAAAUGAGGAAAUCUAUAUGCAACAGCCAGAUGGCUUUGUGAUAGAAGGUCAGGAAGGAAAGGUGUGUAAGUUGCUGAAAUCUUUAUAUGGUCUGAGACAAGCACCUAAGCAAUGGCAUGAGAAGUUUAAUACAACUCUGACAUCUGUUGGCUUCGUUGUUAAUGAAGCUGACAAAUGUGUAUACUAUCGCCAUGGUGGGGGCGAAGGAGUUAUAUUGUGCUUGUAUGUUGAUGACAUACUGAUAUUUGGAACCAACCUCAAAGUAAUUGAGGAGGUUAAGUCUUUUCUGUCUCAAAACUUUGAGAUGAAGGACCUUGGGGUGGCUGAUGUUAUCUUGAACAUCAAGCUGUUGAGAGAUGAUGAGGGUGGGAUUACACUUCUGCAAUCCCACUAUGUUGAUAAGAUUUUGAGUCGCUUUGGAUAUUCAGACUGCAAAAUUUGUCAAACACCAUAUGAUCCUAGUGUGCUUAUUCGAAAGUUUAAAGGCACAACUAUAGAUCAAUUGAGAUUCUCUCAAAUUAUCGGUUCACUUAUGUACCUAGCUAGCGCAACGAGGCCUGACAUCGCGUUUGCUGUGAGCAAACUUAGCCGGUUUGUUGCAAACCCGGGCGAUGUUCAUUGGCGUGCUGUUGAAAGAAUUAUGCGCUACUUGAAAGGUACUGUCAACCACGGGCUUCACUAUACGGGAUUCCCAUCGGUACUUGAAGGGUAUAGUGAUGCGAAUUGGAUCUCUGAUGCUGAUGAGAUGAAGGCCACUACUGGGUAUAUGUUUACUCUUGGGGGUGGUGCUGUUUCCUGGAAGUCUUGCAAGCAAACGAUCUUAACAAGAUCGACAAUGGAAGCAGAAUUAACAGCAUUAGACACAUCUUGUGUCGAAGCAGAAUUUCUUCGAGAUCUUUUGAUGGACUUACCUGUGGUUGAGAAGCCGGUUCCGACUAUCCUUAUGAACUGCGAUAAUCAAACAGUUAUUGUUAAAGUGAAGAGUUCAAAGGACAAUAUGAAGUCCAACAAACAUAUAAGAAUGAGAUUGAAGUCUGUCAGACGUUUGAGAAACUCCGGAGUGAUAGCAUUGGAUUACAUCCAAACGGCUAAGAAUCUGGCACAUCCCUUUACUAAAGGGUUGUCACGUGUUGUGAUAGACAGUGCAUUGAGGGAGAUGGGUAUGAGACCCACAUGAGUUUCCAUGGUAGUAACCCAACCUAUAUGAUCGGAGAUCCCGUGAAGUAGGACCUGGGAAAACAAGCCAGUGGUGAACUGAGGAGAGUAACUUUACUAACCCACUCCGUUGGAGAUGCAAUACUCUCGGAUACUGUAUGGUAGGAUGACUACUGUCUUAAUGUGUUCUAAAGCUUAUAUGUAAGCAAGAUGAUGUCCUACAGAGCGAUCUUUGAAGGAACACACCUAUAUGAGCUUGACUGCUGGUCACAGUCUAUGAGAUUUGGGUGAUCUCUAGUAAACUCAUGAAUAGGCCAGGAGUGUGACUAAUAUGCUCCACCCGAGGGGUCACCUUCGGCAGCCUAGUACUAGUAAGACUUGUGGUGAAGCUCCUUUACGCCAAACUGACAAUUCAAGGCAUAGUCCAUUGUUCAGUUGUAAAGGGGUGUAGCUACUUGCUCUAGGUGAAGCUCAACCUUAACAGGUCUUCACUGAAAUGCUGGUAUAUUAAAACAGUGUUUGGAACGAGGGAACACGAUUUGCCCUUGAGAUCUGGUGGGGGAUUGUUGAAAUUAGAGAUGGGCCUUAGGCCCAUAAGACAAAUUUCAGAAAAAUCUCCAUGGGCCCAUGUAGGUGGUGGCAUGACAAGGUGGUGGGAAGUUUAGUCCCACCCCGCUAGUGGAGGAGAAUUUGGACCCCUUUAUAAUGGUCUCUCUUCCACAUGCUAUUGGAGAGUGAGAAGAGAAGGUGCCCUCGCGCACUCCUCCUCCGCCGCCGCGCUACGCCGCGGUUGCGGUUGCGGUUGCGGGAAUGAGCCGAGCCGAGCUCAUACCUACGCGCUUAUUUUUGCCGGUCAGGAACGGAGAAUACGUAACGGACAAGGCACGAUCCGAGACGUCGGAUCGUGCCUGUUACCGACUCGGACGUGGGUUUGGCCCACGUCUCUCCACCCAGCCGCCUUUAUAAGCAGGCUAUCGCCUACCCUAGCUGUCACGAGAAUCAGAUCACAUCUGCCUCACGCGUUCGUUCCUUGACUACUGCUGCCGUCGGCGACUCCGUCCCGUUUACCGCGUACACGGUCGACGGGAGAGAAGGCCUCCGAAACCUCGCCUCUCCGGUUCCUGUACGGGAGAGGGGCGAUUAGGUUUUUGGGGAGCGAUCACGCGACUGCUCGCCUCCGUCCGUCUGCUUCGUCUACGUCCGCGUCGCCCUCGUCAUCGCCAUGUCUUCACCAAGCGAAGCUGACCGUCUCGUCCGCGAGAAGGCCGAAACCGAGAAGAAGGCGGCAGAGGA
RNAcentral lists this long non-coding RNA (98690 nucleotides) under Hordeum vulgare. RNAcentral's name for it is "long non-coding RNA (HVUL_LNC013415)". Lineage: Eukaryota; Viridiplantae; Streptophyta; Magnoliopsida; Poales; Poaceae. The record is from RNAcentral.